UGUUCGCAAACAAUAUACUCAGAUGUUCAGAUGGUGUAUAUAUCUGAGUUAUUUUUAUUUCUAUUUUUAAAGGGAUGGCAUGGGACAACAUUGAGCUAACUUCAUUGAAAUGCAAGUCUGCAAUAUGAAGACCUGUAAUCUGGUGACUGAAGGUGAACACUUUGCGGAUGCUCAAAUCAAAGAUGUUGUUUGUCAAUGACGCGGUGCAGGCAGAACAGUUUGAUGAUGUACUGAUGAAUAUCUAUUGGAGUAACGCUACAUGUUCUGGAUCAUUUAAUCAUAUGUUUUAGCGUUAAAAGUAUGAGAUUGAAUAUCUUUUCUUUCAUGAAAAUUGAAUUGAGGGCAAGCACAAGGAAAAAAAAUAGUGCUAGACAUUAUUUUUGUUUUUCUUAUCGAGGCCAAAAUGUCUUAAUUACAGAGAUCUUCCAAUAUUUUUCUAGUGGGGGUUCUUCCAUUCCUUUUUUUUGAGGAAUUAUGACAGUGAGGGAAGCUCCCCACUGACCUUUAUAUUUCUCAUUCCUUUUAUUGAGCACAAUGAUGUGAAUCAGGCUUUAAUAAGUUCUAAUACGCAGCGGCACAAUUCAUGCUCACUUGUACUCCCUCCGUUCCUAAAUAUAAGUUUUUCUACAUAUGGAGCAAAAUGAGUGAAUUUACACUCUAAAAUAUGUCUAUAUACAUCCGUAUGUUUCGUUCCUAAAUAUAAGUAGUCAAUUGUUGGAAUAUCAGCUCUUCCUCAAUCUCGCUACAAUAAAAUAUGGGUCUCACUUAAUCCUAAUAGCGUUCUUAUUUUCUCUAAAAUUAUUCGCUUGCUUACUCCUAACAAAUGGGGUCCACACUUAUCAUUGUGAGAUAGAUAGAGUUGACAUGUGGGUAUAGGGGUAUUUUGUCAUAUAACAUGGUCAAUGAGUUUGACCUGACAAUAACAAUGUCUAAUGGCAUUUCUGAGCAAACAUCUAAUGGAAUGAUGGCAAUUUUCAGAUAUCUAAUGGCAUUUUUGAGAAAACAUCUCAUGGAACGAUGGCAUUUUUGAGCGUUUGUAAUUUUUAGUGGCAAAACUGAGCAGUGAGACACAAUUAGUGGCAUAAAUGAUAAAAACCCUUUAAUCUAUCCUCACUUAGCUCAAAAAAAAAAACAUUCACCACACCUAAUACCAAAAUAACAGUUCCACUAGAGAUGCAGUGUCAUGUGCCGUUGAAAUGAAAUGCACCGAGCACAUUCAUAUUUAUCCUAGAUCAGUUUUCAGCAUGAACUUUUUCCAUCCAUCGCUGAAUUAAUUAUGAUUAUCAGGAUUUCCUGUACCACAAAAAACUCAAUUAGAAAAACACAACUUUGUUUCUGCUAUAAGGAAAUUCAUCAUAAUGGCAAAGGGUGCAAAAUAUGAGACCAAAAAUGCGCAUGAAAACCUGGCAAUGAUCUGUUCAAAUAAACAAUACAAGUUCUCAAAGAAACUAUGUCGAACUUUCAAGAAACACUUGAUGAAGAAACAACAUGACAGCAGUAUUAACAAAAUCUUGAAUAGGAAAGGAUGUUCUAAACAACAGCAGGUUCCCAUGAAUUAUGAUUUUGAAUGCAAAGAAGAUAGCUACAAGAAUUUCUUGUUCUCAAUACAAGUCUAUUGUGGAUAAUAACACACAUGUCCAGGAUAUUUUGUUACAACAAAGGAUAUAUGGUAGGCUGACCUGAUAUAUGUAUGGCAAGAAGAAAUCAAGGAUUUCUCAGAAUUCAACCAGAAAUGAUCAUCAAUAUUUUUCCCUGAAGAACGAUGUCAACCGCGUCAAUUCCUAAAAGAUGUAUAAAGAAGUUUGUUUGUUUACUUGGUUUAGAGGAAGAACCCAAUAAACAGGGCAAGCUGUCAUAGCCCUAGAAUUUGGUUGCAGAUAGUGGCAUUGCAUCCAUGCAUCAUGUCUAAAGUUAUGUGAAAUUGAAAUGGGGAUUGAUCCAAACCCUAGCACCAAAAUUAAAUCAACUAGGUUCAACUAAAAAUUGCAUUCAAUGAACCCAAAAUGCCUUCAUUAAUGUUUGAUAUUUUUGGCAAGGCUUCGAGUCCAAACAAAAAAUGGUGAACAUUUUUGUGGAAUAUUCUGGGCACUGAAUUUAAAUCAUUACUGUAUUUUGCAUUUGGAAUUAUAUUCAUAAUAUAUAAAAAUAUAUUUUCAAAAGCCCUGAAAUAUUUUAUGUGCAUCUGGAAAUGACCAAUGUGCAACAUAAAAAUAUUUAGAGGAAUCUUUGGCACUAAUUGAAGUCAUUUUGAUUUCAAACAGUGGCAAAUAAAUAAAAAGAAAACAGAACAAAAUAAAACAGAGCAGAAACCUCACCUGGCUUACCUGGUCUGCUCCUGUAGCAGAGGCCCAGCCCACCAGGUGCCGUCGUCCUCCUGGCGCCAGUCGGCCAGGCGCGUGGGCGACGCGCGCACGCACGCACGCCACGCCACGCCACCAGGGUGCCUGCCUGCCUCCUCCUGCCAGCGAGACGUCGCGAGCACCGCCCGGAGCCGUCUGGCUCUUCCUCUCUCUUCCUGGAGCUCUUCCCCCUCCUCUGGUUCUCUCACCCUUGUUGUUCCCCACCUCAACGAACCGCGCCGCCGUGAUCGGCGAGCUCCACCAUGGCCGCAGCCACUCCCUCGCUCCCUCUCCGCGUCCUCGAGCUCCGCCCCGACCCCGUGGAGCAACACACCUGACACAUGCGACCAGAAGAGGCCCAGUCGGCCGGAGCGUCUUCGUCUUCACCUCUGGUGCCCGGAGAUCGAAUCCGUCGAUUCGCCUCGUCCAGAGCGUUCCCGAGGCCGCUGACCUACCCUGUCGCAUCCCUGUGAGCUCCUGCUCCUUCCCCUUGCUCAUCCCCUCCGUUUCCGUGCCCUAGCUGCCUCUCCCACCAUGGCCGCAAGCUUCUCGCCGCCGGCCAUGAGGUCGACGUGGCCAGAGCCCGAACCAGCCGCUCCCGCAUGCGUCAUCGUUCCCCUUGCCUCUCCAGGAGCCCGUAGCCACCACCAGAUCUUCCCCACGUGCCCUAUAGCCGCCACCCGAGCUCACCCGAGCUUCGGCCACCGCCACGAGCUCGUCUCCGGCGAGUACGACGCACCACAACCGCUGCUGCUUGCUCCGUUGGAUGCGGAUGAGCACCAGCUUCACGCAGAGCCCCUCUGCCACUCGUUUGGUCGCCGGAGGAGCAAACCCGACGCGCUCCGCCGUCUCUGGCUUCACCGGCGACGAGCCGCCGGCCUAAUUCCGGUUUAGUUAGUACUAAUGACUCCACUGAACACCCCAGAGCCACUGCUAUGUGGGCCCUUGUGCCUGUUUAGGUUAGUUUAAUUCCUGUUUAGAUUAGUGCUAAUCUUGCGGACCCUGUUGGAACCGCAACCCUCUAGCUACCUCUUCUCUCACUCGAACGAAGGUGGAAGAAAAAGAACAGUGAACAAAAGAUUUUCCGGCCGGCGCACGAACGCCCCAAUCCUUUUCUUCCUUACAGUAGCUACAUGGCUACACAUGGCUCAUACCGACGCUCGGUGGCACAUACCACACCGCAAUCAGCAAUACAGGGGGUCUUUUAUGCCCCGGCACACACACACACACACUCUGGCACGGUGUGAUCCGCUCGGCCCGGCCACCCCUCACAACGAUAUCACACGAAGGACUCGGUUGCUCUCAACAGCCCAUGCAUGCAUGACUCAGCACGCAGCCACACCUCUAGCUAGCUUAUCCAUGCAAACUAACUAAUUUCCUAGCCUGCAGCAUGCGCCAUACACACACACACGCUGGUCAUCACACCUAGACAUGGUUUAAUCCUAACACUCCCCCUAAACCAUGACUUGGCUUGCCAUCGCCAGAGUUAUCGCAGCUCUCGUCGUUGUGGUCACCACAGCCGUGACCCAGCCGGCGGACCCGACCCGGCGCACCGACGCCGGUCGCACCGCCACGGACCCGACCUGGCGCACUGACUUCGGUCGCACCGUGCUCCGUCAUGACCCAGCGACAUACACCGAGCUCCUUCUCCGCCGGCGACACACGCUUGGUGUCCCUCUGCGUCCCGCACGUCCCGCGCGCACUUGACGCGCCCGACGAGCCCGACCGCACCAAUGCGUCCCGCACAUCCCCAACCCGCCCGACGAGCCCGACCGCACCAGACGCUCAUCGCGCGCCGCCUCCGCGUCCGCCAUGGCAGCCACCAGCGACAAACGCCGGAAGGAUGUAGCCGAACUCGAGCACGGACUCGAGCACAACAGCGACAUACGCCUCCUCCCAACGUCAACCGCACGCUCGUAGGCGCGCCAGCGGUCCUGACGCGCCCGACGCGUCCAGUGCGCACCCAUAACACACACCAGUCGCGCCCGGCUCGCCGCCACGGCCUAUUGCCCUGCACCGCUACGGCCUCAACCGCAGCGCAACACCUCCAUGCCUCCAUGCCGCUGUGUGUCGUUGAAGCCGCCACCACGCAGGUCCUCCGCGGCCACCCCACUGUGCCGCUGCAGCCCCCCGCGGCCUCCUCGCCACGCCGCGCACCUCCAUAGACCGACACAUGGCCCGGAGCAUCGCGCAGCCGCCGGCGAACUCCGCCACCGCCGGCACGCCUCCGACAAGGAGAACGCCACCCAAGAUGAACCAGUUCAUGAUACCAAUUGCCGGAACCGCAACCCUCUAGCUAUCUCUUCUCUCACUCGAACGGAGGUGGAAGAAAAAGAACAGUGGACAAAAGAUUUUCCGGCCAGUGCACGAACGCCGCCACGGGCGCACGAACGCCCCAAUCCUUUUCUUCCUUACAGUGGCUACAUGGCUGCUCAUACCGACGCUUGGUGGCACAUACCACACUGCAAUCAGCAAUACAGGGGGUCUUUUAUGCCCCGGCACGCACACACACUCUGGCACGGUGUGAUCCGCUUGGCCCGGCCACCCCUCACAACGAUAUCACGCGAAGGACUCGGCUGCUCUCAACAGCCCAUGCAUGCAUGACUCAGCACGCAGCCACACCUCUAGCUAGCUUAUCCAUGCAAACUAACUAAUUUCCUAGCCUGCAGCAUGCACCAUACACACACACGCUGGUCAUCACACCUAGACGUGGUUUAAUCCUAACAGACCCCACAUGUCAGCUUUGAUUUUGACCAAGUCAACGUUGACCGGUCCCACCCGUCAUCCACCCAAACCAGCCCUGAGUCACUUACCAGUGUGCCCCACUGGUCAGGUUUGACCCAGACCAGCCCAGUUGACCUGCUGACGCCAGGCUUACAUCAUGCUGACCUCAUAAUCAUUUUCUGGCGAUUUUAUAUUUCAGAAAUAAAUUAUAAAAUCCAAAAAAUUGUUUAAACUUCUAAAAAUCAUAGAAAAUAAACCGUAACUCCAAAUGAUAUAGUUUAUAUAUGAAAAAUUAUUAGAAAAAUUCAAAGAAUCUGAAUACGGAAUUUUCAUGCAUGUUUGAACAAGUUAACCUCACUAAAUAGGACAAUUCAUGAUUAUGGAAUAAAUGGUAAUUAGUUUUGGAGUUGGAAUUUGCUAUAGGUUUUGCUAUAGGUUUGAUUAUGGAAUAAAUGAUUAUGACUAACUGUUGCACUAGGUCAAUUCAGUACCUUAAUAUGACAUAUCAUUCAUAUGAAUGUGCAUUGCAUUGAUUGUGGUUCCUUUCGUGUUUGCCUGUGGUUGUUCCCUCUUAGUCGACGAUGUUUCUGACGACGUGAUCGAUGACACCGAUGAAGAGCUAUACUAUCUUCAGAAGUGCCAGGCAAGCAACCCCACCCCCCUUGUUCAUCUCGAUACAAUCCCACUCUCUCGCUCCUGCUCUCUUUUACUGCAUUAGGACAACAACGAUUCAACUGUUACAUGCUGCGGUAGUUGAACCCCUCUCCUCUGCAUGACCUGUCAUUGCCACAACAAAUAGAUGAAACCCACUAGCAUGAGUAGGAGUUGUUUGAGCCCUGAUGUGCCUACUCAUACAUGCUUGUUUGUCAUGCCUGCUACUGCUUAGAGUUGAGUAAGGGCUGAUUCAUCGGGGAUGAACUGGAAUGUGUGAACAUGUCCUACUAUUGAGAGCUAAGUGUGUGAACAUGAUUUGGUAGAGGUAUCGGUGAGAGGCCAUGUAGGAGUACAUGGUGGGUUGUCUCAUUGAAGCCGUCCUCAGGAACUGAGUUCUGUGUUUGUGAUCCAUGAAUAGCUACUACCACGUGUUGGGCCCGAAACCAAUGGACCCUCUCGACUUAUUAACUGCCCCUGUCAUCUGUCCAGGAGUUGCAAGUAGUUUCUGGUGUUCGUAGUAUGCUGGAGGCCGUGCGCAGCACUCACCCGAGGGGUGGGCUGUGAGGCGGUAGGCACGUGGCACGGUGUACCAGGUCGCCCGUUUGGUGUCUUGGGAACCCUGCACACAACUUUCGGGGCCGUAAGUGGAAACCUCGGCCGGACUCCCUUCAGAUGGAACCUGAAUAGGCGAUAAGCCCAGACUAGGGAUUUGUGUGGUUAGUCAGGCCAUGGCCGACACCCUCGUCGGGCUUCCGCUUGAAGGUUGCCGAGUACAUGUCGUGUAAACGGCGAUAAGUGGUGAGAGCAUGUGUGAAGAAGUACACCCCUGCAGGGUUAACAUCAUCUAUUCGAAUAGCCGUGUCCGCGGUAAAGGACUUCUGGGUUGCCUGUACAGUUCAUAGAUAACUUGAAGUGGAUACUCUAAAACUCGCAAGAUAAGCGUGAUUGCUAUGGAUGGCGUUCUCGUAGGUAGACGGGAGCGGAUCCAUAGUGGUGUAUUGGUAUGGUGAAUAUGUGGACUCGUGUGCACCACCUCAAAGAGUUAAUUGCAGUCGUAGUUCAGGAUAGCCACCGAGUCAAAGCUGGCUUGCUGCUGUCAAACUCCACCACCCCUUUGUUGAUACCGAUGCAUAUGUAGUUAGUUCUGAUGUAAGUCUUGCUGGGUACAUUUGUACUCACGUUUUCUUAUUUUAUGUUUUGUAGAGAGACUCCAGUCUCACUAGUAGUUCCGCAUGGACUUCGAUGUUUAGCUUGUUACCUCAGCUACGAUCUUGUACCCUUGGGAGGGUCUUGUAGAUAGUCAGGCUUCUCAGCCUUUUUCAUUUGUAGUUGUCUGCACUCAGACAUGUUUAUGCUUCUGGUUGAUACUUGUAUGCUCUGUAUGUUGGGUCAUGAGACCCAUGUUUGUCAUACUUGGCUCCUCGGAGCCUAAUCACUAGUGCAGAACCGGGAAAUAGCACCGGUUCGUAAGGCCCUUUAGUGCCGGUUUAGUAACCGGCACUAAAGUGUGGGCACUAAAGCCCCCCCCCUUUAGUACCGGUUCAACACGAACCGGUGCUAAAGGGAAACCACGUGGCAUGAGCCAGCUCCGGGGGCCGGGAGCCCUUUAGUACCAGUUGGUAACACCAACCGGUACUAAAUGUUUGUGGGUUUUUGUUUUAUUUUGUAUUUUUCAAUUAAAUUUGUGUUAUCAAUUUAAUUUAGGAUUGUUUUACAUUAUAAUGAGUUGUAGUCGUCAUCAUCAUCAUCAUCAUCGCAUAUUAAUAAAUAAAUAAACUCUAGCUAGCUAAAAAUCAUCGUAGUCGUCUAAUUACCACUAUUUAAUCAUCAUAGUCAUUACCGCUAGCUAUCUAAUCAUCACCAACACUGGCUAGCUUAAAGAGGAAACAUUCACUUUGUAGCAGAAGCAAAGAUAUCAUGGAGUUCAACAUAAUGAUCACCAACAUCGAAGUUCAGGACACGGACAUGAGACAAGUACUAAUUAAUUAAGAGCAUGAACUAGUAGCUACUCCUGAUGCUCCCUCUCAGGUAGAAUAGCAUAGAGCAUGUAUAGCUCUCCUGAUUCAUCAUACUGGAGCAUGCAGAUGAAUCUGUCUCCUAAUCUUGGGUUGCGCUUCUCCUUGCUGCCCCCUAGUACUUCUCUGCGAUCGUUAACAAUUUUGCUCCAAUCUUUCACUAUUAAGCAUUCUUCGCUUUCAGAAAUCCUGAAUGCACUCAUGUGCAAUGUAGGAUAUCUUGGCCGUAAGCUAACUAUUGACAUGUCACCUUUAGUCUCGAUCCACUGAGGCACAACUGUCAUCGGAAGUCCCUGUUGAAGAACAUCGUAUAGUAAUUAAUAUACUAAGCAAUGAAAGUUUAGCUUCAAAAAUAAUGUAUGCAAAAGAUGCACUAAUUAAGGACAAAUAGUUAAAAUCUUAUCAUCUUUCGAUUAUAGAUGUGACCGUAGUUCAAUACGAUCACCAUUGGUCGCACGUUUUGAGUACUAACAUUUCUAAGUUCAGGAAAAAAAUUUGUCUUGACAGUAUUAAGAUCCUCAAGCCAUGAAACAUAAUGACUUAUCUCCUCGCAGUUUAGUUGAGCCCCGGGGCAAUAGUAGGUCCUGUCUACCAAGCGCCGGACAUGUUUGCUUGAACCGAAAUAAGCUGACAAUACAAAUUAGUUGUCAACUAUUUUUGAAUAAACUGUAUCAAAGACAUAAACAUAUGCAUGCAUGGUUGAGAAAAACUCACAUAAUGGUAGAACUGGAGGCGUUUGCACAUUGACCCAGAUGUCUAUAUUACCUUCAAUAUCAUCUUCCGGACGAAUAUCAAAGGUGAUAACCAUAUCAGGCUCAAAUGCAUAAGCUUUGCAUAGUGCUUGCCAAGUUUUGCAUUCAAAAUGGGCGUAUGUGUCUCCAUUAUAUAAUUUGACGUUGAAAGUAUACCCAUGCUCCGUCUUCAAGUAAACUCUCUUUACCUCCAUAUCAUCUAUAGCACUAAAACCUAUCUUAUCCAAGACAAAAAUUCUUGCAUGACAGGGGAUGCGCUAGUAGAAUAGUGAAAACUUAAAAUUAUAAGUUGAAGCAAAUGAAGCAUACGUUUUGCAUUCAAAUAAUAAUUGACAAAGUGACUUACUGUAUCAACUUCGAAUGUCUCAUCCAGCUUGAUGCUGAAGCGCCUACCAUCAACAAGGAAAUUUCUGUCGCACAGGCCGCGCUGGUCUUCACAGUGUUCGCACAUAAUGAAAUCUUUUUCGUCGUCAGAUGACAUUUCCUAUGUUCAUAUAGGUGAAACAUUAAACACCUAUUACUAUCUAACAUUAAUUAAUAUCUAGCUAAAUAUAUAUUCAUCUAACAUUUGACAUUAAUAUAUCUAACUAUAUUCAUCUCUAACAAUUGGCAUUACUAUACAUUUAAUUUUUCUAUCUAAUUCAUCUAACAUUCGACAUUAAUCUAACAUUUAUAUAAACUCAAAAUAUAUAAAAAAUUAAAUAAACAGAAAAACUCAUUAACAAAUAAUAUUUUAAUUAGAUCAUCAAAUCUCAGAUACCUAAAUUUUCUUACUAAAAAUAAACUAGUUAUAUUAAUUAUUGAACUAGUUCAAAUCUCAUAUACCUAAAUAAACUAGUUAUAUUAAUUAUUGAACUAGUUCAAAUCUCAUAUACCUAAAUAAACUAGUUCAACAAUUUUCUUACUAAAAAAUAUGACCUCAAGCUCAACCCGGAAAAAUGCGUUUUCGGCAUUCCAGCUGGAAAGCUCUUGGGCUUCAUUGUAUCCGGUAGAGGAAUUGAAGCAAAUCCAGCCAAGAUUCGAGCUCUGUCACAAUUGGAUAUCCUGAAGGACCUCAAACAAAUACACAAAUUAACCGGAUGCGUGGCAGCUCUAAGCCGCUUUAUCUCCCGCUUAGGAGAAAAGGCCCUACCCCUUUACCGCCUCCUUCGGUGCACCGAACACUUCGAGUGGACGGAUGCAGCCACGGCCGGACUCGACGAAAUAAAAGCCAUCCUGGCAACAAACCCAGUCCUGGCCGCGCCAAACAUUGGCGAACCAAUGCUGUUAUACAUUGCAGCAACCCAUCAGGUCGUAAGCGCAGUGCUCGUCGUCGAACGAGAGAAACGGACAGACACAAAUUCCCCCUUCAAAAGCCGGUCUACUAUGUGUCCACUGUCCUUACUCCGUGCAAGUCACGGUACCCGCAUUAUCAAAAGAUUGCGUACGCGGUAUUUAUGGCAUCCCGGAAGCUGCGACACUACUUUCAAGAGUGUUCAAUAACAGUAGCCUCGGAAGUGCCACUUAACGAUAUUAUAAACAACCGUGACGCGACGGGCCGGAUUGCAAAAUGGGCCAUUGAGUUCCUCCCAUUCGACAUAACUUACAAGCCACGGCGAGCUAUCAAGUCGCAAGUUUUGGCCGACUUCGUCGCAGAAUGGACGGAGGCCGAACUCCCUAAAGAGUACGACACAUAUUCAAAUUGGGUCAUGCACUUCGACGGCUCCAAAAUGUUGGCCGGUCUAGGGGCUGGCGUCGUUUUGAUGUCCCCCACAGGAGACACAGUUCAAUACAUACUCCAAAUAAUGUACACAGACUCCAACAAUGCAGCCGAAUACGAGGCCGUUUUACAUGGUCUCCAGAUGGCAGUAUCCAUGGGCAUUCAACGCCUAGAGGUGCGCGGGGACUCGAACCUCGCAAUAUCCCAAAUAAAUGGAGACUUUGAUGCCAAGGAUCCAAAAAUGUCAGCUUAUCGCAACGCCGUCCUAAAAAUGUCAGCUCGGUUCGAAGGGCUUGAAUUUCACCAUAUAGCCCGGGAAAAUAAUCAGGUGGCAGAUGUCCUGGCACGCAUCGGCGCAAAACGCGAUGUAGUCCCCCCCAACAUCUUCCUGGAAAGGCUGUUCAAGCCAUUCGUAGUAUGGGAAGGGGAACCCGGCAAUAACAGCCCGGACCCAACCGCACUGCCCGACACCGAACACUCUGACAUAAUUGGAGGCUCUGCCAAUGAAAUAACACUUUCAGCCCAGGUAAUAAUGGCCGUCAUUGCUCUGUGGACAGAACCAUUCCUCGCCUACCUUACUAGGCAGGAACUCCCCGAGGACCAAAAUGAGGCACGCUGCAUAGUGCGGCGAUCUAAAGCCUAUAAAGUCCAUGAGGGAGAGCUUUAUAAGAAAAGCACUACCGGAGUCCUUCAAAGGUGCAUCUCCGAAGAGGAAGGGAGGAACCUCCUGGCUGAAAUUCAUGCCGGACUCGGCGGUCAUCAUGCUGCAGCUUGGUCCCUUGUAAGCAAGGACUUCCGCACAGGCUUUUAUUGGCCGACGGCCCGAGCAGACGCCCAGGACUUAGUCCAACGAUGCGUCGGUUGCCAGCUUUUUGCAAACCAAAGCCAUAUGCCACCCACCGCCCUCCAAACUAUCCCCAUCACUUGGCCCUUCGCGGUCUUGGGGCUUGACAUGGUUGGACCCCUUAAAGGCGGAACCCACAAGAAAAAAAUACUUACUGGUCAUGGUGGAUAAGUUCACCAAAUGGAUAGAAGCCAAGCCUGUUAAGACGGCCGAAUCCGGACCGGUGAUAGACUUUAUAUCCGGGGUUGUACACCGUUACGGCGUCCCCCACAGCAUCAUCACUGAUAACGUCACGAACUUUACGGUCGACAAGGUAAAACUCUGGUGCAAAAGCAUGGGCAUCAAGCUCGAUUAUGAUUCCGUCUAUCACCCACAAACUAACGGCCAGGUCGAACGUGAAAAUGGUCUUAUCAUGAGCGGCAUCAAACCCAGAUUAGUGCGGUCCCUUAAGGAAUCUAAUACGCACUGGGUAGAGGAGCCCGACUCCGUACUCUAGGGGCUGCGGACCACGCCGAAUCGCACCACCGGAUACACACCAUUCUUCAUGGUGUACGGCGCAAAGGCAGUUCUGCCCUGCGACAUAAUUCAUGACUCACCUCAAGUGCGCAUGUACGAAGAAAGAGAAGCCGAGCUCGAUCGGCAGGACAGUUUGGACGCCUUGGAGGAAGAGCGUGACGUGGCAAAAGCCCGUUCCGCAUUCUAUCAACAGCAGGCUCGAAGAUACCAAAGCGGAGAAGUACGGGCCAAAAAUUACAACAUUGGCAAACUAGUUCUACGUCUGCCGGACAAGAAAAAGGACAAACUCAAGCCCAAGUGGGAAGGUCCCUUCAUAAUUGACCAAGUCCUGACUGGUGGAGCGUACCGCCUGCGAGAUGCAUCGGAUAACCGACUCGAGCCGAACCCAUGGAACGCAGCCCGCCUCCGAAGAUUCUAUGCCUAGCGCCGGACUCUGUGUUCGUUUCCUUACUCUGUCCAUUUUUAUAUACUUUCUGUCUUACAUUUCUCUCCUUCUCCUCUUUCUCUCUCCUAUAGCCUUUAAAGGCUCAUACAGUGACGCGCUAUCCGCGCUCAUUAAACCUGUGGGCUUCUUUACACAGAAGCUUAUACGGGCUUUCAUGCCCAACACAUGCGUCACACUUCCGCAUGUACCUUUUAUUCGCCAGUAUAUGCAUCAAUAUGACUUAAGUUUUGGCCAAGCUGGGUUGCCUGGCUCCUGUGCUUACCCCUACGUUCUCGAUUGUUCGGCUAGGUGGUAAAGGGAGCACCUCUGCGAUUGUUACUGCCGGGUCAGCCGGAUGUGUACCUCAGACUGGGUGAAGCCGAAAGCUAGCGUUCUUAAGGGAAUAUUCGGUCGGUGAACUAAAGAUGAUCUUUUUUUAUUUAUCUAUACGCCCCCAGAUGUUUUUCCUGCGUCUCUUUUCGCAGAAUGGACAUGCACUUUAGGGCAUGCCUCCCAGGGAAAGGAACCCCUAACGGAACUAUUCUCCCUGGAAGAUGUUUCUUACUAACCAUGUAAUAUAACAUAACUAGUUGGGCACUUGUCUGUUCAAGCACUAAUGACCCCUACGCCUGGUCUCCAUGCAUACCCCGGUUCUUAUAUAACCGCGAGGGUAUUUGGACACACUCCGGACCAUCAGGUCCCGAGGUUGAAGCGAAAAGGUCGGCCAUGAAAAACGAUCUACAAUCCGGCUAGAAGGCAUUACACAUGUCAAUUAUAAUUACAUAGUCAAUCUGACUGAUUGUAUUCCUCUUCAAUACCAUCUAACAGGCUAUCUAGUUUACAUUUCUGUUGGGAAUACUUUGCGGCCAAUUCUACUUGGCCGUAUACUAAGCUCACAGGCAUCUCCUUCCCAUCGGGCCCCACGGGUCCGACCUCGGCCAUGUGGUUUGGGUCAGCCUUCGUGUACCGCGUCUUCACCAUGGCCCAGGCCUCCCUGGCGCCUUGACGGCAGGCCGACAUCUUCCACAAUCGGAAGCGCCGCUGCGCUCCCUUCAGCUUCUCUACAAGCUCUCCAAGGCCUUCGGGCAUGGAGACGGAUGGCCAUAGGGCCUGGGCGACGCUUUGCAUCACCUGCCGAACUCGCUCGUGCAGUUGUGAGAGCUCGGGAAGAAGGUCACCCGUAGAACCGGGCAUUUCCUCUGCAGGAUGACCUGUUAGCAUACCUACAGACAUUACUCUUUUAGUCGACUUCCUUGCCGAACUCUUUUUUCAAAAGUUCGUUUAAGCACUUACUAUAUUGUUGGGUUUCGUAGUAAUUUCAAAAAUUUUCCUACGCGCACACAGGAUCAUGUGAUGCAUAGCAACGAGAGGAGAGUGUUGUCUACGUACCCAACGCAGACCGACUGCGGAAGCAAUGACACGACGUAGAGGAAGUAGCCGUACGUCUUCACGAUCCAACCGAUCAAGCACCGAAACUACGGCACCUCCGAGUUCGAGCACACGUUCAGCUCAAUGACGAUCCCCGGACUCCGAUCCAGCAAAGUGUCGGGGAAGAGUUUCGUCAGCACGACGGCGUGGUGACGAUCUUGAUGAACUACAGCAGCAGGGCUUCGCCUAAACUCCGCUACAGUAUUAUCGAGGAAUAUGGUGGCAGGGGGCACCGCACACGGCUAAGGAAUCGAUCACGUGGAUCAACUUGUGUCAACUUGUGUGUCUAUGGGGUGCCCCCUGCCCCUGUAUAUAAAGGAUGGAGGAGGAGGAGGCCGGCCAAGGCAAAGGUGCGGCCAGGAUAGGGAGUCCUACUAGGACUCCAAGUCCUAGUAGGAGUCCACCAAGAGGGGAGGAAGGGAGAAGGAAUAGGAGGAGAAGGAGAGGUGGCCGGCCCCCUUUUCCCUAGUCCAAUUCGGACCAAAGGGGAGGGGGGGCGCAGCAGCCUUUUUCCUCUUCCCACUAAAGCCCAUUAAGGCCCAUUACUUCUCCCGUAACUACCCGGUACUCCGAAAAAUANNNNNNNNNNNNNNNNNNNNNNNNNNNNNNNNNNNNNNNNNNNNNNNNNNNNNNNNNNNNNNNNNNNNNNNNNNNNNNNNNNNNNNNNNNNNNNNNNNNNNNNNNNNNNNNNNNNNNNNNNNNNNNNNNNNNNNNNNNNNNNNNNNNNNNNNNNNNNNNNNNNNNNNNNNNNNNNNNNNNNNNNNNNNNNNNNNNNNNNNNNNNNNNNNNNNNNNNNNNNNNNNNNNNNNNNNNNNNNNNNNNNNNNNNNNNNNNNNNNNNNNNNNNNNNNNNNNNNNNNNNNNNNNNNNNNNNNNNNNNNNNNNNNNNNNNNNNNNNNNNNNNNNNNNNNNNNNNNNNNNNNNNNNNNNNNNNNNNNNNNNNNNNNNNNNNNNNNNNNNNNNNNNNNNNNNNNNNNNNNNNNNNNNNNNNNNNNNNNNNNNNNNNNNNNNNNNNNNNNNNNNNNNNNNNNNNNNNNNNNNNNNNNNNNNNNNNNNNNNNNNNNNNNNNNNNNNNNNNNNNNNNNNNNNNNNNNNNNNNNNNNNNNNNNNNNNNNNNNNNNNNNNNNNNNNNNNNNNNNNNNNNNNNNNNNNNNNNNNNAAUAUAGUCGUCCAAUAUAUCGAUCUUUACGUCUCGACCAUUUCGAGACUCCUCGUCAUGUCCCCGAUCUCAUCCGGGACUCCGAACUCCUUCGGUACAUCAAAACUCAUAAACUCAUAAUAUAACUGUCAUCAAAACCUUAAGCGUGCGGACCCUACGGGUUCGAGAACAAUGUAGACAUGACCGAGACAUGUCUCCGGUCAAUAACCAAUAGCGGGACCUGGAUGCCCAUAUUGGCUCCUACAUAUUCUACGAAGAUCUUUAUCGGUCAGACCGCAUAACAACAUACGUUGUUCCCUUUGUCAUCGGUAUGUUACUUGCCCGAGAUUCGAUCGUCGGUAUCCAAUACCUAGUUCAAUCUCGUUAACGGCAAGUCUCUUUACUCGUUCCGUAAUACAUCAUCUCACAACUAACAUAUUAGUUGUAAUGCUUGCAAGGCUUAUGUGAUGUGUAUUACCGAGAGGGCCCAGAGAUACCUCUCCGACAAUCGGAGUGACAAAUCCUAAUCUCGAAAUACGCCAACCCAACAUCAACCAUUGGAGACACCUGUAGUACUCCUUUAUAAUCACCCAUUUACGUUGUGACGUUUGGUAGUACCCAAAGUGUUCCUCCGGUAAACGGGAGUUGCAUAAUCUCAUAGUCGUAGGAACAUGUAUAAGUCAUGAAGAAAGCAAUAGCAACAUACUAAACGAUCAGGUGCUAAGCUAAUGGAAUGGGUCAUGUCAAUCAGAUCAUUCUACUAAUGAUGUGACCUCGUUAAUCAAAUAACAACUCAUUGUUCAUGGUUAGGAAACAUAACCAUCUUUGAUUAACGAGCUAGUCAAGUAGAGGCAUACUAGUGACACUCUGUUUGUCUAUGUAUUCACACAUGUAUUAUGUUUCCGGAAAAUACAAUUCUAGCAUGAAUAAUAAACAUUUAUCAUGAUUAUAAGGAAAUAAAUAAUAACUUUAUUAUUGCCUCUAGGGCAUAUUUCCUUCAUAUAUAUGCCGCGUCGAAGCCGCUGAUUCUCCUUCACGGAGUCCAACAGCUGGGCACGAACAUCCUUCAGUUCAACGCCUAGCUUGGUGUUGGCAUCUUGGAGAUUGUUCUUCUCCCGCCUCACCUUUGUCGGCACGCUCUCACCAGCCUUCAGCUGGCGUCGGAGUUGUUGCUCUUCUGGAUUUAAUCCGGCGCCAUCUACAAUUUCAUUUGUCAGAUUUGCACCCACGCCGCACUUCGCAAAAUACUUAUCUUUCGAAGCGUAUAUUACCAGAGGGGGUCUCCUUGGGCUCCCCUGCCGCGACUAGUGCGGCCUCAAGUUGGGCUUUGCACUCUUCCAGCUCCUGGGACAGUAGGGUAUUCUUUUCUGUAAGAACCUGCAUAACAAAUGAUCCUUAAAUCAGUUAUUCUAACUAUUUCAAGUCUCGGGGGCUACUGGUAUAUAUAUAAUUACCAAAAUUUUCUUACCCGUAUGUCUUUUACAUACUGCUCCGUGGCUUUGGCUAGACCAUUUUGAGCGGCACGGAGGUACGCAUCUCCCGAAUUGAAGGCAUCCAAUGCCUCUUGGGAGAAACAAGCGUCGCGAAGAACUGUCCGGCGACGCCUGUGGUUCAUGGCGCUCUCCACCUUGGAAUUGGUGGCAGACAACCUGUCCACAUCCUCUGUCGGAGGAGCAUCCGGUGCGCGCCUUGUGUUCGCCUCCACUUCCGGACCAGGCUUUGGAGCCUAGCUGGUGGAGGCGCGAUUGGCAGCCCCUCCGGAUAUAGUCCGGCGAGGUCUCUUCGUCCUGAAGAGAGCACAAGCGUUAAUAUGCCUUGAAGGAAUAACACCUGGGAAUAAGAUGGCGCGCUAUACCUUUGCGCCGGCGUCUCAGUCUGGAACGCACUUCUUUUCAGCCUGCGGGGCCUUGCCGCCCCUCAUUGGCUAGUCGCCACAGGCUCGGCCUCCCGUCUCAAGGACCUCCCCUGCAAAACACGGUUGUCAUACGGCAAUCGGAAACACGUGAGGAUAGAUCCCUUUUCAAAGUGCUGGGACUUCGGUCUCAAUUACCUGUGAGGCUGGGAGUAGCCCUGGGUAGUCGGCCGUAAUGGCCACCAAGGCGUUGUCCUUGCUCAAUUGAUGAAACACCCCAUCAAUCAGCUCCAUAGAUAAGUCCGGAUCCUCUUGAGAGGCCGGGUCGAGGGACCAUCCCGGAUCCUCGGGUUGUGGAGGAGGGUUGUUUAUUUCUUUAACAGCAUGGCGCAGUUCCUGCGUUGAAGUCGUUAGACUGAAUAUUUAACGAUGGGAAUAUAAAAUGGAUGGGCAAGUAAAAGUGUCCACUUACCCAACUUGGGGGAUUGUACAUAGAAAAUCCACCCUGUGGGUUGACGUGGAGAAAUUCCUCGUCUUCUCCCUUGUACAAAGCGGACAAGGUCUUUAUUAGAGCGGCAGCCGAAUCCGGCCCCUUACAGCCGUAGCGGGUGGCAUCGUCCUCCCCGUUGAAGUCCCACAUGGGGCGGCCUCUAUACUGAAGCGGCUGCACCCCUCGCAGGAUGCAUGCGGCCAUGACCCCGAUCAUGGUCAGUCCGGAAUGAGCUAACAAUCUUAUCCGGCCCAUCAGGUAAAGAACGUCCCUGUCACUUUCCCUCUGAGGGCUCCAUGGACGCCAGCUUAGGCGCUUCUUUAGGGGAGCACUGUCGAACUCAGGGAGGCCGAUCCGGACAGGAUCCGGCAGCGGGACGUCCUCUAUAUAAAACCAUUCCGAGGGCUAGUCCUCGGACGCCUUCUUUGGGGUUCCGGAUAGAUAUCCGGUCCCGGCGAUGCGCCACACUUCGGCUCCGCCCACUUGAUACAUUGACCCCUUCUUAGAGCGGGGCACGAGGCAGAAUAGCCUUUUCCAUAGCACGAAAUGAGCCUCACAGCCCAAAAAUAGCUCGCAAAGGGCCACGAAGCCCGUGAUAUGCAAUAUGGAGGCAGGCGUGAGGUUGUGCAGCUGGAGGCCGUAGAACUCCAGGAGCCCCCGGAGAAACAAAUGAAUUGGAAAUCCGAGCCCUCUUAUUAAGUAAGGGACAAGGCAUACCCGCUCUCCUUUGGAGGGAUUGGGGGCGCUCUCCGCUUGCUCUCCGCCAUUAUAGGUGGCAAGUCCGGCUCGAACCAGGACCAUAUAGGCCGGGGGGAGAAAUCCCUUGGUCUGGAGCGUCACUAGCUCGCUGUGCGGGAUGGAGCACCUCUUCCAAUCUCUAGGCUGAGGACUGGAAGGGCGAGAGGAGGAACUGCGGCGGUCGGCCAUGAUAGAAUGGACCUCUGUCGGAUACGCUCUGAUGAAUACUCGCGGAGGGGAGAAGGUGUGGUUUGGAUCUAAAUCCUCGUCCCCUUAAAUAGGUGGCUCAUUCACGCGGCUAGGGGUGUAAAUAUAAAAAACACCCUGACUUUUCGUAUUCGUUUGACACAUGGAAGACGGCCAUUAUUGGGCGUAGAAGCCAAGGAGCGCUACAAGAAACCGGACAUUAUUUAACAGGUACACGGAAUUUGGAGAACCCGCCUUGCAAUGCCGAAGACAAUUUGCACGCCGGACUCAUCGUCAUUGAAGCCUGGUUCGGGGGCUACUGAGGGAGUCCUGGAUUAGGGGGUGUCCGGAUAGCCGGACUAUACCUUCGGCCGGACUCCUGGACUAUGAAGAUACAAGAUUGAAGACUUCGUCCCGUGUCCGGAAGGGACUUUCCUUGGCGUGGAAGGCAAGCUUGGCGAUACGUAUAUGUAGAUCUCCUACCAUUGUAACCGACUCUGUGUAACCCUAGCCCUCUCCGGUGUCUAUAUAAACCGGAGGGUUUUAGUCCGUAGGACGAACAACAAUCAUACCAUAGGCUAGCUUCUAGGGUUUAGCCUCCUUAAUCUCGUGGUAGAUCUACUCUUGUACUACCCAUAUCAUCAAUAUUAAUCAAGCAGGACGUAGGGUUUUACCUCCAUCAAGAGGGCCCAAACCUGGGUAAAACAUUGUGUCCCUUGUCUCCUGUUACCAUCCGCCUAGACGCACAGUUCGGGACCCCCUACCUGAGAUUNNNNNNNNNNNNNNNNNNNNNNNNNNNNNNNNNNNNNNNNNNNNNNNNNNNNNNNNNNNNNNNNNNNNNNNNNNNNNNNNNNNNNNNNNNNNNNNNNNNNNNNNNNNNNNNNNNNNNNNNNNNNNNNNNNNNNNNNNNNNNNNNNNNNNNNNNNNNNNNNNNNNNNNNNNNNNNNNNNNNNNNNNNNNNNNNNNNNNNNNNNNNNNNNNNNNNNNNNNNNNNNNNNNNNNNNNNNNNNNNNNNNNNNNNNNNNNNNCCCUCCACCCUCAUGGGACCCCUGUUGCUCCACCGACGUACUUCUUCCUCCUAUAUAUACCCACGUACCCCCAAAAGAUCAGACACGGAGCCAAAACCCUAAUUCCACCACCGCAACUUUUUGUAUCCAUGAGAUCCCAUCUUGAGGCUUGUUUCGGAGCUCCGUCGAAGGGGGCACCGAUCACGGAGGGCUUCUACAUCAACACCAUAGCCUCUCCGAUGAAGUGUGAGUAGUUUACUUCAGACCUACGGGUCCAUAGUUAGUAGCUAGAUGGCUUCUUCUCUCUUUUUGGAUCUCAAUACAAUGUUCUCCCCCUCUCUUGUGGAGAUCUAUUCGAUGUAAUCUUAUUUUUGUGGUGUGUUUGUUGAGACUGAUGAAUUGUGGGUUUAUGAUCAAGUCUAUCUAUGAAUAAUAUUUGAAUCUUCUCUGAAUUCUUUUAUGUAUGAUUGGUUAUCUUUGCAAGUCUCUUUGAAUUAUCAGUUUGGUUUGGCCUACUAGAUUGAUCUUUCUUGCAAUGGGAGAAGUGCUUAGCUUUGGGUUCAAUCUUGUGGUGUCCUUUCCCGGUGACAGUAAGGGCAGCAAGGCACGUAUUGUAUUGUUGCCAUCGAGGAUAACAAGAUGGGGUUUUCUUCAUAUUGCAUGAGUCUAUCCCUCUACAUCAUGUCAUCUUGCUUAAGGCGUUACUCCGUUUUUAACUUAAUACUCUAGAUGCAUGCUGGAUAGCAGUCGAUAAGUGGAGUAAUAGUAGUAGAUGCAGGCAGGAGUCGGUCUACUUGUCUCGGACGUGAUGCCUAUAUACAUGAUCAUACCUAGAUAUUCUCAUAAAUAUGCUCAAUUCUGUCAAUUGCUCAACAGUAAUUUGUUCACCCACCAUAGAAUACUUAUGCUCUCGAGAGAAGCCACUAGUGAAACCUAUGGCCCCGGGGUCUAUCUUUAUCAUAUCAAUCUCCUGCUACUUAGUUAUUUACUUUGCUAUUAACUUUGCCUUUAUUUGGCUUUGCAUCUUUAUCAUAAAAAUACCAAAAAUAUUAUCUUUAUCAUAUCUAUCAGAUCUCACUCUCGUAAGUGGACCUAUAGGGAUUGACAACCCCUAUUUGCGUUGGUUGCGAGGAUUUAUUUGUUUGUGCAGGCAUGAGGGACUUGCGUGUAGCCUCCUACUGGAUUGAUACCUUGGUUCUCAAAAACUAAGGGAAAUACUUAUGCUACUUUGCUGUAUCAUCCCUUCCUCUUCGGGGAAAACCAACGCAGUGCUAAAAGAGGUAGCAAGAAGGAUUUCUAGCGCCGUUGCCGGGGAGGUCUAUGCAAAAGUCAACAUACCAAGUACCCAUCACAUACCCUCAUCUCCCGCAUUACAUUAUUUUCCAUUUGCCUCUUGUUUUCCUCUCCCCCCAAUUCACCCUUGCCAUUUUAUUCGCCCUCUCUCUCUAUCCUCCCUCUCUAUUUGCACUUUUUGUCCGCUUGCUUUUUGUUUGCUUGUGUGUUAGUUUGCUUGUUUGUCGCAAUGGCUCAAGAUAAUACUAAAUUGUGUGACUUCACCAAUACCAACAACAAUGAUUUUAUUACCACUCCAAUUGCUCCUCUUACCGAUGCUGAAUCUUGUGAAAUUAAUACUGCUUUACUGAAUCUUGUCAUGAAAGAUCCGUUCUCCGGCCUUCCUAGUGAAGACGCCGCUACCCAUCUAAAUAGCUUCGUUGAUUUGUGUGACAUGCAAAAGAAGAAAAAUGUGGAUAAUGAUAUUGUUAAAUUGAAGCUAUUUCCUUUUUCGCUUAGAGAUCCUGCUAAAGCUUGGUUUUCGUCUUUGCCUAAAAAUAGUAUUGAUUCAUGGAACAAGUGCAAAGAUGCUUUUAUCUCUAAGUAUUUUCCUCUCGCUAAAAUCAUAUCUCUUAGAAACGAUAUUAUGAACUUUAAGCAACUUGAUCAUGAACAUGUUGCACAAGCUUGGGAGAGAAUGAAAUUAAUGAUACGUAAUUGCCCUACUCAUGGUUUAAAUGUGUGGAUGAUUAUACAAAUUUUUUAUGCCUGAUUGAAUUUUUCUUCUAGAGAUCUUUUGGAUUCGGCCACGGGAGGCACUUUUAUGGAAAUCACUUUAGGAGAAGCUACUAAACUCCUAGAUAAUAUUAUGGUUAAUUAUUCUCAAUGGCACACUGAAAGAUCUACUAAUAAAAAGGUGCAUGCGAUAGAAGAAAAUAAUGUUUUGAGUGGAAAGAUGGAUGAACUUAUGAAAUUAUUUGCUAAUAAGAGUGUUUCUUCAGAUCCUAAUGAUAUGCCCUUGUCUACUUUGAUUGAGAAUAAUAAUGAAUCUAUGGAUGUGAAUUUUGUUGGUAGGAACAAUUUUGGUAACACUGCAUAUAGAGGAAAUUUCAAUCCUAGGCCUUAUCCUAGUAAUCCCUCUAAUAAUUAUGGUAAUUCCUACAACAAUUCUUAUGGAAAUUAUAAUAAUAUGCCCUCUGAUUUUGAUUCUAAUAUUAAAGAAUUUAUUACUUCAUAAAAGAAUUUUAAUGCUAUCAUUGAAGAAAAAUUGCUUAAGAUUGAUGAUUUGGCUAGGAACGUUGAUAGAAUUGCUCUUGAUGUUGAUUCUUUGAAACUUAGAUCUAUUCCACCUAAGCAUGAUAUCAAUGAGUCUCUCAAAGCCAUGAGAAUUUCCAUUGACGAGUGCAAAUAAAGAACCGCUAGGAUGCGUGCUAAGAAAGAUGCCUUUAUAAAAGCGUGUUCUUCUAGUUCCUAUGAAAAUAAUGAUGAAGAUCUAAAAGUUAUUGAUGUGUCCCCUGUUAAAUCUGUGUUUUGCAAUAUGAAUCUUGAUAAUGAUGGGACUGAAUAUGAUCCACCUUUACCUAGAAGGCAUUCUAAGAAUUCGGAAUUUGUUGAUCUUGAUGCUAAAUUUGAUUAAAGUGGGAUUGAAGAAAUUAAAACCCUAGAUGGUGCUAAACCCACCAUUAUGGAUUUCAAGGAAUUUAACUAUGAAAAUUGCUCUUUAAUUGAUUGAAUUUCCUUAUUGCAAUUUGUGCUAAAUUCUCCUCAUGCUUAUAGUCAAAAUAAAGCGUUUACUAAACAUAUCGUUGAUGCCUUGAUGCAAUCUUAUGAAGAAAAACUUGAAUUGGAAGUUUCUAUCCCUAGAAAACUUUAUGAUGAGUGGGAACCAAUUAUUAAAAUUAAAAUUAAAGAUCAUGAAUGCUAUGCUUUAUGUGAUCUGGGUGCUAGUGUUUCCAUGAUUCCAAAGACUUUGUGUGAUUUGUUAGGUUUCCGUGAUUUUGAUGAUUGCUCUCUAAACUUGCACCUUGCGGAUUCCCUAUUAAGAAACCUAUGGGAAGAAUUAAUGAUGUUAUUAUUGUUGCAAAUAGGAAUUAUGUGCCCGUAGAUUUUAUUGUUCUUGACAUAGAUUACAAUCCUUCAUGUCCUAUUAUUCUUGGUAGACCUUUCCUUAGAACGAUUGGUGCAAUUAUUGAUAUGAAGGAAGGAAAUAUUAGAUUCCAAUUUCCGUUAAGGAAAGGCAUGUAACACUUUCCUAGGAACAAAAUUAAAUUACCUUAUGAAUCUAUUAUGAGAGCCACUUAUGGAUUGCCUACCAAAGAUGGCAAUACCUAGAUCUAUUCUUGCUUGUUAUGCCUAGCUAGUGGCGUUAAACGAUAGCGCUUGUUGGGAGCAACCCAAUUUUAUUUUUAUUCCUUGAUUUUUGCUCCUUCUUAGUAAUAAAUAAAUUAUUUAGCCUCUUUUUUGGUUGUGUUUUUUGUGUUUAACUAGUGUUUGUUCCAAGUAGAACCGUUGGGAAGACUUGGGGAAAGUCUUGUUGAACUUGCUGUAAAAAACAGAAACUUUAGCGCUCACGAGAACUACUGUCAUUUUUAUUUGGGAAGUGCUAUUUAGUUAAUUCUUUUUGAAGAUGAUUAAUAGAUAAAUUCCUCACGUCCAGAAAUUUAUUUUAGAAUUUUUGGGGUUCCAGAUCUUGCGCUAGCUACAGAUUACUACAGACUGUUCUGUUUUUGACAGAUUCUGUUUUUCGUGUGUUGUUUGCUUAUUUUGAUGAAUCUAUGGCUAGUAAAUUAGUUUAUAAACCAUCGAGAAGUUGGAAUACAGUAGGUAUAACACCCAUACAAAUAAUUAAUGAGUUAAUUACAUUACCUUGAAGUGGUCUUUUGUUUUCUUUCGCUAACGGAGCUCACGAGAUUUUCUACUUUAAGUUUUGUGUUGUGAAGUUUUCAAGUUUUGGGUAAAGAUUUGAUGGAUUAUGGAACAAGGAGUGGCAAGAUACUAAGCUUGGGGAUGCCCAUGGAACCCCCAAGAUAAUCUAAGGACACCUAAAAGCCAAAGCUUGGGGAUGCCCCGGAAGGCAUCCCCUCUUUCGUCUACUUCUAUCGGUAACUUUACUUGGAGCUAUAUUUUUAUUUACCACAUGAUAUGUGUUUUGCUUGGAGCGUCUUGUAUUAUUUGAGUCUUUGCUUAUUAUUUUACCACAAUCAUCCUUGCUGUACACACCUUUUGAGAGAGCCAUAUAUGAUUUGGAAUUUGUUAGAAUACUCUAUGUGCUUCGCUUAUAUCUUUUGAGUUAUAUAAUUUUACUCUGGUGCUUCACUUAUAUCUUUUAGAGCACGGUGGUGGAUUUGUUUUAUAGAAACUAUUGAUCUCUCAUGCUUCACUUAGAUUAUUUUGAGAGUCUUAAAUAGCAUGGUAAUUUGCUUAAAAUCCUAAUAUGCUUGGUAUGCAAGAUUAAUAAUAAAAAUUCUCUUAUGAGUGUGUUGAAUACUAUGAUAAGUUUGAUACUUGAUAAUUGUUUUGAGACAUGGAGAUGGUGAUAUUAAAGUCAUGCUAGUUGAGUAGUUGUGAAUUUGAGAAAUACUUGUGUUGAAGCUUGUGAUUCCCGUAGCAUGCACGUAUGGUGAACCGUUAUGUGAUGAAGUCGGAGCAUUAUGAGUGGCGGUCGGGGACGAGCGAUGGUCUUUUCCUACCAAUCUAUCCCCCUAGGAGCAUGCGCGUAAUACUUUGCUUUGAUAACCUGUAGAUUUUUGCAAUAAGUAUAUGAGUUCUUUAUGACUAAUGUUGAGUCCAUGGAUUAUACGCACUCUCACCCUUCCACCUUUGCUAGCCUCUCUAAUACCGUGCACCUUUCGCCGGUAUCAUACACCUACCAUAUACCUUCCUCAAAACAGCCACCAUACCUACCUAUUAUGGCAUUUCCAUAGCCAUUCCGAGAUAUAUUGCCAUGCAACUUUCCACUGUUCCGUUUAUGACACAUUCCAUCAUUGUCAUAUUGCUUAGCAUGAUCAUGUAGUUGACAUAGUAUUCAUGGCAAAGCCACCGUUCAUAAUUCUUUCUUGUCACUCAUGCAUCAUUGCAUAUCCCGGUACACCGCCGGAGGCAUUCAUAUAGAGUCAUAUCUUGUUCUAAGUAUCGAGUUGUAAUUAUUGAGUUGUAAGAAAAAUAAAAGUGCGAUGAUCCUAAUUAUUAGAGCAUUGUCCCAAGUGAGGAAAGGAUGAUGUAGACUAUGAUUCCCCCACAAGUCGGGAUGAGACUCCGGACGAAAAAAAAGAGAAAGAAAAGAGGCCAUAAAAAAAGAGAAAAGGCCCAAAUCAAAAAAAAUGAGAGAAAAAGAGAGAAGGGACAUUGUUACUAUCCUUUUACCACACUUGUGCUUCAAAGUAGCACCAUGAUCUUCAUAGUAGAGAGUCUCUCAUGUUAUCACUUUCAUAUACUAGUGGGAAUUUUUCAUUAUAGAACUUGGCUUGUAUAUUCCAAUGAUGGGCUUCCUCAAAAUUGCCCUAGGUCUUCAUGAGCAAGCAAGUUGGAUGCACACCCACUUAGUUUCUUUUUGAGCUUUCAUAUACUUAUAGGUCUAGGGCAUCCGUUGCAUGGCAAUCCCUACUCACUCACAUUAAUAUCUAUUGAUCGACAUCUCCAUAGCCCGUUGAUACGCCUAGUUGAUGUGGGACUACCCCUUUUUGUCUUCUCCACAACCACCACUCUAUUCCACCUAUAGUGAUAUAUCCAUGGCUCACGCUCAUGUAUUGCGUGAAGAUUGAAAAAGUUUUGAGAAUGUCAAAAGUAUGAAACAAUUGCUUGGCUUGUCAUCGGAGUUGUGCAUGAUUUAAAUAUUUUGUGUGGUGAAGAUAGAGCAUAGCCAGACUAUAUGAUUUUGUAGAACUUUCUUUAGCCAUGUUAUUUUGAGAAGACAUAAUUGCUUUGUUAGUAUGCUUGAAGUAUUAUUAUUUUCUAUGUCAAUACGAACUUUUGUCUUGAAUCUUUUGGAUCUAAAUAUUCAUACCACAAUUAAGAAGAAUUACAUUAAAAUUAUGCCAAGUAGCAGUCCGCAUCAAAAAUUCUGUUUUUAUCAUUUACCUACUCGAGGACGAGCAGGAAUUAAGCUUGGGGAUGCUUGAUACGUCUCCAACGUAUCUAUAAUUUUUGAUUGCUCCAUGCUAUAUUAUCUACUAUUUUGGACAUUAUUGGGCUUUAUUAUCCACUUUUAUAUUAUUUUUGGGACUAACCUAUUAACCGGAGGCCCAACCCAGAAUUGAUGUUUUUUGCCUAUUUUAGGGUUUCGAAGAAAAGGAAUAUCAAACAGAGUCCAAAUGGAAUGAAACCUUCGGGAACAUGAUUUUCUCGCCGAAUACAACUCAGGAGACUUGGACCCUACAUCAAGCCAACUAACAGGAGGCCACGAGGUAGGGGUGUUGGAAAUAUGCCCUAGAGGCAAUAAUAAAUUGAUUAUUAUUAUAUUUCCUUGUUCAUGAUAAUCGUUUAUUAUCCAUUCUAGAAUUGUAUUGAUAGGAAACUCAGAUACAUGUGUGGAUACAUAGACAACACCAUGUCCCUAGUAAGCCUCUAGUUGACUAGCUCGUUGAUCAAUAGAUGGUUACGGUUUCCUGACCAUGGACAUUGGAUGUCGUUGAUAACGGGAUCACAUCAUUAGGAGAAUUAUGUGAUGGACAAGACCCAAUCCUAAGCCUAGCACAAAGAUCGUGUAGUUCGUAUGCUAAAGCUUUUCUAAAUGUCAAGUAUCAUUUCCUUAGACCAUGAGAUUGUGCAAAUCCCGGAUACCGUAGGAAUACUUUGGGUGUGCCAAACGUCACAACGUAACUGGGUGGCUAUAAAGGUACACUACGGGUAUCUCCGAAAGUGUCUGUUGGGUUGGCACGAAUCGAGACUGGGAUUUGUCACUCCGUGUGACGGAGAGGUAUCUCUGGGCCCACUCGGUAGGACAUCAUCAUAAUGUGCACAAUGUGAUCAAGGAGUUGAUCACGGGAUGAUGUGUUACGGAACGAGUAAAGAGACUUGCCGGUAACGAGAUUGAACAAGGUAUCGGGAUACCGACGAUCGAAUCUCGGGCAAGUAUCGUACCGAUAGACAAAGUAAUUGCAUACGGGAUUGAUUAAAGUCCUUGACAUCGUGGUUCAUUCAAUGAGAUCAUCGUGGAGCAUGUGGGAGCCAACAUGGGUAUCCAGAUCCCGCUGUUGGUUAUUGACCGGAGAACGUCUCGGUCAUGUCUGCAUGGUUCCCGAACCCGUAGGGUCUACACGCUUAAGGUUCGGUGAUGCUAGGGUUAUAGAGAUAUUAGUAUGCGGUAACCCGAAAGUUGUUCGGAGUCCCGGAUGAGAUCCCGGAUGUCACGAGGAGUUCCGGAAUGGUCCGGAGGUAAAGAAUUAUAUAUAGGAAGUGCUAUUUCGGCCAUCGGGACAAGUUUCGGGGUCACCGGUAUUGUACCGGGACCACCGGAAGGGUCCCGGGGGUCCACCGGGUGGGGCCACCUGCCCCGGGGGCCACAUGGGCUGUAGGGGUGUGCGCCUUGGCCUAUAUGGGCCAAGGGCACAAGCCCCAAGAGGCCCAUGCGCCAAGAGAUAAGGAAAGGAAGAGUCCUAAAGGGGGAAGUCACCUCCUAGGUGCUUUGGGGAGGAGGGACUCCUCCCUAGCCGCACCCUUCCUUGGAGGAAGGGACAAGGCUGCGCCCCCCUCUCCCUUGGCCCUAUAUAUAGUGGGGGGAAGGGAGGGUAGCCCCAUCUAAGCCCUGGCGCCUCCCUCUCCCUCCCGUGACACAUCUCCCUCCUCCCGCAGCGCUUGGCGAAGCCCUGUUGGAAUCCUGCUACUUCCACCACCACGCUGUCGUGCUGCUGGAUCUCCAUCAACCUCUCCUUCCCCCUUGCUGGAUCAAGAAGGAGGAGACGUCGCUGCUCCGUAUGUGUGUUGAACGCGGAGGUGCCGUUCGUUCGGCGCUAGGAUCAUCGGUGACUUGGAUCACGACGAGUACGACUCCUUCAACCCCGUUCUCUUGAACGCUUCCGCAUAGCGAUCUACAAGGGUAUGUAGAUGCACUCUCCUUCCCCUCGUUGCUAGUCUCUCCAUAGAUAGAUCUUGGUGACACGUAGGAAAUUUUUUGAAUUUCUGCUACGUUCCCCAACAGUGGCAUCAUGAGCUAGGUCUAUUGCGUAGAUUCUAUGCACGAGUAGAACACAAAGUAGUUGUGGGCGUUGAUUUUGUUUAAUAUGCUUACCGUUACUAGUCCAAUCUUGAUUCGGCGGCAUUGUGGUAUGAAGCGGCCCGGACCAACCUUACACGUACGCUUACGUGAGACCGGUUCCACCAACUAACAUGCACUAGUUGCAUAAGGUGGCUGGCGGGUGUCUGUCUCUCCCACUUUAGUCGGAUCGGAUUCGAUCAAAAGGGUCCUUAUGAUGGGUAAAUAGCAAUUGGCAUAUCACGUUGUGGUCUUUGCGUAGGUAAGAAACGUUCUUGCUAGAAACCCAUAGCAUCCACGUAAAACAUGCAAACAACAAUUAGAGGAUGUCUAACUUGUUUUUUCAGGGUAUGCUAUGUGAUGUGAUAUGGCCAAAGGAUGUGAUGAAUGAUAUAUGUGAUGUAUGAGAUGAUCAUGUUCUUGUAAUAGGAAUCACGACUUGCAUGUCGAUGAGUAUGACAACCGGCAGGAGCCAUAGGAGUUGUCUUUAUUUAUUUAUGACCUGCGUGUCAACAUAAACGUCAUGUAAUUACUUUACUUUAUUGCUAACCGUUAGCCAUAGUAGUAGAAGUAAUAGUUGGCGAGACAACUUCAUGAAGACACGAUGAUGGAGAUCAUGAUGAUGGAGAUCAUGGUGUCAUGCCGGUGACGAUGAUGAUCAUGAAGGAAAUAUGCCCUAGAGGCAAUAAUAAAGUUAUUAUUUAUUUCCUUAUAUCAUGAUAAAUGUUUAUUAUUCAUGCUAGAAUUGUAUUAACCAGAAACAUAAUACAUGUGUGAAUACAUAGACAAACAGAGUGUCACUAGUAUGCCUCUACUAGACUAGCUCGUUAAUCAAAGAUGGUUAUGUUUCCUAACCAUAGACAAAGGAGUUGUUAUUUGAUUAACGAGGUCACAUCAUUAGUUGAAUGAUCUGAUUGACAUGACCCAUUCCAUUAGCUUAGCACCUGAUCGUUUAGUAUGUUGCUAUUGCUUUCUUCAUGACUUAUACAUGUUCCUAUGACUAUGAGAUUAUGCAACUCCCGUUUGCCGGAGGAACACUUUGGGUGCUACCAAACGUCACAACGUAACUGGGUGAUUAUAAAGGAGCAUUACAGGUGUCUCCAAAGAUAGAUGUUGGGUUGGCGUAUUUCGAGAUUAGGAUUUGUCACUCCGAUUGUCGGAGAGGUAUCUCUGGGUCCUCUCGGUAAUACACAUCACAUAAGCCUUGCAAGCAUUACAACUAAUAUGUUAGUUGCGAGAUGAUGUAUUACGGAACGAGUAAAGAGACUUGCCGGUAACGAGAUUGAACUAGGUAUUGGAUACCGACGAUCGAAUCUCGGGCAAGUAACAUACCGAUGACAAAGGGAACAACGUAUGUUGUUAUGCGGUCUGACCGAUAAAGAUCUUCGUAGAAUAUGUAGGAGCCAAUAUGGGCAUCCAGGUCCCGCUACUGGUUAUUGACCGGAGACGUGUCUCGGUCAUGUCUACAUUGUUCUCGAACCCGUAGGGUCCGCACGCUUAAGGUUACGAUGACAGUUACAUUAUGAGUUUAUGCAUUUUGAUGUACCGAAGGUUGUUCGGAGUCCCGGAUGUGAUCACGGACAUGACGAGGAGUCUCGAAAUGGUCUAGACGUAAAUAUUGAUAUAUUGGAAGCCUAUGUUUGGACAUCGGAAGUGUUCCGGGUGAAAUCGGGAUUUUACUGGGUUACCGGGAGGUUACCGGAACCCCCCGGGAGCCAUAUGGGCCUUCAUGGGCCUUAGUGGAAAGGAGAAAGGGGCAGCCCAAGGUGGCUGCGCCACUUCCCCCUCCCGUAGUCCUAUUAGGACUAGGAGAAGGUGGCCGACCCCCCUCUCCCUCUUUCCCCCUUUGGGGAAUCCUAGUUGGAAUAGGAUUGGGGGGGAGUCCUACUCCCGGAAGGAGUAGGACUCCUCCUGCGCCCUCCUCCUUGGUCGGCGCCCCCUCCCCCCUUGGCUCCUUUAUAUACUGAGGUAGAGGCACCCCAAAGUGACACAAGUUGAUCCACGUGAUCUAUUCCUUAGCCGUGUGCGAUUCCCCCUGCCACCAUAUUCCUCGAUAAUACUGUAGCGGAGUUUAGGCGAAGCCCUGCUGCUGUAGUACAUCAAGAUCGUCACCAUGCCGUCAUGCUGACGGAACUCUUCCCCGACACUUUGCUGGAUCGGAGUCCGGGGAUCGUCAUCGAGCUGAACGUGUGCUUGAACUCGGAGGUGCCGUAGUUUCGGUGCUUGAUCGGUUGGAUCGUGAAGACGUACGACUACUUCCUCUACGUCGUGUCAGCGCUUCCGCAGUCGGUCUGCGUUGGGUUCGUAGACAACACUCUCCCAUAUCAUUGCUAUGCAUCACAUGAUCUUGCGUGUGCGUAGGAAUUUUUUUGAAAUUACUACGAAACCCAACAGUGGCAUCCGAGCCUAGGUUAUUUAUGUUGAUGUUAUUUGCACGAGUAGAACACAAGUGAGUUGUGGACGAUACAAGUCAUACUGCCUACCAGCAUGUCAUACUUUGGUUCGGCGGUAUUGUUGGACGAGACGACCCGGACCAACCUUACGCGUACGCUUACGCGAGACCGGUUCCCUCGACGUGCUUUGCACAUAGAUGGCUUGCGGGCGACUAUCUCUCCAACUUUAGUUGAACCGAGUAUGGCUACGCCCGGUCCUUACGAAGGUUAAAACGGAGUCUAUUUGACAAACUAUCGUUGUGGUUUUGAUGCGUAGGUGAGAUUGGUUCUUACUUAAGCCCGUAGCAGCCACGUAAAACAUGCAACAACAAAGUAGAGGACGUCUAACUUGUUUUUGCAGGGCAUGUUGUGAUGUGAUAUGGUCAAGGCAUGAUGCUGAAUUUUAUUGUAUGAGAUGAUCAUGUUUUGUAAUCGAGUUAUCGGCAACUGGCAGGAGCCAUAUGGUUGUCGCUUUAUUGUAUGCAAUGCAAUCGCGAUGUAAUGCUUUACUUUAUUACUAAACGGUAGUGAUAGUCGUGGAAGCAUAAGAUUGGCGAGACGACAACGAUGCUACGAUGGAGAUCAAGGUGUCGCGCCGAUGACGAUGGUGAUCAUGACGGUGCUUCGGAGAUGGAGAUCACAAGCACAAGAUGAUGAUGGCCAUAUCAUAUCACUUAAAUUGAUUGCAUGUGAUGUUUAUCCUUUUAUGCAUCUUAUCUUGCUUUGAUUGACGGUAGCAUUAUAAGAUGAUCUCUCACUAAAUUAUCAAGAAGUGUUCUCCCUGAGUAUGCACCGUUGCCAAAGUUCGUCGUGCCCAGACACCACGUGAUGAUCGGGUGUGAUAAGCUCUACGUCCAUCUACAAUGGGUGCAAGCCAGUUUUUGCACACGCAGAAUACUCAGGUUAAACUUGACGAGCCUAGCAUAUGCAGAUAUGGCCUCGGAACACGGAGACCGAAAGGUCGAGCGUGAAUCAUAUAGUAGAUAUGAUCAACAUAACGAUGUUCACCAUUGAAAACUACUCCAUCUCAUGUGAUGAUCGGUCAUGGUUUAGUUGAUUUGGAUCACGUAAUCACUUAGAAGAUUAGAGGGAUGUCUAUCUAAGUGGGAGUUCUUAAGUAAUAUGAUUAAUUGAACUUAAAUUUAUCAUGAACUUAGUACCUGAUAGUAUCUUGCUUGUUUAUGUUGAUUGUAGAUAGAUGGCUUGUGCUGUUGUUCCGUUGAAUUUUAAUGCGUUCCUUGAGAAAGCAAAGUUGAAAGAUGAUGGUAGCAAUUACACGGACUGGGUCCGUAACUUGAGGAUUAUCCUCAUUGCUGCUCAGAAGAAUUACGUCCUGGAAGCACCGCUGGGUGCCAGGCCUGCUGCUGGAGCAACACCAGAUGUUAUGAACGUCUGGCAGAGCAAAGCUGAUGACUACUCGAUAGUUCAGUGUGCCAUGCUUUACGGCUUAGAAUCGGGACUUCAACGACGUUUUGAACGUCAUGGAGCAUAUGAGAUGUUCCAGGAGUUGAAGUUAAUAUUUCAAGCAAAUGCCCGAAUUGAGAGAUAUGAAGUCUCCAAUAAGUUCUAUAGCUGCAAGAUGGAGGAGAACAGUUCUGUUAGUGAGCAUAUACUCAAAUGUCUGGGUAUAAUAAUCACUUGAUUCAAUUGGGAGUUAAUCUUCCGGAUGAUUGCGUCAUUGACAGAAUUCUCCAAUCACUGCCACCAAGCUACAAAAGCUUCGUGAUGAACUAUAAUAUGCAAGGGAUGAACAAGACUAUUCUCGAGCUCUUCGCAAUGCUGAAAGCUGCGGAGGUAGAAAUCAAGAAGGAGCAUCAAGUGUUGAUGGUUAACAAGACCACUAGUUUCAAGAAAAAGGGCAAAGGGAAGAAGAAGGGGAACUUCAAGAAGAAUGGCAAGCAAGUUGCUGCUCAAGAGAAGAAACCCAAGUCUGGACCUAAGCCUGAAACUGAGUGCUUCUACUGCAAGCAGACUGGUCACUGGAAGCGGAUCUGCCCCAAGUAUUUGGCGGAUAAGAAGGAUGGCAAGGUGAACAAAGGUAUAUGUGAUAUACAUGUUAUUGAUGUGUACCUUACUAGAGCUCGCAGUAGUACCUGGGUAUUUGAUACUGGUUCUGUUGCUAAUAUUUGCAACUCGAAACAGGGACUACGGGUUAAGCGGGCACUGGCAAAGGACGAGGUGACGAUGCGCGUGGGAAACGGUUUCAAAGUCGAUGUGAUCGCAGUCGGCACGCUACCUCUACAUCUACCUUCGGGAUUAAUAUUAGACCUAAAUAAUUGUUAUUUGGUGCCAGCGUUGAGCAUGAACAUUAUAUCUGGAUCUUGUUUAAUGCGAGAAGGUUAUUCAUUUAAAUCAGAGAAUAAUGGUUGUUCUAUUUAUAUGAGUAAUAUCUUUUAUGGUCAUGCACCCUUGAAGAGUGGUCUAUUCUUAUUGAAUCUCGAUAGUAGUAAUACACAUAUUCAUAAUGUUGAAGCCAAAAGAUGCAGAGUUGAUAAUGAAAGUGCAACUUAUUUGUGGCACUGUCGUUUAGGUCAUAUCAGUAUAAAGCGCAUGAAGAAACUCCAUACUGAUGGACUUUUGGAACCACUUGAUUAUGAAUCACUUGGUACUUGCGAACCGUGCCUCAUGGGCAAGAUGACUAAAACACCGUUCUCCGGUACUAUGGAGAGAGCAACAGAUUUGUUGGAAAUCAUACAUACCGAUGUAUGUGGUCCGAUGAAUAUUGAGGCUCGUGGCGGAUAUCGUUAUUUUCUCACCUUCACAGAUGAUUUAAGCAGAUAUGGAUAUAUCUACUUAAUGAAACAUAAGUCUGAAACAUUUGAAAAGUUCAAAGAAUUUCAGAGUGAAGUUGAAAAUCAUCGUAACAAGAAAAUAAAGUUUCUAUGAUCUGAUCGUGGAGGAGAAUAUUUGAGUUACGAGUUUGGUGUACAUUUGAAAAACUGUGGAAUAGUUUAGCAACUCACGCCACCCGGAACACCACAGCGUAAUGGUGUGUCCGAAUGUCGUAAUCGUACUUUACUAGAUAUGGUGCGAUCUAUGAUGUCUCUUACUGAUUUACCGCUAUCGUUUUGGGGUUAUGCUCUAGAGACGGCCGCAUUCACGUUAAACAGGGCACCAUCAAAAUCCGUUGAGACGACGCCUUAUGAACUGUGGUUUGGCAAGAAACCAAAGUUGUCGUUUCUUAAAAUUUGGGGCUGCGAUGCUUAUGUGAAAAAGCUUCAACCUGAUAAGCUCGAACCCAAAUCGGAGAAAUGUGUCUUCAUAGGAUACCCAAAGGAAACUGUUGGGUACACCUUCUAUCACAGAUCCGAAGGCAAGACAUUCGUUGCUAAGAAUGGAUCCUUUCUAGAGAAGGAGUUUCUCUCGAAAGAAGUGAGUGGGAGGAAAGUAGAACUUGACGAGGUAACUGUACCUGCUCCCUUACUGGAAAGUAGUUCAUCACAGAAAACUGUUUCAGUGACACCUACACCAGUUAGUGAGGAAGCCAAUGAUAAUGAUCAUGAAACUUCAGAUCAAGAUACUACUGAACCUCGUAGAUCAACCAGAGUAAGAUCCGCACCAGAGUGGUACGGUAAUCCUGUUCUGGAAGUCAUGCUACUAGAUCAUGAUGAACCUACGAACUAUGAAGAAGCGAUGGUGAGCCCAGAUUCCGCAAAGUGGCUUGAAGCCAUGAAAUCUGAGAUGGGAUCCAUGUAUGAGAACAAAGUAUGGACUUUGGUUGACUUGCCCGAUGAUCGGCAAGCAAUUGAGAAUAAAUGGAUCUUUAAGAAGAAGACUGACGCUGAUGGUAAUGUUACUGUCUACAAAGCUCGACUUGUCGCAAAAGGUUUUCGGCAAGUUCAAGGGAUUGACUACGAUGAGACCUUCUCACCCGUAGCGAUGCUUAAGUCCGUCCGAAUCAUGUUAGCGAUUGCCGCAUUUUAUGAUUAUGAAAUUUGGCAGAUGGAUGUCAAAACUGCAUUCCUGAAUGGAUUUCUGGAAGAGGAGUUGUAUAUGAUGCAACUGGAAGGUUUUGUCGAUCCAAAGGGAGCUAACAAAGUGUGCAAGCUCCAGCGAUCCAUUUAUGGACUGGUGCAAGCCUCUCGGAGUUGGAAUAAACGUUUUGAUAGUGUGAUCAAAGCAUUUGGUUUUAUACAGACUUUCGGAGAAGCCUGUAUUUACAAGAAAGUGAGUGGGAGCUCUGUAGCAUUUCUAAUAUUAUAUGUGGAUGACAUAUUGAUGAUUGGAAAUGAUAUAGAAUUUCUGGAUAGCAUAAAGGGAUACUUGAAUAAUAGUUUUUCAAUGAAAGACCUCGGUGAAGCUGCUUACAUAUUAGGCAUUAAGAUCUAUAGAGAUAGAUCAAGACGCUUAAUUGGACUUUCACAAAGCACAUACCUUGACAAAAUUUUGAAGAAGUUCAAAAUGGAUCAAGCAAAGAAAGGGUUCUUGCCUGUGUUACAAGGUGUGAAGUUGAGUAAGACUCAAUGCCCGACCACUGCAGAAGGUAGAGAGAAUAUGAAAGAUGUUCCCUAUGCAUCAGCCAUAGGAUCUAUCAUGUAUGCAAUGCUGUGUACCAGACCUGAUGUGUGCCUUGCUAUAAGUUUAGCAGGGAGGUACCAAAGUAAUCCAGGAGUGGAUCACUGGACAGCGGUCAAGAACAUUCUGAAAUACCUGAAAAGGACUAAGGAUAUGUUUCUCGUAUAUGGAGGUGACAAAGAGCUCACCGUAAAAGGUUACGUUGAUGCAAGCUUUGACACUAAUCCGGACGAUUCUAAAUCGCAAACCGGAUACGUGUUUACAUUAAACGGUGGAGCUCUCAGUUGGUGCAGUUCUAAACAAAGCGUCGUAGCAGGAUCUACAUGUGAAGCGGAGUACAUAGCUGCUUCGGAAGCAGCGAACGAAGGAGUCUGGAUGAAGGAGUUCAUAUCCGAUCUAGGUGUUAUACCUAAUGCAUCGGGUCCAAUGAAAAUCUUUUGUGACAAUACUGGUGCAAUUGCCUUGGCAAAGGAAUCCAGAUUUCACAAAAGGACCAAACACAUCAAGAGACGCUUCAACUCCAUCCGGGAUCUAGUCCAGGUGGGAGACAUAGAGAUUUGCAAGAUACAUACGGAUCUGAAUGUUGCAGACCCGUUGACUAAGCCUCUUCCACGAGCAAAACAUGAUCAGCACCAAAGCUCCAUGGGUGUUAGAAUCAUUAUAGUGUAAUCUAGAUUAUUGACUCUAGUGCAAGUGGGAGACUGAAGGAAAUAUGCCCUAGAGGCAAUAAUAAAGUUAUUAUUUAUUUCCUUAUAUCAUGAUAAAUGUUUAUUAUUCAUGCUAGAAUUGUAUUAACCAGAAACAUAAUACAUGUGUGAAUACAUAGACAAACAGAGUGUCACUAGUAUGCCUCUACUAGACUAGCUCGUUAAUCAAAGAUGGUUAUGUUUCCUAACCAUAGACAAAGGAGUUGUUAUUUGAUUAACGAGGUCACAUCAUUAGUUGAAUGAUCUGAUUGACAUGACCCAUUCCAUUAGCUUAGCACCUGAUCGUUUAGUAUGUUGCUAUUGCUUUCUUCAUGACUUAUACAUGUUCCUAUGACUAUGAGAUUAUGCAACUCCCGUUUGCCGGAGGAACACUUUGGGUGCUACCAAAUGUCACAACAUAACUGGGUGAUUAUAAAGGAGCAUUACAGGUGUCUCCAAAGAUAGAUGUUGGGUUGGCGUAUUUCGAGAUUAGGAUUUGUCACUCCGAUUGUCGGAGAGGUAUCUCUGGGCCCUCUCGGUAAUACACAUCACAUAAGCCUUGCAAGCAUUACAACUAAUAUGUUAGUUGCGAGAUGAUGUAUUACGGAACGAGUAAAGAGACUUUCCGGUAACGAGAUUGAACUAGGUAUUGGAUACCGACGAUCGAAUCUCGGGCAAGUAACAUACCGAUGACAAAGGGAACAACGUAUGUUGUUAUGCGGUCUGACCGAUAAAGAUCUUCGUAGAAUAUGUAGGAGCCAAUAUGGGCAUCCAGGUCCCGCUAUUGGUUAUUGACCGGAGACGUGUCUCAGUCAUGUCUACAUUGUUCUCGAACCCGUAGGGUCCGCACGCUUAAGGUUACGAUGACAGUUACAUUAUGAGUUUAUGCAUUUUGAUCUACCGAAGGUUUAUCAGAGUCCCGGAUGUGAUCACGGACAUGACGAGGAGUCUCUAAAUGGUCGAGACGUAAAUAUUGAUAUAUUGGAAGCCUAUGUUUGGACAUCGAAAGUGUUCCGGGUGAAAUCGGGAUUUUACCGGGUUACCGGGAGGUUACCGGAACCCCCCGGGAGCCAUAUGGGCCUUCAUGGGCCUUAGUGGCUGCGCCACUUCCCCCUCCCCUAGUCCUAUUAGGACUAGGAGAAGGUGGCCGGCCCCCCUCUCCCUCUUUCCCCCUUUGGGGAAUCCUAGUUGGAAUAGGAUUGGGGGGGAGUCCUACUCCCGGAAGGAGUAGGACUCCUCCUGCGCCCUCCUCCUUGGCCGGCGCCCCCUCCCCCCUUGGCUCCUUUAUAUACUGAGGUAGAGGCACCCCAAAGAGACACAAGUUGAUCCACGUGAUCUAUUCCUUAGCCGUGUGCGGUGCCCCUGCCACCAUAUUCCUCGAUAAUACUGUAGCGGAGUUUAGGCGAAGCCCUGCUGCUGUAGUACAUCAAGAUCGUCACCAUGCCAUCGUGCUGACGGAACUCUUCCCCGACACUUUGCUGGAUCGGAGUCCGGGGAUCGUCAUCGAGCUGAACGUGUGCUCGAACUCGGAGGUGCCGUAGUUUCGGUGCUUGAUCGGUUGGAUCGUGAAGACGUACGACUACUUCCUCUAUGUCGUGUCAGCGCUUCCGCAGUCGGUCUGCGUUGGGUACGUAGACAACACUCUCCCAUCUCGUUGCUAUGCAUCACAUGAUCUUGCGUGUGCGUAGGAAAUUUUUUGAAAUUACUACGAAACCCAACAGAUCAUGGAGCCCCGAAGAUGGAGAUCAAGAGGAGCAAAGUGAUGAUGGCCAUAUCAUGUCACUAUUUGAUUGCAUGUGAUGUUUAUCAUGCUUUUGCAUCUUGUUUACUUAGAAGACGGUAGUAAAUAAGAUGAUCCCUCAUAAUAAUUUCAAGAAAGUGUUCCCCCUAACUGUGCACCGUUGUGACAGUUCGUUGUUUCGAAGCACCACGUGAUGAUCGGGUGUGAUAGAUUCUAACGUUCACAUACAACGGGUGUAAGACAGAUUUACACACGCGAAACACUUAGGUUGACUUGAUGAGCCUAGCAUGUGUAUAGACAUGGCCUCGGAACACAGAAGACCGAAAGGUCGAGCAUGAGUCGUAUGGUAGAUACGAUCAUCAUGAAGAUGUUCACCGAUGUUGACUAGUCCAUCUCACGUGAUGAUCGGACAUGGCCUAGUUGACUCGGAUCAUGUAAUCACUUAGAUGACUGGAUGGAUGUCUAUCUGAGUGGGAGUUCAUAAGAUGAACUUGUUUAUCCUGAACUUAGUCAAAAAGGAUUUUGUAAAUUAUGUCGUAGCUCGCGCUUUAGUUCUACUAUUUAGAUAUGUUCCUAGAGAAAAAAUAGUUAAAAGUUGAUAGUAGCAAUUAUGCGGACUAGGUCCGUAAACUGAGGAUUGUCCUCAUUGCUUCUUAGAAGGCUUAUGUCCUUAAUGCACCGCUCAGUGUGCUGAACCUCGAAAGUUGUCUGUGGAUGUUGCGAACAUCUGACAUACACGUUCUGAUAACUACAUGAUAGUUCAGUUAAACGGUUUAGAGUUGAGGCACCGAAGACGGUUUUUGAAACGUCACGAAACAUAUGAGAUGUUUCGAGGGCUGAAAUUGGAAUUUCAGGCUCGUGCCCACGUCAAGAGGUAUAAGGCCUCCGACGAUUUUCUUAGCCUGCAAACUAAGGGAGAAAAGCUCAAUUGUUGAGCUUGUGCUCAGAUUGUCUGAGUAUAACAAUCAUUUGAAUCGAGUGGGAGUUGAUCUUCCAGAUAAGAUAGUGAUGUUUCUCCGAAGUCAUUACCACCAAGCUGCUAGAGCUUCGUGAUGAACUAUAAUAUAUCAGGGACAUAUAUGAUGAUCCUUGAGAUAUUCGUGAUGUUUGACACCAAAGUAGAAAUCAAGAAGGAGCAUCAAUUGUUGAUGGUUGGUGAAACAUCUAGUUUCAAGAAGGGCAAGGGCAAGAAGGGAUACUUCAUGAAACGGCAAUUCAGCUGCUGCUCUAGUGAAGAGACCCAAGGUUGAACCCAAACCCGAGACUAAGUGCUUCUGUAAUAAGGGGAACAACCACUGGAGCAGAAUUACCCUAGAUACUUGGUAGAUUAGAAGGCUGGCAAGGUCAAUAGAAGUAUAUUGGAUAUACAUUGUGUUGAUGUGUACUUUACUAGUACUCCUAGUAGCACUAGGGCAUUGGAUACCGGUUCGGUUGCUAAGUGUUAGUAACUCGAAAUAAAAGCUAUGGAAUAAACGGAGACUAGCUAAAGGUGAGAUGACGAUAUGUGUUGGAAGUAUUUCCAAGGUUGAUCAAAUAUCGUACGCUCCCUCUACCAUCGAGAUUGGUGUUUGCGUUGAGCAUAGACAUGAUUGGAUUAUGUCUAUCGCAAUACGGUUAUUCAUUUAAGGAGAAUAAUGGUUACUCUGUUUAUUUGAAUAAUACCUUCAAUGGCCUUACACCUAAAAUGAAUGGUUUAUUGAAUCUCGAUCGUAGUGAUACACAUGUUCAUGCCAAAAGAUAGUAAUGAUAGUACCACCUACUUGUGGCACUGCCACGUAAGUCAUAUCGGUAUAAAACGCAUGAAGAAGCUCCAUGUUGAUGGAUCUUUGGGCUCACUCGUUUUUGAAAGGUUUGAGACAUGCGAACCAUGUCUAUUGGUGUAUAUGCAUGAAGAAACUCCAUGCAAAUGGACCGUUUGGACUCACUUGAUUUUGAAUCACUUGAGACAUGCAAAUCAUACCACAUGGGCAAGAUGACUGAAAGCCUCGGUUUCAGUAAAAUGGAACUAGAAAGCAACCUGUUGGAAGUAAUACAUUUUGAUGUGUGCAGUCCAAUGAGUGCUGAGGCGUGUAGUGGAUAUCGUUAUGUUCUUACUUCAUAGAUGAUUUGAGUAGAUGUUGAGUAUAUUUACUUGAUGAAUCACGAGUCUGAAUUAUUGAAAGGUUCAAGUAAUUUCAGGGUGAAGUUGAAAGAUCGUCGUGACAAGAGGAUAAAAUAUCUAUGAUAUGAUCAUAGAGAUGAAUAUCUGAAUUACGAGUUUGGCACAGAAUUAAGACAUUGUGGAAAUUGUUUCACAACUGAUACAGCCUGGAACACCAUAGUGUGAUGGUGUGUCCGAACAUCAUAACUGCACCCUAUUGGAUAUGAUGCAUACCAUGAUGUCUCUUAUCGAAUUACCACGAUAGUUUAUGGGUUAGGCAUUAGAGACAACCGCAUUCACUUUUAAUAGGGCACCACGUAAUUCCGAUGAGAUGACACCGUAUGAACUAUGGUUUAGAGAAACCUAAGCUGUCAUUUCUUAAAAGUUUGGGGCUGUGACGCUUAUGCGAAAAAGUUUCAGGCUGAUAAGCUCGAACCCAAAGCGGAUAAAUGCAUCUUCAUAGGACACCCAAAAUAGUUGGGUAUACCUCCUGUCUCAGAACCGAAAGCAAUAAGGGAUUGUUUCUAGAAUCGGGUCCUUUCUCGAGGAAAAGUUUCUCUCGAAAGAAUUGAGUGGGAGGAUGGUGGAGACUUGAUGAGGUUAUUGAACCGUCACUACAACUAGUGUAUAGCAGGGCACAAAGAGUUGUUCCUGUGGCACCUACACCAAUUGAAGUGGAAGCUUAUGAUAGUGAUCAUGAGACUUCAGAUCAAGCCACUCCCAAACCUCAUAGGAUGACAAGGAUGCGUACUACUUUAGAGUGGUACGUAAUCCUGUCUUGGAAGUCAUGUUGCUAGACAACAAUGAACCUACAAGCUAUGGAGAAUCGAUGGUGGGCCUGGAUUCCAAUAAAUGGCUCAAGGCCAUAAAAUCCGAGAGAGGAUCCAUGUAUGAAAACAAAGUGUAGACUUUGGAAGAACUACUUGAUGGUCGUAAGGCUGUUGGGUACAUAUGGAUUUUAAAAGGAAGACGGACAAUGAUGGUAAGUAUCACCAUUAAGAAAGCUCAACUUGUCGUUAAGAUGGUUUCCGACAAGUUCAAGGAGUUGACUACGAUGAGACUUUUCAACCGUAGCGAUGCUAAGAGUCUGUUGGAAUUAUGUUAGCGAUUACUGCAUUAUUUAUGAAAUCUUGCAGAUAGGAUGUCAAAACAUUGUUUCCUCGACGAUUUUCUUGAGAAAAGGUUGUAUGUGAUACAAUUGGAAGGUUUUGUCAAUCCUGAAAGAUGCUAAUAAGUAUGCAAAGCUCCAGCGAUCCUUCUAAGGACUGGAGUAAGCAUCUCGGAGUUGGAAUGUAUGCUUUGAUGAAAUGAUCAAAGAUUUUGGGUGUAUACAAAGUUUAUGAGAAACUUGUAUUUCCAAAGAAGUGAGUGGGAGCACUAUAGAAUUUCUGACGAAUAUAUGUUGUUGACAUAUUGUUGAUCAGAAAUGAUGUAGAAUUUCUGGAAAGCAUAUAGGGUUAUUUGGAAAGCGUUUUUUCAAUGGAAAGCCUGGAUUAAGCUACUUGAACAUUGAGCAUCAAGAUCUAUAAGGAUAGAUCAAAACGCUUAAUGGUACUUUCAAAUGAGCACAUACCUUGACGUGAUCUUGAAGGUGUUCAAGAUGGAUCAGUCAAAGAAGGAGUUCUUGCCUGAGUUGUAAGGUAUGAAGUUAAGACUUAAAGCUCGACCACGGCAGAAUAGAGAGAAAGGACGAAGGUCGUCCCCUAUGCUUAAGACAUAGGCUCUACAGUAUGCUAUGCUGUGUACCGCACCUGAAGUGUGCCUUGCCAUGAGUCAGUCAAGGGGUACAAGAGUGAUCCAAGAAUGGAUCACAGGACAACGGUCAAAGUUAUCCUUAGUAACUAGUGGACUAAGGGAUUUUCUCGAUUAUGGAGGUGGUAAAAGAGUUCGUCGUAAAGGGUUACGCCGAUGCAAACUUUGACACUAAUCCAGAUUAUUCUGAGUAGUAAACUGGAUUCGUAUAGUAGAACAGUUAUUUGGAAUAGCUCCAAAUAGAGCGUGGUAGAUGCAUCUAGGAGAUGACAUAGAGAUUUCUAAAGCACACACGGAUCUGAAAGGUUCAGACCCGUUGACUAUAGCCUCUCUCACAAGCAUAACAUGAUCAAACCCAGAUCUCAUCGAGUGUUAAUCACAUGGUAAAUGUGAACUAGAUUAUUGACUCUAGUAAACUCUUUGGGUGUUAGUCAGAUGGGGAUGUGACCUUGAGUGUUAAUCACGUAUCGAUGUGAACUAGAUUAUUGACUCUAGUGCAAGUGGGAGACUGUUGGAAAUAUGCCCUAGAGGCAAUAAUAAAUUGAUUAUUAUUAUAUUUCCUUGUUCAUGAUAAUCGUUUAUUAUCCAUGCUAAUUGUAUUGAUAGGAAACUUAGAUACAUGUGUGGAUACAUAGACAACACCAUGUCCCUAGUAAGCCUCUAGUUGACUAGCUCGUUGAUCAAUAGAUGGUUACGGUUUCCUGACCAUGGACAUUGGAUGUCGUUGAUAACGGGAUCACAUCAUUAGGAGAAUGAUGUGAUGAACAAGACCCAAUCCUAAGCCUAGCACAAAGAUCGUGUAGUUCGUAUGCUAAAGCUUUUCUAAAUGUCAAGUAUCAUUUCCUUAGACCAUGAGAUUGUGCAACUCCCGGAUACCAUAGGAAUACUUUGGGUGUGCCAAAUGUCACAACGUAACUGGGUGGCUAUAAAGGUACACUACGGGUAUCUCCGAAAGUGUCUGUUGGGUUGGCAUGAAUCAAGACUGGGAUUUGUCACUCCGUGUGACGGAGAGGUAUCUCUGGGCCCACUCGGUAGGACAUCAUCAUAAUGUGCACAAUGUGAUCAAGGAGUUGAUCACGGGAUGAUGUGUUACGGAACGAGUAAAGAGACUUGCCGGUAAAGAGAUUGAACAAGGUAUAGGGAUACCGACGAUCGAAUCUCGGGCAAGUAUUGUACCGAUAGACAAAGGAAUUGCAUACGGGAUUGAUUAAAGUCCUUGACAUCGUGGUUCAUCCGAUGAGAUCAUCGUGGAGCAUGUGGGAGCCAACAUGGGUGUAACGCCCUCGAUGCGGCUAUAGCUCCCACGUGUCGAGGCACGACUUAGAGACAUAACCGCAUUGAAAGCAAUGUCGCAAGUUAGGCAAUCAUUACAACAUCCCAUGUAAUACAUAAUAAAAGGGGGAGAUACCAUAGUUGGCUUACACUCGCCACGUCACAUCAGAGUGCAUAAAUAACAUCCAUCAAACAAACACUCAUGGCCCGACUACGGCGCCAAAAUAGAAAAGAACCCAACAUGCGACAAGGUCCUGAAUCGAUCCCCAACUAGGCACCACUACUGAUCAUCGGGAAAGGAAACAUAAUAACGCUGAGAGUCCUCGUCGAACUCCCACUUGAGCUCGUACUCGUCACCUGGAGCGGAAUCACCUGGACCUGCAUCUGGAGUUGUAGUAUCUGUGAGCCACAGGGACUCAGCAAUCUCGCACCCUCGCGAUCAAAACUAUUUAAGCUCAUAGGAAUGGAUAAGGCAAAUAUAUGUGGAGCUGCAGCAAGCGACUAGCAUAUGCGGUGGCUAACUUAUACGCAAAAGAGAGCGAGAAGAGAAGGCGAAGCACGAGAGAGAAGCUAAAGGAACAUCCUGCGCACGCAUAACUCCAACACCGUGUCCACUUCCCGGACUCCGCCGAGAAGGGGCCAUCACGGUAACACACACGGUUGAUUCAUUUUAAUUAAGUUUAGUUCAAGUAAUCUACAACCGGACAUUAACAAAUUCCCAUCUGCCCAUAACCGCGGGCACGGCUUUCGAAAGUUCAAUCCCUGCAGGGGAGUCCCAACUUAGCCCAUGACAAGCUCUCACGGUCAACGAAGGAAUAGACCUCCACCCGAGACAUUCCGAUCAGACUCGGUAUCCCGGUACAACAAGACAUUUCGAUAGGGUAAAACUAAACCAGCAACACCGCCCGAAUGUGCCGACAAAUCCCGAUAGGAGCUGCACAUAUCUCUUUCUCAGGGCACACUCAGAUUGUCCUAGGUACGGGUAGGCCAGCCCAGAGUUGCCCCUGGUAGCCACCGGUAGCUGACAGGUGGACCAACACUCAGAGGAGCACUGGCCCGGGGGGGGGGGUAAAAUAACGAUGACCCUUGAGUCUGCAGAACCCAAGGGAAAGAAAAGGCUAGGUGGCAAAUGGUAAAACCAAUGUUGGGCAUUGCUGGAAGAGCUUUACUUAAGACGAACUGUCAAGGGGUUCCCAUAAUAGCCCAACCGUGUAAGGAACGCAAAAUCCGGGAACAUAACACCGAUAUGACGGAAACUAGGGCGGCAAGAGUGGAACAAAACACCAGGCAUAAGGCCGAGCCUUCCACCCUUUACCAAGUAUAUAGAUGCAUUAAUUAAGUAAGGUAUAUUGUGAUAUCCCAACAAGUAAAUAAAAGUUCCAACAAGGAACGGCUCCAAUCUUCCACCUGCAACUAACAACACUAUAAGAAGGGCUGAGCAAAGCGGUAACAUAGCCAAUCAACGGUUUGCUAGGACAAUGGUGGGUUAGGGGAUCACAUGGCAAUUGGGAGGCUGACAAGCAAAAGGUAGGCAUCGUAGCAGUGGCAAAGCAAAAGAGCGAGCAAACUAGCAUAGCAAAGAUAGUAGUGAUUUCGAGGGUAUGAUCAUCUUGCCUGCACAUUUGUCAGAGUUGACUGGAUCCUCGCAAGCAAACUCAACGGGCUCCUCGGUAGCGAACUCGUCUCCCGGCUCUACCCAACAAGACAAACAAGCAACAAGGAUACAAUCAACCACGGCAAGACCAAGCAAUAUGAUGAAAUGACGAUAUGCUAUGCGGGAUGCGAUGCGGGAUGCAAAAUGCAAGAUAUGACAGGAAAUGCAUGAACCUGGCAUCAACUUGGAAAACCAAGUGUGCCACUGGAUAGAGGGGAUGAAAUCGCUUGAAAACGAUAUAAAGAUCAUUGGAAUCGGAGCUACGGUUUGGAAAUGGCGAGCGUUUUAAGAUAUGACACCGGUAUGCGAUUUACAGCAAGUAGGCAUCUAAAUGCAACAAAAUGAACAUGCUACAACCACCAAACAUGAAAACAAAUACAUGGCAGUGAUGUACACAAGAUGGUUGACAAAACACUAGCACUGAGCCAUAGGCAAAUUCAUCCAUUAAGAGGUUCAAACAAGCAUGGCUAAAACGCAAAUGCAAAACAGAUUUCAGACUUAGUGAAAUUAACACUAGUCUGAAAUUUCAGAUCACGAUGCUCUCUUCGGAGCAGCAAAACAACAUGAUAGAAAACCUGAACAUGACAAGUAAUAACAUGGCAUGGAGCUACUCAACAAGCUUAAAAAAACACCCAAAGUGACCUGGGGCCAAAAGGGUUCACAAAAUACUCUACCGAGCUCACGAACAUAGCUCGAACACAAUCAGUUUUCAGACUUAGUGAAAACUGAGACACGCUGAAAUAUAACUCACGAAGGCAUGUAAACGAGCUCGAUGCACUCACUACGGUGCAAGUCAUGGCAAGGAAAGCAUAUAACCAGCAAGAAGGCACAAAGUGCUAGCUACACAUGGCAAGAACGAAGGCAUAGCAUGCAUGGAACACUAACGGUAGCAUCGGCAAAAUCGCAAACAAGUUGACGAUCUGCCCGGAUUAACAACGAAGCAAAAGUUGAGCUUGAUUGAGUCAACCUAGAGCACUCCGCAUAUGCAAACAAAGACAUGGAUGGAUAGAUCAUAACAUAAUUAUAAAAACUCCCUUACUGAUCAUCCUCAAAAGAGGCACGGAUCACUAGGAAACAAGCUGGACAUAUAGCAUCACGAACUAAAAUAUCCCAGACUUAGUGAAAAUCACUAAGUCUCUGAAAUCAGCAAUCUCAGGUACCUCUCUUUGCAAGCUUGCACAAGACAACACACACAUCCUAAAAAUGCAUGGGUGGCACCACUGGAAAGAAGACAAAAUGCUUAACAAUUCAUCCCAAAGGGGCACAGGCAUAUCAUGCACGAAUUAAACAUGGCAAAAAUGACAAAAGUGCAUGAUGAACUAACGGAUCUGCAAUUUAACUCACGAAGCCUCCUUCUAACAGCAUUUUGGGCAUCAAGAUGACCUCAAAUGCAAAUGAUGCAAUGGAAUGAAAUGAUGUACAUGUCGAGACGAAGAUUUUGAUAUAUCAUAUGCCCAAAACGGAGCUACGGUUACGGAGAUACGAGCAGUCAAAGUAGGCACAAAAAUCUAGGGUUAGAGGUAAAAAGUCAACCCGAGAUCCAGAUCUGGAUCCGGGGUACUGUUCACCUGCGCGUCUCCCGAGGAUGACCAGCGCCGGAGCUCAUCGGUGCCGGCCGGAGUGGGGGAAGAGGAGGCCGGGGUGAGGGAGAGGAGGUCGGGCGGCGCCGGAGGAGGAGGCGGCGACCGCGGGCGGCGGCGUCCGNNNNNNNNNNNNNNNNNNNNNNNNNNNNNNNNNNNNNNNNNNNNNNNNNNNNNNNNNNNNNNNNNNNNNNNNNNNNNNNNNNNNNNNNNNNNNNNNNNNNNNNNNNNNNNNNNNNNNNNNNNNNNNNNNNNNNNNNNNNNNNNNNNNNNNNNNNNNNNNNNNNNNNNNNNNNNNNNNNNNNNNNNNNNNNNNNNNNNNNNNNNNNNNNNNNNNNNNNNNNNNNNNNNNNNNNNNNNNNNNNNNNNNNNNNNNNNNNNNNNNNNNNNNNNNNNNNNNNNNNNNNNNNNNNNNNNNNNNNNNNNNNNNNNNNNNNNNNNNNNNNNNNNNNNNNNNNNNNNNNNNNNNNNNNNNNNNNNNNNNNNNNNNNNNNNNNNNNNNNNNNNNNNNNNNNNNNNNNNNNNNNNNNNNNNNNNNNNNNNNNNNNNNNNNNNNNNNNNNNNNNNNNNNNNNNNNNNNNNNNNNNNNNNNNNNNNNNNNNNNNNNNNNNNNNNNNNNNNNNNNNNNNNNNNNNNNNNNNNNNNNNNNNNNNNNNNNNNNNNNNNNNNNNNNNNNNNNNNNNNNNNNNNNNNNNNNNNNNNNNNNNNNNNNNNNNNNNNNNNNNNNNNNNNNNNNNNNNNNNNNNNNNNNNNNNNNNNNNNNNNNNNNNNNNNNNNNNNNNNNNNNNNNNNNNNNNNNNNNNNNNNNNNNNNNNNNNNNNNNNNNNNNNNNNNNNNNNNNNNNNNNNNNNNNNNNNNNNNNNNNNNNNNNNNNNNNNNNNNNNNNNNNNNNNNNNNNNNNNNNNNNNNNNNNNNNNNNNNNNNNNNNNNNNNNNNNNNNNNNNNNNNNNNNNNNNNNNNNNNNNNNNNNNNNNNNNNNNNNNNNNNNNNNNNNNNNNNNNNNNNNNNNNNNNNNNNNNNNNNNNNNNNNNNNNNNNNNNNNNNNNNNNNNNNNNNNNNNNNNNNNNNNNNNNNNNNNNNNNNNNNNNNNNNNNNNNNNNNNNNNNNNNNNNNNNNNNNNNNNNNNNNNNNNNNNNNNNNNNNNNNNNNNNNAGAUCUAGGACUGAAAGAACUCCGGGUACUCAGAACGGAGGUGAUCCUCGCGUUCCCAGGUGGCUUCACGGUCGGAAUGGUGAGACCACUUAACUUUGAGAAAUUUGAUUGACUUGUUGCGAGUCUUGCGUUCAGUCUCUUCAAGAAUAGCAACUGGGUGCUCACGAUAAGAGAGAUCUUCUUGGAGCUCAAUGUCCUCGAAGUUGACGGUGCGGUCAGGAGUCUUGAAGCACUUUCGAAGCUGAGAGACAUGGAACACAUCAUGAACAUUUGCAAAGUUUGAAGGAAGCUCGAGUUGAUAGGCGAGGUCGCCUCUCUUGCUGACAAUCUUGAAAGGUCCCACGUAUCUAGGGGCAAGCUUCCCUUUGAUACCGAAGUGACGAGUACCUUUCAUGGGAGAGACGCGGAGGUAAACAUGAUCUCCGAUCUCGAAAACCAGAUCACGGUGCUUACUAUCAUAGUAGCACUUCUGGCGGGAUUGAGCUGCUUUGAGGUUAUCACGAAUGACUUUGCACAUUUCUUCUGCUUCUGUGAUUAAGUCAUUACCCAGCAGCUGACGUUCACCGGUUUCAGACCAGUUGAGAGGGGUACGGCACUUCCUGCCAUAUAGAAUUUCAAAGGGGGCCUUGCCCGAACUUGCUUGAAAGCUGUUGUUGUAAGAGAAUUCAGCAUAAGGAAGACAAUCCUCCCACUUCAUGCCGAAAGAAAUCACACAAGCCCUGAGCAUGUCUUCAAGAAUCUGAUUGACACGCUCAACUUGACCGCUCGUUUGAGGAUGGAAAGCUGUGCUGAAGCGGAUGUUUGUGCCCAUGGCCUUCUGAAAAGAAUCCCAAAACUUGGAGGUAAAGAUGCUGCCACGGUCUGAAGAUAUCACUUGAGGAAUACCGUGCAGAGAGACAAUGCGAGAGGUAUAGAGUUCCGCCAAUUGAGCUGCAGUGAUCGACUCUUUGAUAGCAGAAAGUGAGCCACUUUGGUGAGCUUGUCGAUGACAACAAAUAUAGCAUCAUUGCCACGCUUGGACUUUGGAAACCCAGUCACGAAGUCCAUUUCAAUGUGGUCAAACUUCCAUUCUGGAAUGGCAAGAGGUUGGAGGAGACCUGCUGGCCUUUGGUGUUCUGCCUUCACUCUUCUGCAGACAUCACACUCGUUCACGAAUUGAGCGAUCUCGCGCUUCAUUCGAGUCCACCAAUAAGUUUGCUUGAGAUCCUGAUACAUCUUCGUACUACCAGGGUGGAUGGAGAGGAGAGAGUUGUGAGCCUCGUUCAUGAUCACCUUACGAAGUUCACCUUUGGGCACAACAAUUCAAUCCUCGAAGAAGAGAGUGUCCUUGUCAUCAAGUCGGUAGCACUUGUACUUGGACUGACUCUUUGCAAUACCAAUCUUCACCUUUUUCACCAUAGCAUCAAGAAGUUGGGCUUGGCGAAUCUGGUCUUCUAAGGUAGGAGAGACUUGAAGGUUGGCGAGGAAACCUUGAGGAACAACUUGCAGAUUAAGUUUGCGGAAAGCUUCACAAAGCUCGGGUUGAUAAGGCUUGAGAAUCAGACUGUUGCAAUAUGCUUUUCUGCUCAAAGCGUCAGCAAUCACAUUAGCCUUGCCUGGAGUAUACUCGAUACUCGGAUUGUACUCUUGAAUCAUUUCGACCCAUCGAGUCUACCUGAGGUUGAGAUUAGGCUGAGUGAAGAUGUACUUGAGACUCUUGUGAUCAGUGAAAAUAUCCACUUUCCUUCCCAAUAGAAGAUGUCUCCAAGUCAACAAAGCAUGCACAACUGCCGCCAACUCAAGAUCAUGAGUGGGGUAGUUCUUCUCAUUAGGUUUCAACUGGCGAGAGGUGUAAGCGACAACUUUCUUCUCUUGCAUCAGUACAGCACCGAGACCUUGGAGAGAGGCAUCACAAAAGACCUCGUACGGCUUGGUUUCAUCAGGCGGAGUCAGAACUGGAGCAGUGAUCAAUUUCUCUUUCAAAGUGUUGAAAGCCAUAUCACACUCCGGAGACCAAACGUACUUGACGUGCUUCUGAAGAAGAUUUGAGAGAGGCUUGGCGAUCUUAGAAAAGUUUUCAACGAAUCUUCUGCAAUAGCUUGCGAGACCGAGGAAACUGCGGAGUUGCUUCACGUUCUGAGGAGGUUCCCAAUUCACAAUUGCAGACACCUUCUCAGGAUUCACGGAAAUGCCCUUGGCAGAGAUGAUAUGACCAAGAUAAAGAACCUCAUCGAGCCAAAAUUCACACUUGGAGAACUUGGCGUAGAACUGAUGUUCCCUGAGCUUGUCAAGAACCAAACGCAAGUGCUUAGCAUAAUCUUCCUUGUUCUUCGAGAAAACCAGAAUGUCGUCGAGAUAGACCAAAACGAAUUCAUUGGUGUAGGGGUUGAAGAUGAAGUUCAUCAUGCGAGAGAACGUCGGAGGAGCGUUUGCGAGGCCAAAAGACAUGACAGUGUAUUCAUAUGAACCAAAGCUUGUUCUGAACGCCGUCUUGGGAAUAUCUUGCGCACGAAUACGAAUCUGAUGAUAACCCAUACGGAGAUCAAGCUUGGAGAAUACUUGAGCACCCUUGAGUUGUUCGAACAGCUCAUUGAUGUUGGGAAGUGGGUAUUUGUUCUUGAUGGUCUUCUUGUUUACUGGACGGUAAUCAACACAAAGUCGACUCGAUCCAUCCAUCUUCUUCACAAAAAGAACACCACAACCCCACGGAGAAGUACUAGGCCGAAUGAGACCCAAUCUUUCUUGCUCAUCGAGUUGUUUCUUCAGCUCCUUCAACUCUUCGGGGCCGAGCUUGUAAGGACGUUUGCACACAGGUUCCGUGCCAGGCUCAAGUUCAAUAACGAAUUCAACUGGCCGGUGCGGAGGCAUUCCUGGGAGCUCUUCUGGAAAGACGUCUUGAUACUCACAAACAACCGGAAUCUGCAAAAUAGCAUCCAAUUCACCCUUCUCAUUGAGAGAAAACAACCGGAUGGUAUUAUCCCGAGCGGCAAAGACAAUGACAUCCUCAGACGAAUGAGUCAGUUGAAUCUGCCUGGCUGCACAAUCAAGCUGAGCUUUAUGCUUAGAGAGCCAGUCCAUCCCGAGAAUAAGAUCGAUAUCCGAGUUGCCAAGAACCGUAGGAGAAGCCAAGAACUUGUAGUCACCCAGAGUGAUAGAAACAUCCGGAACGAUGGAGUUAGCCUGCAUGCGCUUACCGGGAGAGACAACUUCUAAAGGACUAGGUAAAACUUGUGAGACCAAUUCAUGCCUAUUUGUAAACGGUCUCGAGAUGAAGCAAUGCGAUGCACCAGUGUCAAAAAGAACUUUUGCAGGAAUAUCAUUAACAGGAAGGUUACCCAUGAUCACAUCUGACGAGUCCUCUGCCUGAGCUGCAUUCAUCAAGUUGACCUUGGCGGACUUGGGGUUAUGCUUGACCACAGCUAUACUUGCCGAUCUGACAGGAGGAGGAGGAGGAAGACGCCUCUGGUUGGUACACUUGUUGGCAUAGUGACCCUUCUGUUGGCACUUGUUGCACGUGACCUCUGAAAGCGGACGGUGAUACGGAGCACUCGAUCUUGGCGCUUGAGACGAAGACUUGUUCUGAAAGCCUGGGUUGGGUGGGUGGGAGAAACCACUGCCACCUUUGCUCUUCUGCUGAUACGGCUGACGGAACGGAGGAGGAGGAAGCCAAUACUUCUGCUGCUUGACCACUUGAGUAGAGGAAGACGGAGUAACAUCUCUGGCACGCUUCCUGGAAGCAUCACACCUCAACUGAGCAGCCUCUUGCUUCAGUGCCAUGUUGUAGAACUCAUCGUAUCUCAACGGCUCAAAGAGGACAAGAGCGAGCUGAAUUUCCUCACGAAGACCACCCCUGAACUGAUAGAUCAUGCUCUUCUCAUCAGGAACAUCCUGCUUGGCAAAACGGGCGAGCUUCUGGAACAACUUGUUGUAGUCAUAGACAGACAAAGAGCCUUGCUUCAGAUUGCGGAAUUCCUGACGCUUACUCUCAACCACACUUUGAGGGAUGUGAUGAGCACGGAAAUCUUGACGGAAAUCGUCCCAAGUGAUAACACGUCCACCUCUGGAAUCCUUGUACUGCUGGAACCACUCUGCAGCCUGAUCUUUGAGCUGGAAAGAAGCGAACUUGACGAAAUCUUCAGGCCUGACGUUGCUGCAUUCAAAAUGCUUGCCCAGAUCCACUAGCCAAUCGUCAGCAUCGGUAGCCUCAACACAACCGCUGAACGUCUUUGGGCCAUUAGCAAGGAACUGGUUCAGUGUAGCAAAGUGGUGCUGAUUAUGGCCUUGAUUCCCUUGACUGCCUUGAUUGCGCUCUUGGAGAAUUUGCAUGAUCAACUGUGUGUUUGCAUUAGUAGCGGCCAUCACAGCUUGCCAUGCUUCCGGAGGAGGCGGAGGUGGAGGCGGAUCAGGAUUCGGAGUCGUGCGCGUUGGAGGAGCCAUCCUGAACAGGUUGACCACCAUUAGCACACUGAUAGACAACAAUAUAGAAGCUGAAUCCAACGGAAUGAAAAUUGCAACAUAUAGUCUUCACAUCCGAACAGAAUGAACGAAUGCAUUUCUCUUGAAGUGGUCACAUAUCCAUAAAUUGAGGAGCCACGAAGAAUUAAGGUAGAGAAAUAAAUCAACAAGGUACGGAUCAAGAACGAAUAAUCGGUAAGAAAUCCCAAUCUCAAACCAAUAUCCGUGGAAGAAGAACUAGAGCUACUAGAAUUCCCACCUAUGAAAUUCCCGAACCUUUCUGGUUAUGCAAUCAGGUGUUGGGGAUACAGGGGAAGCACAAUAUCUCACCCAAACUAGCAAAUCCUACAUCCAGCUGUAUCCAUCCUUCAACACAUAACCAAGAAACCUUCGGAAACCAUCUAUCUCAACCUUCGAAAAGCAUCCGUUAUACAAGUUAUGGCGAUACUCCGGAACUCCCGCCCCAGUACUGGGUGGCGUCGAGGUUAUCUCACCAACGAACUGCAUAAAAGAGAUUUCCGAUGCCGCGCACAUAUCUCAAGUAUACCAGAAUUGCAACGAUAAAAUUGUGACGACAACACCUCGGAGCUCAACUCCCCGGGACACUGCCACAACCCCUAAAGACAGGAGGCACCAAGAACAAUGUUCUCGUCACAAAACCAUCGGAACAAAACCAAGAUACUCGCGUGAUCCUAAAAUUUUUUUAGUGAAAUUUGAGAAGAGAAGAGUCAAAACUCUACAUCAGGAUGCCUUACCAGAGCGAUGAGGAGACUGGGAAGUAAAAGAAUUCCUAAGCUCUCCGAUAUAUAAUUCCUAAGGACUCAAAACAUUUUUCUAUACACAACUCGGCUGCUAAAAACGAUCAAGCAAUGGGGGCUCCUAAGGUCGGGGAUGGCUCUGAUACCAACUUGUAACGCCCUCGAUGCGGCUAUAGCUCCCACGUGUCGAGGCACGACUUAGAGACAUAACUGCAUUGAAAGCAAUGUCGCAAGUUAGGCAAUCAUUACAACAUCCCAUGUAAUACAUAAUAAAAGGGGGAGAUACCAUAGUUGGCUUACACUCGCCACGUCACAUCAGAGUGCAUAAAUAACAUCCAUCAAACAAACACUCAUGGCCCGACUAUGGCGCCAAAAUAGAAAAGAACCCAACAUGCGACAAGGUCCUGAAUCGAUCCCCAACUAGGCACCACUACUGAUCAUCGGGAAAGGAAACAUAAUAACGCUGAGAGUCCUCGUCGAACUCCCACUUGAGCUCGUACUCGUCACCUGGAGCGGAAUCACCUGGACCUGCAUCUGGAGUUGUAGUAUCUGUGAGCCACAGGGACUCAGCAAUCUCGCACCCUCGCGAUCAAAACUAUUUAAGCUCAUAGGAAUGGAUAAGGCAAAUAUAUGUGGAGCUGCAGCAAGCGACUAGCAUAUGCGGUGGCUAACUUAUACGCAAAAGAGAGCGAGAAGAGAAGGCGAAGCACGAGCGAGAAGCUAAAGGAACAUCCUGCGCACGCAUAACUCCAACACCGUGUCCACUUCCCGGACUCCGCCGAGAAGGGGCCAUCACGGUAACACACACGGUUGAUUCAUUUUAAUUAAGUUUAGUUCAAGUAAUCUACAACCGGACAUUAACAAAUUCCCAUCUGCCCAUAACCGCGGGCACGGCUUUCGAAAGUUCAAUCCCUGCAGGGGAGUCCCAACUUAGCCCAUGACAAGCUCUCACGGUCAACGAAGGAAUAGAGCUCCACCCGAGACAUUCCGAUCAGACUCGGUAUCCUGGUACAACAAGACAUUUCGACAGGGUAAAACUAAACCAGCAACACCGCCCGAAUGUGCCGACAAAUCCCGAUAGGAGCUGCACAUAUCUCUUUCUCAGGGCACACUCAGAUUGUCCUAGGUACGGGUAGGCCAGCCCAGAGUUGCCCCUGGUAGCCACCGGUNNNNNNNNNNGGCCGGCGAUGCGGGCGCGGGCGCGGUGGCAGGAGGGCCACGUGGCGGUUGGCGGCUGGCUGGGCGCGGCGGCGGAUGUUGUCCGGCUCGCCCGGACACGUCCGUCGGCGGCGGAUCUGGCGAGGAGAUGUUUUUUUUUAAAACUAGGGUUUGAGACGAGGGGAUCCGGGAUUUGGAGGAGGGGGUCUAUAAAUAGACAUAAGUGGAGCUAGGAGAGUCCAAAUGAGGUGCGGUUUUCGCCCACACGAUCGUGAUCGAACGCUCUAGGACAUGGAGCAGAGUUUGGUGGGUUUUGGGCCAAAUUUGGGGGGUUGUUGGGCUGCAACACACACGAGGCCUUUCCGGUCCCUCGGUUAACCGUUGGAGUAUCAAACGAAGUCCAGAUGACCCGAAACUUGACAGGAGGUCUACCGGUAGUAAACCAAGGCCGCUUGGCAAGUCUUGGUCCAAUCCGGAAAUGUUUAAACCCCACACACGAAAGAAGACUAGAAAUGACCACCGGAGGAGAACGAAGCGCCGGAAUGCAAAACGGACAACGGGGAAAAGGCUCGAAUGCAUGAGAUGAACAUGUAUGCAAAUGCAAUGCACGUGAUGACAUGAUAAGAGAUGCACGAAAAAGAAAAACAACAUGCGGAGACAAAAACCCAAACCCGAGAAAUAAAUGUAACUUAGCGCCGGAGACGGCAAGAGUUGGAUACAAAUAUGGAAAGUAUAUCUGGGGCGUUACAAUGGGUAUCUAGAUCCCGCUAUUGGUUAUUGACCGGAGAACGUCUCGGUCAUGUCUGCAUGGUUCCCGAACCCGUAGGGUCUACACACUUAAGGUUCGGUGACGCUAGGGUUAUAGAGAUAUUAGUAUGCGGUAACCCGAAAGUUGUUCGGAGUCCCAGAUGAGAUCCCGGACGUCACGAGGAGUUCUGAAAUGGUCCGGAGGUAAAGAAUUAUAUAUAGGAAGUGCUAUUUCGGCCAUCGGGACAAGUUUCGGGGUCACCGGUAUUGUAUCGGGACCACCGGAAGGGUCCCGUGGGUCCACCGGGUGGGGCCACCUGCCCCGGGGGGCACAUGGGCUGUAGGGGUGUGCACCUUGGCCUAUAUGGGCCAAGGGCACCAGCCCCAAGAGGCCCAUGCGCCAAGAGAUAAGGAAAGGAAGAGUCUUAAAGGGGGAAGGCACCUCCUAGGUGCCUUGGGGAGGAGGGACUCCUCCCUAGCCGCACCCUUCCUUGGAGGAAGGGCCAAGGCUGCGCCCCCCCCCCCCUCUCCCUUGGCCCUAUAUAUAGUGGGGGGAAGGGNNNNNNNNNNNNNNNNNNNNNNNNGCACAUAUCUCUUUCUCAGGGCACACUCAGAUUGUCCUAGGUACGGGUAGGCCAGCCCAGAGUUGCCCCUGGUAGCCACCGGUAGCUGACAGGUGGACCAACACUCAGAGGAGCACUGGCCCGGGGGGGGGGGGUAAAAUAACGAUGACCCUUGAGUCUGCAGAACCCAAGGGAAAGAAAAGGCUAGGUGGAAAAUGGUAAAACAAAUGUUGGGCAUUGCUGGAAGAGCUUUACUUAAGACGAACUGUCAAGGGGUUCCCAUAAUAGCCCAACCGUGUAAGGAACGCAAAAUCCGGGAACAUAACACCGAUAUGACGGAAACUAGGGCGGCAAGAGUGGAACAAAACACCAGGCAUAAGGCCGAGCCUUCCACCCUUUACCAAGUAUAUAGAUGCAUUAAUUAAGUAAGGUAUAUUGUGAUAUCCCAACAAGUAAAUAAAAGUUCCAACAAGGAACGGCUCCAAUCUUCCACCUGCAACUAACAACGCUAUAAGAAGGGCUGAGCAAAGCGGUAACAUAGCCAAUCAACGGUUUGCUAGGACAAUGGUGGGUUAGGGGAUCACAUGGCAAUUGGGAGGCUGACAAGCAAAAGGUAGGCAUCGUAGCAGUGGCAAAGCAAAAGAGCGAGCAAACUAGCAUAGCAAAGAUAGUAGUGAUUUCGAGGGUAUGAUCAUCUUGCCUGCACAGUUGUCAGAGUUGACUGGAUCCUCGCAAGCAAACUCAACGGGCUCCUCGGUAGCGAACUCGUCUCCCGGCUCUACCCAACAAGACAAACAAGCAACAAGGAUACAAUCAACCACGGCAAGACCAAGCAAUAUGAUGAAAUGACAAUAUGCUAUGCGGGAUGCGAUGCGGGAUGCAAAAUGCAAGAUAUGACAGGAAAUGCAUGAACCUGGCAUCAACUUGGAAAACCAAGUGUGCCACUGGAUAGAGGGGAUGAAAUCGCUUGAAAACGAUAUAAAGAUCAUUGGAAUCGGAGCUACGGUUUGGAAAUGGCGAGCGUUUUAAGAUAUGACACCGGUAUGCGAUUUACAGCAAGUAGGCAUCUAAAUGCAACAAAAUGAACAUGCUACAGCCACCAAACAUAAAAACAAAUACAUGGCAGUGAUGUACACAAGAUGGUUGACAAAACACUAGCACUGAGCCAUAGGCAAAUUCAUCCAUUAAGAGGUUCAAACAAGCAUGGCUAAAACGCAAAUGCAAAACAGAUUUCAGACUUAGUGAAAUUAACACUAGUCUGAAAUUUCAGAUCACGAUGCUCUCUUCGGAGCAGCAAAACAACAUGAUAGAAAACCUGAACAUGACAAGUAAUAACAUGGCAUGGAGCUACUCAACAAUCUUAAAAAAACACCCAAAGUGACCUGGGGCCAAAAGGGUUCACAAAAUACUCUACCGAGCUCACGAACAUAGCUCGAACACAAUCAGUUUUCAGACUUAGUGAAAACUGAGACACGCUGAAAUAUAACUCACGAAGGCAUGUAAACGAGCUCGAUGCACUCACUACGGUGCAAGUCAUGGCAAGGAAAGCAUAUAACCAGCAAGAAGGCACAAAGUGCUAGCUACACAUGGCAAGAACGAAGGCAUAGCAUGCAUGGAACACUAACGGUAGCAUCGGCAAAAUCGCAAACAAGUUGACGAUCUGCCCGGAUUAACAACGAAGCAAAAGUUGAGCUUGAUUGACUCAACCUAGAGCACUCCACAUAUGCAAACAAAGACAUGGAUGGAUAGAGCAUAACAUAAUUAUCAAAACUCCCUUACUGAUCAUCCUCAAAAGAGGCACGGAUCACUAGGAAACAAGCUGGACAUAUAGCAUCACGAACUAAAAUAUCCCAGACUUAGUGAAAAUCACUAAGUCUCUGAAAUCAGCAAUCUCAGGUACCUCUCUUCGCAAUCUUGCACAAGACAACACACACAUCCUAAAAAUGCAUGGGUGGCACCACUAGAAAGAAGACAAAAUGCUUAACAAUUCAUCCCAAAGGGGCACAGGCAUAUCAUGCACGAAUUAAACAUGGCAAAAAUGACAAAAGUGCAUGAUGAACUAACGGAUCUGCAAUUUAACUCACGAAGCCUCCUUCUAACAGCAUUUUGGGCAUCAAGAUGACCUCAAAUGCAAAUGAUGCAAUGGAAUGAAAUGAUGUACAUGUCGAGACGAAGAUUUUGAUAUAUCAUAUGCCCAAAACGGAGCUACGGUUACAGAGAUACGAGCAGUCAAAGUAGGCACAAAAAUCUAGGGUUAGAGGUAAAAAGUCAACCCGAGAUCCAGAUCUGGAUCCGGGGUACUGUUCACCUGCGCGUCUCCCGAGGAUGACCAGCGCCGGAGCUCGCCGGAGCCGGCCGGAGUGGGGGAAGAGGAGGCCGGGGUGAGGGAGAGGAGGUCGGGCGGCGCCGGAGGAGGAGGCGGCGACCGCGGGCGGCGGCGUCCGGGGCGGCNNNNNNNNNNNNNNNNNNNNNNNNNNNNNNNNNNNNNNNNNNNNNNNNNNNNNNNNNNNNNNNNNNNNNNNNNNNNNNNNNNNNNNNNNNNNNNNNNNNNNNNNNNNNNNNNNNNNNNNNNNNNNNNNNNNNNNNNNNNNNNNNNNNNNNNNNNNNNNNNNNNNNNNNNNNNNNNNNNNNNNNNNNNNNNNNNNNNNNNNNNNNNNNNNNNNNNNNNNNNNNNNNNNNNNNNNNNNNNNNNNNNNNNNNNNNNNNNNNNNNNNNNNNNNNNNNNNNNNNNNNNNNNNNNNNNNNNNNNNNNNNNNNNNNNNNNNNNNNNNNNNNNNNNNNNNNNNNNNNNNNNNNNNNNNNNNNNNNNNNNNNNNNNNNNNNNNNNNNNNNNNNNNNNNNNNNNNNNNNNNNNNNNNNNNNNNNNNNNNNNNNNNNNNNNNNNNNNNNNNNNNNNNNNNNNNNNNNNNNNNNNNNNNNNNNNNNNNNNNNNNNNNNNNNNNNNNNNNNNNNNNNNNNNNNNNNNNNNNNNNNNNNNNNNNNNNNNNNNNNNNNNNNNNNNNNNNNNNNNNNNNNNNNNNNNNNNNNNNNNNNNNNNNNNNNNNNNNNNNNNNNNNNNNNNNNNNNNNNNNNNNNNNNNNNNNNNNNNNNNNNNNNNNNNNNNNNNNNNNNNNNNNNNNNNNNNNNNNNNNNNNNNNNNNNNNNNNNNNNNNNNNNNNNNNNNNNNNNNNNNNNNNNNNNNNNNNNNNNNNNNNNNNNNNNNNNNNNNNNNNNNNNNNNNNNNNNNNNNNNNNNNNNNNNNNNNNNNNNNNNNNNNNNNNNNNNNNNNNNNNNNNNNNNNNNNNNNNNNNNNNNNNNNNNNNNNNNNNNNNNNNNNNNNNNNNNNNNNNNNNNNNNNNNNNNNNNNNNNNNNNNNNNNNNNNNNNNNNNNNNNNNNNNNNNNNNNNNNNNNNNNNNNNNNNNNNNNNNNNNNNNNNNNNNNNNNNNNNNNNNNNNNNNNNNNNNNNNNNNNNNNNNNNNNNNNNNNNNNNNNNNNNNNNNNNNNNNNNNNNNNNNNNNNNNNNNNNNNNNNNNNNNNNNNNNNNNNNNNNNNNNNNNNNNNNNNNNNNNNNNNNNNNNNNNNNNNNNNNNNNNNNNNNNNNNNNNNNNNNNNNNNNNNNNNNNNNNNNNNNNNNNNNNNNNNNNNNNNNNNNNNNNNNNNNNNNNNNNNNNNNNNNNNNNNNNNNNNNNNNNNNNNNNNNNNNNNNNNNNNNNNNNNNNNNNNNNNNNNNNNNNNNNNNNNNNNNNNNNNNNNNNNNNNNNNNNNNNNNNNNNNNNNNNNNNNNNNNNNNNNNNNNNNNNNNNNNNNNNNNNNNNNNNNNNNNNNNNNNNNNNNNNNNNNNNNNNNNNNNNNNNNNNNNNNNNNNNNNNNNNNNNNNNNNNNNNNNNNNNNNNNNNNNNNNNNNNNNNNNNNNNNNNNNNNNNNNNNNNNNNNNNNNNNNNNNNNNNNNNNNNNNNNNNNNNNNNNNNNNNNNNNNNNNNNNNNNNNNNNNNNNNNNNNNNNNNNNNNNNNNNNNNNNNNNNNNNNNNNNNNNNNNNNNNNNNNNNNNNNNNNNNNNNNNNNNNNNNNNNNNNNNNNNNNNNNNNNNNNNNNNNNNNNNNNNNNNNNNNNNNNNNNNNNNNNNNNNNNNNNNNNNNNNNNNNNNNNNNNNNNNNNNNNNNNNNNNNNNNNNNNNNNNNNNNNNNNNNNGUGGGGGGAAGGGAGGGCAGCCCCAUCUAAGCCCUGGCGCCUCCCUCUCCCUCCCGUGACACAUCUCCCUCCUCCCGCGGCGCUUGGCGAAGCCCUAUUGGAAUCCCGCUACUUCCACCACCACGCCAUCGUGCUGCUGGAUCUCCAUCAACCUCUCCUUCCCCCUUGCUGGAUCAAGAAGGAGGAGACAUCGCUGCUCCGUAUGUGUGUUGAACGCGGAGGUGCCGUCCGUUCGGCGCUAGGAUUAUCGGUGACUUGGAUCACGACGAGUACGACUCCUUCAACCCCGUUCUCUUGAACGCUUCCGCAUAGCGAUCUACAAGGGUAUGUAGAUGCACUCUCCUUCCCCUUGUUGCUAGUCUCUCCAUAGAUAGAUCUUGGUGACACGUAGGAAAUUUUUUGAAUUUCUGCUACGUUCCCCAAUAAGGGGGCGCGCCCUCCACCCUCGUGGGCCCCCUGUUGCUCCACCGCCGUACUUCUUCCUCCUAUAUAUACCCACGUACCCCCAAACGAUCAGACACGGAGCCAAAACCCUAAUUCCACCGCCGCAACUUUCUGUAUCCAUGAGAUCCCAUCUUGGGGCAUGUUCCGGAGCUCCGCCGGAGGGGGCAUCGAUCACGGAGGGCUUCUACAUCAACACCAUAGCCUCUCCGAUGAAGUGUGAGUAGUUUACUUCAGACCUACGGGUCCAUAGUUAGUAGCUAGAUGGCUUCUUCUCUUUUUUUGGAUCUCAAUACAAUGUUCUCCCCCUCUCUUGUGGAGAUCUAUUCGAUGUAAUCUUCUUUUUGCGGUGUGUUUGUUGAUACCAAUGAAUUGUGGGUUUAUGAUCAAGUCUAUCUAUGAAUAAUAUUUGAAUCUUCUCUGAAUUCUUUUAUGUAUGAUUGGUUAUCUUUGCAAGUCUCUUCGAAUUAUCAGUUUGGUUUGGCCUACUUGAUUGAUCUUUCUUGCAAUGGGAGAAGUGCUUAGCUUUGGGUUCAAUCUUGCGGUGUCCUUUCCCGGUGAUAGUAAGGGCAGCAAGGCACGUAUUGUAUUGUUGCCAUCGAGGAUAACAAUAUGGGGUUUUCUUCAUAUUGCAUGAGUCUAUCCCUCUACAUCAUGUCAUCUUGCUUAAGGCGUUACUCUGUUUUUAACUUAAUACUCUAGAUGCAUGCUGGAUAGCGGUCGAUGAGUGGAGUAAUAGUAGUAGAUGCAGGCAGGAGUCGGUCUACUUGUCUCGGACGUGAUGCCUAUAUACAUGAUCAUACCUAGAUAUUCUCAUAACUAUGCUCAAUUCUGUCAAUUGCUCAACAGUAAUUUGUUCACCCACCGUAGAAUACUUAUGCUCUCGAGAGAAGCCACUAGUGAAACCUAUGGCCCCCGGGUCUAUCUUUAUCAUAUCAAUCUCCUGCUACUUAGUUAUUUACUUUGCUAUUUGCUUUGCCUUUAUUUUACUUUGCAUCUUUAUCAUAAAAAUACCAAAAAUAUUAUCUUUAUCAUAUCUAUCAGAUCUCACUCUCGUAAGUGGCCCUAUAGGGAUUGACAACCCCUAUUUGCGUUGGUUGCGAGGAUUUAUUUGUUUGUGCAGGUACGAGGGACCUGCGUGUAGCCUCCUACUGGAUUGAUACCUUGGUUCUCAAAAACUGAGGGAAAUACUUACGCUACUUUGCUGCAUCAUCCCUUCCUCUUCGGGGAAAACCAACGCAGUGCUAAAAGAGGUAGCAUUAUCAGAGUAACACGAAACAGCUGAAUAGCGGGCAAUACCACGUCUUCACCACAAGCUUGUGUAAGCGGGAUCAGAAGCUUCAUAAAAGGGCAUUAAACUCCGUUGAACCGGCAGUACCCCGUUACUUGCGUUGGUCUGAGCAGCCCAUUGUGUGGAGUCGAGAGGAUCAUCCGCCCCGGGUUGAUAAUCCGGGUCAUCUGGCAUUGGUGGUUGCACCUCAGGUUGGAGGGUAUAAGUUCACCAAGGUGCUCAUGGACGGAGGGAGCAUCAUCAAUAUCCUCUAUUAUGAAACCUUCCGUCGUAUGGGGUUGACGGAUAAAAAUCUUAAACCAUCAAACACUGUUUUCCAUGGUGUGGUGCCUGGUAAGUCAGCAUAUCCAGUUGGUAAAAUAGCUCUGGAAGUUGUGUUUGGGGAUGAGUAUGACUCUCGAUCAGAGACAUUGACCUUUGAGGUGGUGAAGAUCAAAAGCCCUUAUCAUGCUCUGUCUGGACGGCCGACUUAUGCUAAGUUUAUGGCAAGACCCUGUUAUGUUUAUCUACAGCUCAAGAUGCCAGGUCAUAAGGGGACCAUCACGGUACAUGGGAGCCGAAAGAUAGCCUUGGAAUGUGAGGAAGGUGAUGCGGCUUAUGCUAAGUCGGUUUGUGCAACAGAGGAGUUGAAAUUUUAUAAGGACAAUGUUGAUCCGGCGGAUAUGACUUCUUUGAAAAAGCCAACUACAAAGCAUGAUCCAACAUUGAAGUUUAAAUCGGCUGAGGAAACCAAGUUAGUUGAUAUUGUUCCUGGUGAUUCAUCCAAGCAGUUUAGCAUCAGUGCUAAUCUGGAUCCGAAAUAGGAAAGCGCGCUCAUCGAGUUCAUAUGUGAGAACCGAAACAUCUUUGCAUGGAAACAUACUGACAUGCCAGGUGUACCGAGGGAACUCGCUGAGCACACUCUUAAUAUUGAUCCUAAGUUUAGAUCGGCCAGGCAGUUUCUCCGCCGCUUCAAUGAAGAAAGGCGUAAGGCUAUUGGUGAGGAGGUAGCCUGGCUCUUGGCAGUAGGGUUUAUUGUGGAGGUUGUUCACCCUGAGUGGUUAGCUAACCCGGUGCUAGUACUUAAGAAGAACGGCACUUGGCGUAUGUGUGUGGAUUACACAGAUUUGAACAAGGCUUGUCCAGCUGAUCCCUUUGCUCUCCCUCGUAUUGAUCAAAUCAUUGAUGCUACGGUGGGUUGUGAGCGUCCAAGCUUUCUGGAUGCUUAUUCUGGUUAUCAUCAGAUCAAAAUGGCAGUUAAGGACCAGGAGAAGACAGCUUUUAUAACUCCCUUUGGAGCCUUCUGCUAUGUAUCUAUGCCUUUUGGGAUCAAGAGUGCCCAGGCGACUUAUCAGCGUUGUGUGCAAAAUUGUCUUCAUAAUCAGAUUGGGCGGAAUGUUCAUUCUUGCGUGGAUGAUAUUUUGGUGAAGUCCAUAAAGGAGGAGUCAUUAAUAGAUGACUUAAAGGAAACUUUUGAUAAUCUCUGGGUCUAUAAGAUGAUGCUUAAUCCGGCCAAGUGUGUUUUUGGUGUACCGGCAAGCAAGCUCUUGGGUUUUCUGGUGUCUAACAGGGGUAUUGAGGCUAACCCGAAAAAAAUCAAGGCAAUUACUUCUCUGGCUAAACCGGUGUGCAUCAAUGAUGUUCAACGUCUGGCAGGUCGUAUUGCAGCAUUGAGCCGGUUUAUCAGCCGGUUGGGGGAGAAAGCUAUCCCUCUGUAUCAGAUGAUGAAAAAGACAGAUAAUUUUGUCUGGAGUGAUGCGGCUAAUGCGGCGAUUGAGGACUUGAAGAAACAAUUAGCCGAGCCUCCCGUCCUUGCCGCUCCCAUUGAUAAAGAGCCAUUGCUGUUAUAUGUGGCUGCUAAUGCCCGGGCUGUCAGUGUGGCUAUUGUGGUAGAGUGGAAGGAGGCAAGCAAAGAAUAUCCGGUUUAACGGUCGGUUUAUUAUAUCAGUGGGGUACUCAUUGAGUCCAAGCAAAGAUACCCACAUUGGCAGAAGCUGGUGUAUGGAGUUUUUAUGGCAAGCCAGAAGCUUAAACAGUAUUUUCAGGGUCACCCCAUCACUGUGGUCAGCUCUGCCCCUUUGGGGGAUAUAAUUCAAAACAGGGAGGCAACUGGCUGGGUUGCCAAGUGGGCCAUUGAGCUUGGACCUCAUGGGUUAAAGUAUAUGCCUCGGACGGCAAUCAAGUCCCAGACACUUGUGGAUUUCAUCAAUGAUUGGACAGAAUUGCAGACACCAGAGGAAAAGCCGGAUAACACAUAUUGGACUCUUCACUUUGAUGGGUCCAGGAAAUUGGAGGGCUCGGGGGCUGGAGUUGUGCUAGCUUCCCCUCGAGGUGAUAAAUUUUGUUAUGUCCUCCGUUUAUUGUUUCCUUGCACUAACAAUGCAGCUGAAUAUGAGGCUUUACUCCAUGGUCGUCGAGUGGCUAAGGAGAUGAACUUGAGCCGGGUUAGGUGUUUUGGUGACUCAGAUUUGGUAGCUCAACAAGUAUUAGGUACUUGGGACUCUAAGGAUCCACUCAUGGCGGCUUAUCGAUAGGAGGUGGAUAUUAUUGCUGGUCAUUUCAAGGGUUACCAGGUUGAGCAUGUGGACCGGAGGAAGAAUGAAGCGGUAGACGCUUUAAGCUGGCUGGGUUCUCAACGUAAACCGGUGCUACCCAACGUUGUUCUUGAUGUCCUUCAUAACCCGUCGGUCAAGUUACCCACAGAGGAGGAUUUGGCUAUUCCUGACCCAGAGGCUCAAUUGGUGGCAGCUCUUCAUGUUAUCCCGGAUUGGACGGUUCCCUAUUUGGCGUAUAUGACCCGGGGCAAGUUACCUGAGGAUGAGGUUUUGGCCAGACAGAUAAUCCAGCAGUCCAAGUCAAUGACUAUUGUCAAUGGAGAGUUGCAUCAUUGUAGUGUUACAGGGGCGUUUUAGCGUUGUGUGUCUCCGGAAGAAGGCUGUGAGAUCCUCCGUGAGAUCCAUGAAGGGGACUGUGGACAUCAUGCCGGUUCAAAAUCUCUGGUAGCCAAAGCUUUUCGUCACAGUUUUUAUUGCCUGACGGCUCAUGCUGAUGCUGAGGACUUGGUCAGAAGGUGUGAUGGUUGUCAGAAAUUUGCACGUCGAGCUCAUGUUUCGGCUCAGGAGUUAAGGAUGAUUCCAAUUACUUGUCCAUUUGCAGUCUGGGGGCUUGAUAUGGUGGGGCCCUUUAAAAUAUCCAAGGAUAAGAAGACCCACCUCUUGGUGGCAGUUGACAAGUUUACUAAAUGGGUAGAGGCCGAGCCAGUGAGCAAAUGUGAUGCAACGACGGCGGUUCAAUUCAUGAAGAAGGUGAUCUUCCGCUUUGGCUUUCCACAUAGCAUUAUAACUGACAUUGGUACUAACCUUUCAAAGGGAGCUAUUGAAGAUUUUUGUCAACGUGAGCAUAUCCGGCUUGACAUAUCGUCAGUAGCUCACCCCCAGUCUAAUGGUCAAGCUGAGAGAGCCAAUCAAGAGAUCUUAAGAGGUAUCAAACCCCGGCUUAUGGUUCCUUUGCAGAGGAUGCAGGGUUGUUGGGUCGAGGAGUUACCUUCCAUGUUAUGGAGCAUUAAUACCACCCUAACAGGUCUACGGGUUAUACGCCCUUUUUCAUGGCUUAUGGAGCAGAGGGAGUUCUCCCUAGUGACAUCCGUCAUGACUCGCCCCGUGUGGCAGCUUAUGUUGAAGCUGACAAUGAAAAAACAUGUCAGGAAGCACUUGACUUGUUGGAUGAAGAGCGUGACAUUGCAGCGGCCCGUUCGGUGAUUUACCAGCAAGACCUGCGCCGUUACCACAGCCGCCAGGUUAAAACCAGAACUUUUCAAGAAGGUGAUCUGGUGCUCCGGCUCAUCCAGGAUCAGACUGAUAUGCACAAGUUAUCCCCACCUUGGGAAGGACCCUUUGUGGUCAGCAAGAAUCUAAACAAUGGGUCAUAUUACCUUAUCGAUGUUCGAGACCACAAGGACUCACGCACAUCAGAGGAGGAGACCCACCGACCCUGGAAUAUUGCUCAACUUAGGCCAUAUUACACCUGAGCCACAGGCUCUCCGUAUGUACAUAUUUAAACAAUCUAUAUAUUAUGAUUGAUAUAAUAAACCGACAUCCUUGCUGAAGCGGGGCUUCUGUCGUUCCCAUACAUGAGUCUCUGUUACCUUGGUAAUCCGGCUAUCAAGCCCAUAUUAUAAGAGCACAGCUCUGUUACCUUGGUAAUCCGGCUAUCAAGCCCAUAUUAUAAGAGCACAGCUCUGUUACCUUGGUAAUUCGGCUAUCAAGCCCAUAUUAUAAGAGCACAACUCUGUUACCUUGGUAAUCCGGCUAUCAAGCCCAUAUUAUAAGAGCACAGCUCUGUUACCUUGGUAAUCCGGCUAUCAAGCCAAUAUCACAACUUCAUAUGAGCAGGGCUCUGAUCUACUUAAGGCUUAAUGCCCGGAUUAAAGGGACCAAAGAGAGUCUGAUGCAUAACUCAGCUCAAACAUAGGUAUCCCUUGGGCACAACCCACAUAAUCACUUGGGGGCUUGGUCGUAUUCGAACCAUAGCUACACCUCUUGAUAGACAUAAGGCCACCAGGGAAAUCACUUGGGGGCUUUGGUCGUAUUCGAACCAUCACUUCAACCCUCUUGAUCAUUGAAACACCACAAUUAUAACUAUUUCCAACUUUUUUUUUGAUUUUUUUGGUUUAUAAUGCUUUAUGAGUGUAAUUUAUCUAUGCUAUUUAAACCUGGUCUGGGCCUGUUCAUAAACGAGCAACAGCUGAGGAAUAUCAAUACUCAAGGUUUGGGUUAUCACCCUUACUACAAAAAGUUGGUAAACCAACGAUGUGAUUCAAUGUCAUAGGUAUGAUAUAUUUCAUAUUUGGUUAUUCUUAAGUACAACCUUGGUUAUAAACCCGAGUUAUAUGUUGGGCGUUAUGACCCGUCCGGUGGUAAACCGCCAGGACACUUUUUAUAUGCAGAAACAGGUUGAAUAAAGGUUCUACGGAUCAUAAGCAGACAUAGCAUAAUCAUGACGGAUUAACCGUGUCAUGCAAAGCGAACAUGCACGAUGGCAUAGUAGACCAAGUAUUUAAACUAGCCUAUUACAAGGCACUUUGAUGCCCAAAAGGAUAAUUGUUUUCAACAAGUGUUGCAGUAUGCAGAAGGCUAAACCGGCCUCCGGAUCAUGAUUCUUCACCGGGCUGACUUGACGGCUGUGGAUCAUCUUCCGCCGCUUCAUCAUCCUUCUCUCCACCCAGCGGCUGGAAGUCAAUGGUUGCCCAGUCGAUUCCAGUUAGGGCCUUGAAUACAACUUCGUCACUUAUAAGUGUGGAGGGUUCAACAUCAGGGGAGUAGAUAUGCUUACGGAUUGGCGGGAUAAGAUUUUCCACAUCAUGAGUUGGCGCAUUAACCCGUUUGUUGUCGGCGUCAUAAAUUGACUGGUAAUGAGAAAGAUCUGUCUCUUCAGCCAAUUUGCUCACUAAUGGGCGCAUUUCCUUCGUCAAAGCUCGGAGAUCAUCAUUGUCAAAAUCUGACCCGUCCUCCUUUAUGCUUGGAUAGCCGCUUCCUAUAUCAGCCGGGUCAAGAUCUGGUAUCCAUGCUUUAGCCCGGAUUAGCGUAGUUAGAGCACCUGCCCUUGCAGCUGAUCUUUUUAACUCCUCAAACCGGGCAGGAAUCAUUGAUAGCUUCUCUAAUGUUUCCUUGAUCAAGGUUGGGGGUGGUUUGUUAUGAGAGGUAGUACAAAUGAUCCGUUGUGCGCCGGUAUAUAAUUGCUCUAUAAGAGUAUAGGCAGCCUUCAAUUUUUUCUGCAUAUCAGAGCCCAGAUGGGUGAUGCGAGAUCCUGCAUCAUUACGCACAUCGAUAAACCAGCAGUUCAUAGGAUAAUACAUGUUAAACUCUUAUAAUAAGGGUGCUUACCAAACACAGCAGUGGUCAUGGCAUUUAUUUGCCACUUCAGACCAGUCAGCUCUUCUACCACCGGAUUAAGGGCUGCUUCUGCAUCCUCAGCCCUCUUUUGUAGUUUGGUUUUCUCUAUGUCCCAGUCUGCCCGCUCCUUCUGGAAGUUUUCCUUCAAUUUCUCCAUGGCUACUAAGGCACUGGUUAGCUCCUCUUUGGCUUUGGAAGUUUCUGCUUGUUGGGACUUGAUAUUUUCUUGAAGAUCGGCGGUUUGAGAUUCCUUUUUGCUCAGCUCAGCCUGUAAGAGACAUAUAUGUUAUGAGUUGGAAGCAUUUUGAAGUACCAAGCACAUAACAAGUUAUACACUUGGCACUUGGGGGCUAAUGCCUAUUGCUUCUUAUCAACUUUCUCUUAUAAGUCCCAAGAUCAAUUCAAGUAUUAUUCUUGGCACUUGGGGGCUACACAAACAAAAGUGACAAGAUUAAUAUUCUAAAAGUCCUGGUUCAUCCUGAAAUGAUAAACCGGCCCUUGGGGGCUACGCAGGCAAAGUUGAAGUAUUACAAAGUCCCGGUUUACAUUGAUAUCAUAAACCAGCCCUUGGGGGCUAUUGGAGUUGAUAUUAGAAAUCAGAUACAAGAGAGAAAAAAUUAUGUGGAGUUAACAGUAUUUACCUCAUAUUGCUCUUUCAUCUGGUUCACUAAACCGGCUUUAUAGUCGCGGCUUCUGUACAAGCGGUUUAAAAACCCAGAGUGGAUAUCUUGGGCAUUAAGGUGGGCAUAGAUUUCCAAGUUUGUUUUCCACUUGCCUUUAUCCAUAGCAGCAAAUUCUUCCUUGGCACUAUGUUUUGAUAAAGCAAUGGGAUUACCAGGAGUUGUGUAGCCUAAACCAGUAACAAUGACAUCAUCUGAUUGGUCAUCAGCCGCUUUGACUGGGCUCGGCGGUUUAUCUGCAGUUUUAGCCGGGCUUGGCGGGUCAGUAGCAUGGCCUGUAGGAUCAUCUUCCAUCUGUUCAGCAAAGGUUUCAUGAUGUUGCGUUGGCGGAUCAUCAAGAAUAGCGUCAGCAUUUGGCUCAAACUGUUCUGGGAUCUUUUCCAGUUCAGUGUUCGGGUUAUCAUCAGCCAAUUUAUUCAAUUUGGCCUUUUGCGGGGCCUAGCUUUAGCUCUGAAAUAAAUGUAAAUAAAGGUUAGUAUAUUAAACAGGUGCAAGGGAUAAAGAGUUAAGUGUAGUAUGCUUACGCAGGAACAGUCUUAAGGGGUGGAAGCUGUGUCCAUGUUGAUUCGCCAGAGGAUGAAUGGGAAGUUCCCUGGUAGUUUGAGUCAGAUGGAUUAAGAGGUUGCCGAAAAUAACCAUCCUUGGGAUAAGAUGUGUCAGGAAUAUGGAUGAAACCUCUGGUCGGCGUUUACGAACCGGUGUGUUCGGUAAACCAGAUGAAGCAACCACCUGGCCACUAUGCCGGGUUGUGCGGCGAGCUUCAUACUGUUGUUUCUUCAAAAGAAAGUUUGGAUCUAGAUAAGCUAGAGGGUGUGAAAUUUUUACUUUCCGGUUUGCUUGACAGGUUUUCUGUGCUGGCUGAGGAUCUGAACCGGAGGAAAGAAUAAUUACCUCUACAUCAUCAGCCCGGCUAGCUUCGGCGUCAUCCUGAUAAUGGUCAUUGUCAAUGAGGUGUAUGAAAAAUGAACCAAGAGAAUCAAGUUCUACCUUUGAUUCCGGGUUGUCAAGAUCCUCGUCGAGGUUCAGCUCGGUGGACUCACCUGUUUUCUUCUUGGCAGGCUUUUUGACGACCUUUGUCUUGGGUCGAGGGGUCUUGGCCGGUUUAUCCCAAGCGUUCUUCUUCCAAAAUGGGUCGUCACCCUGUUAAAAGAUUGAUAAAGGUUAUAAGGAAGAGUUAAGAAUAUCAGGUUCAAACAGGGGUUAGGCAAUUCUUACAGCUGGUGGUUUAUUUGAAACGUAGAAGGGACUUAGCCCUAUUUUGCUGCAGACAACCACCGAUUCAUCCAGUAUCUUUUUGACAGCUUCAGUGAUUUCAGCAUCAGUUAACUGAAUGUUAGUGUGCCAUUGAGGGUCUUUCAAGUCCCCUGUGUACUCGGACAUUAAACCUGGGCGACAGCUUAAAGGCAAAAUACCCCAAGAUAUCCAGCAACGAACAAAGUCAAUUCCUGUUAACCCAUUAGCCACAAAGGCUCUGAGCUUUGCAAGUUGUGGUGCAUAUUUGGCCCGUUCUUUUGCGGUCAACCUUUGGGGAAAAUGGAUGUGUAUUGGUAAGUCGGUGAGCACGGUAACCCGACAGAGGGUUCUCGUCAUCUGGGGAAGUAUCUUUGCAAUAGAACCAAGUCUGGUUCCAAUCCUUAGGGUGACUAUGAUGCUUGGCGUGAGGGAAGCUCACGUCUUUCCUUUUCUGAAUUGAAACGCCGCCAAUUUCAGUAUUGGGCCCGUCUGUAAAUUCAGUACGGCGGUUUAAAUAGAAAAAGUCCCUGAACAGUUCAACAGUCCGUUCUUCUUGCAGAUAAGCCUCGCAAAACACUUGAAAAUUACAAAUAUUGGACACAGAAUUAGGUCCAAUAUCUUGAGGGUGGAUCUGGAAGCUAGCAAGCACAUCACGGAUUUUUUUUGAUCCGGGAGGUUUAAAACCACGGCUCAGAUGAUCAACAAACACAACUAUCUCGCCAUCCUUGGGCUCAGGAGGAUUUUGUGGACCGGCAGCUCACCAGUGGAUUUCACUCUGUUUCGGUAAAGCGCCAGUUAUAACGCAUUCGUUCAGAUCUUCUUCCGUAAUCCGGGAUGGAACCCAGUUACAAGCGUAAAAAAGACUUGGCCAUUUCUUUGACAACUUGAAGGAAGAUUUGUGCCGGUUUAAGAUUCAUGGUGGAUAAGCAUGAAGCGUUGCAGGUUAAGGGACGAAAGGUAUUCAAGCAUGCAAAAUUAUUAAACCGAAGGAUGAUGAUAUCAGGACUACAAUGAUAAAGCGAUUGGCGGUUUACGAGGGACUAAUGGUACCUGACGGGUUAUCAUUUUCUAAAGUUAAACCGCCUACAUUGGUAUGGAAGGUACAGAUCUGAUGUUGGAAAUAUGCCCUAGAGGCAAUAAUAAAAGCAUUAUUAUUAUAUUUCCUUAUUCAUGAUAAUUGUCUUUAUUCAUGCUAUAAUUGUGUUAUCCGGAAAUCGUAAUACAUGUGUGAAUAACAGACACCAACAUGUCCCUAGUAAGCCUCUAGUUGACUAGCUCGUUGAUCAACAGAUAGUCAUGGUUUCCUGACUAUGGACAUUGGAUGUCAUUGAUAACGAGAUCACAUCAUUAGGAGAAUGAUGUGAUGGACAAGACCCAAUCCUAAACAUAGCACAAGAUCGUAUAGUUCGUUUGCUAGAGUUUUUCCAAUGUCAAGUAUCUUUUCCUUAGACCAUGAGAUCGUGUAACUCCCGGAUACCGUAGGAGUGCUUUGGGUAUACCAAACGUCACAACGUAACUGGGUGACUAUAAAGGUAGACUACGGGUAUCUCCGAAAGUGUCUCUUGGGUUGACAUGGAUCAAGACUGGGAUUUGUCACUCCGUAUGACGGAGAGGUAUCACUGGGCCCACUCGGUAAUGCAUCAUCAUAAUGAGCUCAAAGUGACCAAGUGUCUGGUCACGGGAUCAUGCAUUACGGUACGAGUAAAGUGACUUGCCGGUAACGAGAUUGAAUGAGGUAUUGGGAUACCGACGAUCGAAUCUCGGGCAAGUAACAUAUCGAUUGACAAAGGGAAUUGCAUACGGGGUUGAUUGAAUCCUCGACAUCGUGGUUCAUCCGAUGAGAUCAUCGUGGAGCAUGUGGGAGCCAACAUGGGUAUCCAGAUCCCACUGUUGGUUAUUGACCGGAGAGUCGUCUCGGUCAUGUCUGCUUGUCUCCCGAACCCGUAGGGUCUACACACUUAAGGUUCGGUGAUGCUAGGGUUGUGAAGAUAUGUAUAUGCAGUAACCCGAAUGUUGUUCGGAGUCCCGGAUGAGAUCCCGGACGUCACGAGGAGUUCCGGAAUGGUCCGGAGGUAAAGAAUUAUAUAUAGGAAGUGCUGUUUCGGCCAUCGGGACAAGUUUCGGGGUCACCGGUAUUGUACCAGGACCACCGGAAGGGUCCCGGGGGUCCACCGGGUGGGGCCACCUAUCCCGGGGGGCCCCAUGGGCUGAAGUGGGAGGGAACCCAGCCCAAAGUGGGCUGGGGCGCCACUCCCCUAGGGCCCAUGCAGCUAGGGUUGAGGGGAAACCCUAAAGGGGGCGCCCCCUUGCUUGGGGGGCAAGCCCCCCACCCUUGGCCGCCGCCUCCCAUAGGAGAUUCCAUCUCCUAGGGCCGGCGCCCCCCCUAGCACCCCUAUAUAUAGUGGGGGAGAGGAGGGACUUCAUACACCAGCCCCUGGCGCCUCCCUCUCUCCCCGUUACGUCUCUCUCUCGUAGUAUAGGCGAAGCCCUGCUAUUGUGACGCCCUGCAUCCACCACCACGCCGUCGUGCUGCUGGAUCUUCAUCAACCUCUCCUUCCCCCUUGCUGGAUCAAGAAGGAGGAGACGUCUCCUGUCCCGUACGUGUGUUGAACGCGGAGGUGCCGUCCGUUCGGCGCUUGGUCAUCAGUGAUUUGGAUCACGUCGUGUUCGACUACAUCAUCACCGUUCUUUGAACGCUUCCGCACGCGAUCUACAAAGGUAUGUAGAUGCAUCCGAUGAAUUGUUGCUAGAUGAACUCCUAGAUGGAUCUUGGUGAAACGAGUAGGAAAAUUUUUGUUUUCUGCAACGUUCCCCAACAGUGGCAUCAUGAGCUAGGUCUAUGCGUAGUUCUUCUUGCGCGAGUAGAACACAAUUUGUUGUGGGCGUAGAUUUGUCAACUUUCUUGCUGCUACUAGUCUUUUCUUGUUGGAAAUAUGCCCUAGAGGCAAUAAUAAAUUAGUUAUUAUUAUAUUUCCUUGUUCAUGAUAAUCGUUUAUUAUCCAUGCUAGAAUUGUAUUGAUAGGAAACUCAGAUACAUGUGUGGAUACAUAGACAACACCAUGUCCCUAGUAAGCCUCUAGUUGACUAGCUCGUUGAUCAAUAGAUGGUUAUGGUUUCCUGACCAUGGACAUUGGAUGUCAUUGAUAACGGGAUCACAUCAUUAGGAGAAUGAUGUGAUGGACAAGACCCAAUCCUAAGCCUAGCACAAGAUCAUGUAGUUUGUAUGCUAAAGCUUUUCUAAUGUCAAGUAUCAUUUCCUUAGACCAUGAGAUUGUGCAACUCCCGGAUACCGUAGGAGUGCUUUGGGUGUACCAAACGUCACAACGUAACUGGGUGACUAUAAAGGUGCACUACGGGUAUCUCCGAAAGUGUCUGUUGGGUUGACACGAAUCGAGACUGGGAUUUGUCACUCCGUGUAAACGGAGAGGUAUCUCUGGGCCCACUCGGUAGGAUAUCAUCAUAAUGUGCACAAUGUGAUCAAGGAGUUGAUCACGGGAUGAUGUGUUACAGAACGAGUAAAGAGACUUGCCGGUAACGAGAUUGAACAAGGUAUCGGGAUACCGACGAUCGAAUCUCGGGCAAGUAUCGUACCGAUAGACAAAGGGAAUUGUAUACGGGAUUGAUUAAGUCCUUGACAUCGUGGUUCAUCCGAUGAGAUCAUCGUGGAACAUGUGGGAGCCAACAUGGGUAUCCAGAUCCCGCUGUUGGUUAUUGACCGGAGAAUGUCUCGGUCAUGUCUGCAUGUCUCCCAAACCCGUAGGGUCUACACACUUAAGGUUCGAUGACGCUAGGGUUGUAAAGGAAGUUUGUAUGUGGUUACCGAAUGUUGUUCGGAGUCCCAGAUGAGAUCCCGGACGUCACGAGGAGUUCCGGAAUGGUCCGGAGGUAAAGAUUUAUAUAUGGGAAGUCCUGGUUUGGUCACCGGAAGAGUUUCGGGGUUUAUCGGUAACAUACCGGGACCACCGGGAGGGUCCCGGGGGUCCACCAAGUGGGGCCACCAACCCCGGAGGCUUGCAUGGGCCAAGAGUGGUGAGGGACCAGCCCCUUAGUGGGCUGGUGCGCCUCCCACAAGGGCCCAUGGCGCCUAAGAGGUGGGAAGGGGGCAAACCCUAAUGGGAUAUGGGCCUUAGGGCCCAUAUUGGUGCGCCUCCCUCUCCCAUCCCCUCUUGGCCGCCACCCCUUGGCCAUCUAGGGCUGCCGCCCCCCUAGGGGUGGGAACCCUAGAGGGGGCGCAGCCCAUCCCCUUCCCCUAUAUAUAUGAGGCCAAGGGCUGCCCCAUAACACACGCGUGAUUCGAUCUCUCGUUGGUGCAGCCCUGCAUCUCUUCUUCCUCCUCUUCUGUGGUGCUUGGCGAAGCCCUGCAGGAUAGCCACGCUCCUCCACCACCACCACGCCGUUGUGCUGCUGCUGGAUAGAGUCUUCCUCAACCUCUCCCUCUCUCCUUGCUGGUUCAGGCGUGGGAGUCGUCACCGGGCUGUACGUGUGUUGAACGCGGAGGUGCCGUGCGUUCGGCACUUGGUCAUCGGUGAUUUGAAUCACGACGAGUACGACUCCAUCAACCCCGUUCACUUGAACGCUUCUGCUUAGCGAUCUACAAGGGUAUGUAGAUGCACUCUCCUUCCCCUCGUUGCUGGUCUCUCCAUAGAUAGAUCUUGGUGACACGUAUGAAAAUUUUGAAUUUCUGCUACGUUCCCCAACAGUGGCAUCAUGAGCUAGGUCUAUUCCGUAGAUUCUAUGCACGAGUAGAACACAAAGUAGUUGUGGGCGUUGAUUUUGUUCAAUAUGCUUGCCGUUACUAGUCUUAUCUUGAUUCGGCGGCAUCGUGGGAUGAAGCGGCCCGGACCAACCUUACACGUACUCUUACGUGAGACCGGUUCCACCGACAAACAUGCACUAGUUGCAUAAGGUGGCUGGCGGGUGUCUGUCUCUCCCACUUUAGUCGGAUCGGAUUCGAUGAAAAGGGUCCUUAUGAAGGGUAAAUAGCAAUUGGCAUAUCACGUUGUGGUCUUUGUGUAGGUAAGAAACAUUCUUGCUAGAAACCCAUAGCAGCCAUGUAAAACAUGCAAACAACAAUUAGAGGACGUCUAACUUGUUUUUGCAGGGUAUGCUAUGUGAUGUGAUAUGGCCAAAGGAUGUGAUGAAUGAUAUAUGUGAUGUAUGAGAUUGAUCAUGUUCUUGUAAUAGGAAUCACGACUUGCAUGUCGAUGAGUAUGACAACCGGCAGGAGCCAUAGGAGUUGUCUUUAUUUAUUUAUGACCUGCGUGUCAACAUAAACGUCAUGUAAUUACUUUACUUUAUUGCUAACCGUUAGUUGUAGUAGUAGAAGUAAUAGAUGACGAGACAACUUCAUGAAGACACGAUGAUGGAGAUCAUGAUGAUGGAGAUCAUGGUGUCAUGCCGGUGACAAGAUGAUCAUGGAGCCCCAAGAUGGAGAUCAAAGGAGCUAUAUGAUAUUGGCCAUAUCAUGUCACUAUUAUUUGAUUGCAUGUGAUGUUUAUCAUGUGUAUACAUCUUAUUUGCUUAGAACGACGGUAGUAAAUAAGAUGAUCCCUUACAACAAUUUCAAGAAGUGUUCUCUCCUAACUGUGCACCGUUGCGACAGUUCGUGUUUCGAAGCACCACGUGAUGAUCGGGUGUUAGAUUCUAACGUUCACAUACAACGGGUGUAAGACAGAUUUACACACGCGAAACACUUAGGGUUAACUUGACGAGCCUAGCAUGUACAGACAUGGCCUCGGAACACAGAAGACCGAAAGGUCGAGCAUGAGUCGUAUGGCAGAUACGAUCAACAUGAAGAUGUUCACCGAUGUUGACUAGUCCGUCUCACGUGAUGAUCGGACACGGCCUAGUUGACUCGGACCAUGUAAUCACAUAGAUGACUAAAGGGAUGUCUAUCUGAGUGGGAGUUCAUAAGAUGAACUUAAUUAUCCUGAACAUAGUCAAAAGGAUUUUGCGAAUUAUGUCGUAGCUCGCGCUUUAGUUCUACUGUUUAGAUAUGUUCCUAGAGAAAAAAUUAGUUGAAAGUUGAUAGUAGCAAUUGUGCGGACUAAGUUCGCAAACUGAGGAUUGUCCUCAUUGCUUCAUAGAAGGCUUAUGUCCUUAAUGCACCGCUUAGUGUGCUGAACCUCGAACGUCGUCUAUGGAUGUUGCGAACAUCUGACAUACACAUUUUGAUAAUUACAUUAUAGUUCAGUGCGUAAUGUUAAAUGGUUUAGAAUUGAGGCACCGAAGAUGUUUUGAAACGUCGCAAAACAUAUGAGAUGUUUUGAGGGCUGAAAUUGGGAUUUCAGGCUCGUGCCCACGUCAAGAGGUGUAAGACCUCCGACGAUUUUCUUAGCCUGCAAACUAAGGGAGAAAAGCUCAAUUGUUGAGCUUGUGCUCAGAUUGUCUGAGUACAACAAUCAUUUGAAUCAAGUGGGAGUUGAUCUUCCAGAUAAGAUAGUGAUGUUUCUCCGAAGUCAUUACCACCAAGCUGCUAGAGCUUCGUGAUGAACUAUAAUGUAUCAGGGACAUAUAUGAUGAUCCUUGAGAUAUUCGCGAUGUUUGACACCGCGAAAGUAGAAAUCAAGAAGGAGCAUCAAUUGUUGAUGGUUGGUGAAACCACUAGUUUCAACAAGGGUAAGGGCAAGAAGGGAUACUUCAUGAAACGGCAAUUCAGCUGCUGCUCUAGUGAAGAAACCCAAGGUUGAACCCAAACCCGAGACUAAGUGCUUCUGUAAUAAGGGGAACAGCCACUAGAGCAGUAUUACCCUAGAUACUUGGUAGAUGAGAAGGCUGUCGAUAGAAGUAUAUUGGAUAUACAUUAUGUUAAUGUGUACUUUACUAGUACUCCUAGUAGCACCAGGGUAUUAGAUACCGGUUCAGUUGCUAAGUGUUAGUAACUCGAAAUAAAAGCUACGGAAUAAACGGAGACUAGCUAAAGGUGAGCUGACGAUAUGUGUUGGAAGUGUUUCCAAGGUUGACAUGAUCAAGCAUCGCACGCUCCCUCUACCAUCGAGAUUGGUAUUAAAACCUAAAUAAUUGUUAUUUGGUGUUUGCGUUGAGCAUAGACAUGAUUGGAUUAUGUCUAUCGCAAUACGGUUAUUCAUUUAAGGAGAAUAACGGUUACUCUGUUUAUUUGAAUAAUACCUUCAAUGGUCUUAUGCCUAAAUUGAAUCUCGAUCGUAGUGAUACACAUGUUCAUGCCAAAAGAAAGUAAUGAUAGUACCACCUACUUGUGGCACUGCCACGUAAGUCAUAUCGGUAUAAAACGCAUGAAGAAGCUCCAUGUUGAUGGAUCUUUGGGCUCACUCGUUUUUUUAAAGGUUUGAGGCAUGCGAAUCAUGUCUAUUGGUGUAUAUGCAUGAAACUCCAUGCAAAUGGACCGUUUGGACUCACUUGAUUUUUGAAUCACUUGAGACAUGCAAAUCAUACCACAUGGGCAAGAUGACUGAAAGCCUCGGUUUCAGUAAAAUGGAACUAGAAAGCAACUUGUUGGAAGUAAUACAUUUUGAUGUGUGCAAUCCAAUGAGUGCUGAGGCAUGUAGUGGAUAUCGUUAUGUUCUUACUUCACAGAUGAUUUGAGUAGAUGUUGAGUAUAUUUACUUGAUGAAUCACGAGUCUGAAUUAUUGAAAGGUUCAAAUAAUUUCAGGGUGAAGUUGAAAGAUCGUCCUGACAAGAGGAUAAAAUAUCUAUGAUAUGAUCAUAGAGAUGAAUAUCUGAAUUAUGAGUUUGGCACAGAAUUAAGACAUUGUGGAAAUUGUUUCACAACCAAUACAACCUGGAACACCAUAGUGUGAUGGUGUGUCCGAACAUCAUAACUGCACCCUAUUGGAUAUGAUGCAUACCAUGAUGUCUCUUAUCGAAUUACCACAAUAGUUUAUGGGUUAGGCAUUAGAGACAACCACAUUCACUUUAAUAGGGCAUCACGUAAUUCCGAUGAGAUGACACCAUAUGAACUAUGGUUUAGACAAACCUAAGCUGUCAUUUCUUAAAAGUUUGGGGCUGCGACGCUUAUGUGAAAAAGUUUUAGGCAGAUAAGCUCGAACCCAAAGCGGAUAAAUGCAUCUUCAUAGGACACCCAAAACAGUUGGGUAUACCUCCUGUCUCAGAUCCGAAAGCAAUAAGGGAUUGUUUCUAGAAUCGGGUCCUUUCUCGAGGAAAAGUUUCUCUCGAAAGAAUUGAGUGGGAGGAUGGUGGAGGCUUGAUGAGGUUAUUGAACCGUCACUUCAACUCGUGUAUAGCAGGGCACAAAGAGUUGUUCCUGUGGCACCUACAUCAAUUGAAGUGGAAGCUUAUGAUAGUGAUCAUGAAACUUCAGAUCAAGUCACUACCAAACCUCGUGGGAUGACAAGGAUGCGUACUACUUCAGAGUGGUACGUAAUCCUAUCUUGGAAGUCAUGUUGCUAGACAACAAUGAACCUACGAGCUAUGGAGAAGCGACGGUGGGCCUGGAUUCUGAUAAAUGGCUCGAAGCCAUGAAAUCCGAGAGAGGAUCCAUGUAUGAAAACAAAGUGUAGACUUUGGAAGAACUACUUGAUGGUCGUGAGGCUGUUGAGUACAGAUGGAUUUUAAAAGGAAGACGGACAAUAAUGGUAAAUGUCACCAUUAAGAGAGCUCGACUUGUCGUUAAGAUGUUUUCUGACAAGUUCAAGGAGUUGACUACGGUGAGAUUUUCUCACUCGUAGCGAUGCUAAGAGUCUGUUGGAAUUAUAUUAGCAGUCACUGCAUUAUUUAUGAAAUCUUGCAGAUAGGAUGUCAAAACAUUGUUUCCUCGACUAUUUUCUUGAGGAAAGGUUGUAUGUGAUACAACCGAAAGGUUUUGUCAAUCCUGAAAGAUGCUAAUAAGUAUGCAAAGCUCCAGCUAUCCUUCUGAGGACUGGAGUGAGCAUCUCGGAGUUGGAAUGUACACUUUGAUGAGAUGAUCAAAGAUUUUGGGUUUAUACAAAGUUUAUGAGAAACUUGUAUUUCCAAAAAAGUGAGUGGGAGCACUAUAGAAUUUCUGAUGAGUAUAUGUUUUGUUGAUCGGAAAUGACGUAGAAUUUCUAGAAAGCAUGUAGGGUUAUUUGGAAAGUGUUUUUCAAUGGAAAUCCAGGAUUAAGCUACUUGAACAUUGAGCAUCAAGAUCUAUAAGGAUAGAUCAAAACGCUUAAUGGUACUUUCAAAUGAGCACAUACCUUGACAUGAUCUUGAAGGUGUUCAAGAUGGAUCAGUCAAAGAAGGAGUUCUUGCCUGAGUUGUAAGGUAUGAAGUUAAGACUUAAAGCUCGACCAUGGCAGAAUAGAGAGAAAGGACGAAAGUCGUCCCCUAUGCUUAAGACGUAGGCUCUAUAGUAUGCUAUGCUGUGUACCGCACCUGAAGUGUGCCUUGCCAUGAGUCAGUCAAGGGGUACAAGAGUGAUCCAAGAAUGGAUCACAGGACAGCUGUCAAAGUUAUCCUUAGUAACUAGUGGACUAAGGAAUUUUCUCGAUUAUGGAGGUGGAAAAAGAGUUCGUCGUAAAGGGUUGCGUCGAUGCAAGCUUAACACCUAUCCGGAUAGCUCUGAGUAGAGAUACCGGAUACGUAUAAUGGAGCAACAAUUUAGAAUAGCUCCAAGUAGAACAGUUAUUUGGAAUAGUUCCAAAUAGAACGUGGUAGCUACAUCUAGGAGAUGACAUAGAGAUUUGUAAAGCACACACGGAUCUGAAAGGUUCAGGCCCGUUGACUAAAACCUCUCUCACAAGCAACAUGAUCAAACCCAAAAAUCAUUGAGUGUUAAUCACAUGGUAAAAGUGAACUAGAUUAUUGACUCUAGUAAACUCUUUGGGUAUUAGUCACAUGGGGAUGUGACCUUGAGUGUUAAUCACACAUCAAUGUGAACUGGAUUAUUGACUCUAGUGCAAGUGGGAGACUGUUGGAAAUAUGCCCUAGAGGCAAUAAUAAAUUAGUUAUUAUUAUAUUCCUUGUUCAUGAUAAUCGUUUAUUAUCCAUGCUAGAAUUGUAUUGAUAGGGAACUCAGAUACAUGUGUGGAUACAUAGACAACACCAUGUCCCUAGUAAGCCUCUAGUUGACUAGCUCGUUGAUCAAUAGAUGGUUACGGUUUCCUGACCAUGGACAUUGGAUGUCAUUGAUAACGGGAUCACAUCAUUAGGAGAAUGAUGUGAUGAACAAGACCCAAUCCUAAGCCUAGCACAAGAUCAUGUAGUUCGUAUGCUAAAGCUUUUCUAAUGUCAAGUAUCAUUUCCUUAGACCAUGAGAUUGUGCAACUCCCGGAUACCGUAGGAGUGCUUUGGGUGUACCAAACGUCACAACGUAACUGGGUGACUCUAAAGGUGCACUACGGGUAUCUCCGAAAGUGUCUGUUGGGUUGACACGAAUCGAGACUGGGAUUUGCCACUCCGUGUAAACGGAGAGGUAUCUCUGGGCCCACUCGGUAGGAUAUCAUCAUAAUGUGCACAAUGUGAUCAAGGAGUUGAUCACGGGAUGAUGUGUUAUGGAACGAGUAAAGAGACUUGCCGGUAACGAGAUUGAACAAGGUAUCGGGAUACCGACGAUCGAAUCUCGGGCAAGUAUCGUACCGAUAGACAAAGGGAAUUGUAUACGGGAUUGAUUAAGUCCUUGACAUCGUGGUUCAUCCGAUGAGAUCAUCGUGGAACAUGUGGGAGCCAACAUGGGUAUCCAGAUCCUGCUGUUGGUUAUUGACCGGAGAACGUCUCGGUCAUGUCUGCAUGUCUCCCGAACCCGUAGGGUCUACACACUUAAGGUUCGAUGACGCUAGGGUUGUAAAGGAAGUUUGUAUGUGGUUACCGAAUGUUGUUCGGAGUCCCGGAUGAGAUCCCGGACGUCACGAGGAGUUCCGGAAUGGUCCGGAGGUAAAGAUUUAUAUAUGGGAAGUCCUGUUUUGGUCACCGGGAGAGUUUCGGGGUUUAUCGGUAACAUACCGGGACCACCGGGAGGGUCCCGGGGGUCCACCAAGUGGGGCCACCAACCCCGGAGGCUUGCAUGGGCCAAGAGUGGUGAGGGACCAGCCCCUUAGUGGGCUGGUGCGCCUCCCACAAGGGCCCAUGGCGCCUAAGAGGUGGGAAGGGGGCAAACCCUAAUGGGAUAUGGGCCUUAGGGCCCAUAUUGGUGCGCCUCCCUCUCCCAUCCCCUCUUGGCCGCCACCCCUUGGCCAUCUAGGGCUGCCGCCCCCCUAGGGGUGGGAACCCUAGAGGGGGCGCAGCCCAUCCCCUUCCCCUAUAUAUAUGAGGCCAAGGGUUGCCCCAUAACACACGCGUGAUUCGAUCUCUCGUUGGUGCAGCCUUGCAUCUCUUCUUCCUCCUCUUCUGUGGUGCUUGGCGAAGCCCUGCAGGAUAGCCACGCUCCUCCACCACCACCACGUUGUUGUGCUUCUGCUGGAUAGAGUCUUCCUCAACCUCUUCCUCUCUCCUUGCUGGAUCAAGGCAUGGGAGACGUCACCGGGCUGUACGUGUGUUGAACGCGGAGGUGCCGUGCGUUCGGCACUUGGUCAUCGGUGAUUUGAAUCACGACGAGUAUGACUCCAUCAACCCCGUAAACUUGAACGCUUCCGCUUAGCGAUCUACAAGGGUAUGUAGAUGCACUCUCCUUCCCCUCAUUGCUGGUCUCUCCAUAGAUAGAUCUUGGUGACACGUAGGAAAAUUUUGAAUUUCUGCUACGUUCCCCAACAUUUCUUGCUUCAGCGGCAUUGUGGGAAGAAGCGGCCCGGACCAACCUUACACGUACGCUUACGUGAGACCGGUUCCACCGACAAACAUGCACAAGUUGCAUAAAGUGGCUGGCGGGUGUCUGUCUCUCCUACUUUAGUUGGAGCGGAUUCGAUGAACAGGGUCCUUAUGAAGGGUAAAUAGAAGUUGACAAAUCACGUUGUGGCUUUAACGUAGGUAAGAAGUCGUUCUUGCUAGAACCCUAAAUUCAGCCACGUAAAACUUGCAACAUCAAUUAGAGGACGUCUAACUUGUUUUUUGCAGCAAGUGGUUUGUGAUAUGAUAUGGCCAAAGUUGUGGUGAAUGAUGAAUGAUCUAUAUGUGAUGUAUGAUAUGUUCAUGCUAUUGUAAUAGAAAUCACGACUUGCAUGUCGAUGAGUAUGACAACCGGCAGGAGCCAUAGGAGUUGUCUUUAUUCUUUUAUAUGACCUGCGUGUCAUUGAGAAACGCCAUGUAAAUUACUUUACUUUAUUGCUAAACGCGUUAGCCAUAGUAGUAGAAGUAAUAUUUGGCGAGCAACUUCAUGGAGACACGAUGAUGGAGAUCAUGAUGAUGGAGAUCAUGGUGUCAAGCCGGUGACAAGAUGAUCAUGGAGCCCCAAGAUGGAGAUAAAAGGAGCUAUGUGAUAUUGGCCAUAUCAUGUCACGUUUAUUAUUUGAUUUCAUGUGAUGUUUAUCAUGUUUUGCAUCUUGUUUACUUAGAACGACGGUAGUAAAUAAGAUGAUCCCUCAUAAUAAUUUCAAGAAGUGUUCCCCCUAACUGUGCACCGUUGCGACAGUUCGUUGUUUCAAAACACCACGUGAUGAUCGGGUGUUUUAUUCAGACGUUCACAUACAACGGGUGUAAGACAGAUUUACACAUGCAAACACUUAGGUUGACUUGACGAGCCUAGCAUGUACAGACAUGGCCUCGGAACACAGAAGACCGAAAGGUCGAGCAUGAGUCAUAUAGAAGAUACGAUCAACAUGAAGAUGUUCACCGAUGUUGACUAGUCCGUCUCACGUGAUGAUCGGACAUGGCCUAGUUAACUCAGAUCAUGUAAUACUUAGAUGACUAGAGGGAUGUCUAAUCUAAGUGGGAGUUCAUUAAUAAUUUGAUUGGAUGAACUUAAUUAUCAUGAACUUAGUCUAAAAUAUUUUACAAUAUGUCUUGUAGAUCAAAUGGCCCACGUAGUCCUCAACUUCAACGCGUUCCUAGAGAAAACCAAGCUGAAAGACGAUGGCAGCAACUAUACGGACUGGGUCCGGAACCUGAGGAUCAUCCUCAUAGCUGCCAAGAAAGAUUAUGUCCUACAAGCACCGCUAGGUGAAGCUCCCGUCCCACAGAACCAAGACGUUAUGAACGCUUGGCAGACACGUGUUGACGACUACUCCCUCGUUCAGUGCGGCAUGCUUUACAGCUUAGAGCCGGGGCUCCAAAAGCGUUUUGAGAGACAUGGAGCAUAUGAGAUGUUCGAAGAGCUGAAAAUGGUUUUUCAAGCUCAUGCCCGGAUCGAGAGAUAUGAAGUCUCCGAUAAGUUCUUCAGCUGUAAGAUGGAGGAAAAUAGUUCUGUCAGUGAGCACAUACUCACUAUGUCUGGGUUACAUAACCGCUUGUCUCAGCUGGGAGUUAAUCUCCCGGAUGAUGCGGUCAUUGACAGAAUCCUCCAGUCGCUUCCACCAAGCUACAAGAGCUUUGUGAUGAACUUCAACAUGCAGGGGAUGCAAAAGACCAUUCCUGAGUUGUUCUCAAUGCUGAAAUCAGCGGAGGUAGAAGUCAAGAAGGAACAUCAAGUGUUGAUGGUCAAUAAAGCCACUAAGUUCAAGAAAGGCAAGGGUAAAAAGAACUUCAAGAAGGACGGCAAGGAGGUUGCCGCGCCCGGCAAGCAAGCUGCCGGGAAGAAGCCAAAGAAUGGACCCAAGCCCGAGACUGAGUGCUUUUAUUGCAAGGGAAGCGGUCAUUGGAAGUGGAACUGCCCUAAAUACUUAGCAGACAAGAAGGCCGGCAAAACAAAAGGUAUAUGUGAUAUACAUGUAAUUGAUGUGUACCUUACUAGUGUCCGUAGUAGCUCCUGGGUAUUUGAUACCGGUGCAGUUGCUCACAUUUGUAACUCAAAACAGGGGCUGCGGAAUAAGCGGAAACUGGCAAAGGACGAGGUGACGAUGCACGUCGGGAAUGGUUCCAAGGUCAAUGUGAUCGCCGUCGGCACGCUACCUCUAUAUCUACCUUCGGGAUUAGUUUUAAACCUUAAUAAUUGUUAUUUAGUGCCAGCUUUGAGCAUGAACAUUGUAUCGGGAUCUCGUUUAAUUCGAGAUGGCUACUCAUUUAAAUCCGAGAAUAAUGGUUGUUCUAUUUAUAUGAGAGAUAUGUUUUAUGGUCAUGCUCCUAUGGUGAACGGUUUAUUCUUUAUGAAUCUCGAACGUAAUACUACACAUGUUCAUAAUGUGAGUACCAAAAGAUGUAAGGUUGAUAAUGAUAGUCCCACAUACUUGUGGCACUGCCGCCUUGAUCACAUAGGUGUCAAACGCAUGAAGAAGCUCCAUGCAGAUGGACUUUUAGAGUCUCUUGAUUAUGAAUCAUUUGACACGUGCGAACCAUGCCUCAUGGGUAAGAUGACCAAGACUCCGUUCUCAGGAACAAUGGAGCGAGCAACCAACUUAUUGGAAAUCAUACAUACUGAUGUAUGCGGUCCAAUGAGUGUUGACGCUUGCGGUGGCUAUCGUUAUGUUCUCACGCUCACUGAUGAUUUAAGUAGAUAUGGGUAUAUCUACUUAAUGAAACACAAGUCUGAAACCUUUGAAAAGUUCAAGGAAUUUCAGAGUGAGGUUGAAAAUCAACGUGACAGGAAAAUCAAGUUUCUACGAUCAGAUCGUGGAGGAGAAUACUUGAGUCACGAAUUUGGCACACACUUAAGAAAAUGUGGAAUAGUUUCACAACUCACGCCGCCUGGAACACCUCAGCGUAAUGGUGUGUCCGAACGUCGUAAUCACACUCUAUUAGAUAUGGUGCGAUCUAUGAUGUCUCUUACCGAUUUACCGCUAUCUUUUUGGGGCUAUGCUUUAGAGACUGCCGCAUUCACUUUAAAUAGGGCUCCGUCGAAAUCCGUUGAGACGACACCGUAUGAAUUAUGGUUUGGGAAGAAACCUAAGCUGUCGUUUCUAAAAGUUUGGGGAUGCGAUGCUUAUGUCAAGAAACUUCAACCUGAAAAGCUCGAACCCAAGUCGGAAAAAUGCGUCUUCAUAGGAUACCCAAAAGAAACUAUUGGGUAUACCUUCUACCUCAGAUCCGAAGGCAAGAUCUUUGUUGCCAAGAAUGGGUCCUUUCUAGAGAAAGAGUUUCUCUCGAAAGAAGUAAGUGGGAGGAAAGUAGAGCUUGAUGAAGUAUUACCUCUUGAACCGGAAAAUGGCGCAACUCAAGAAAAUGUUCCUGAGGUGCCUGCACCGACUAGAGAGGAAGUUAAUGAUAAUGAUCAAGAUACUUCUGAUCAAGCUCCUACUGAAAUUCGAAGGUCCACAAGGACACGUUCCGCACCAGAGUGGUACGGCAACCCUGUCUUGGAAAUCAUGUUGUUAGACAACGGUGAAUCUUCGAACUAUGAAGAAGCGAUGGCGGGCCCGGAUUCCGACAAAUGGCUAGAAGCCAUGAAAUCCGAGAUAGGAUCCAUGUAUGAAAAUGAAGUAUGGACUUUGACUGACUUGCCCGUUGAACGGCGAGCCAUAGAAAAUAAAUGGAUCUUUAAGAAGAAGACAGACGCGGAUGGUAAUGUGACCAUCUAUAAAGCUCGACUUGGCGCUAAGGGUUAUCGACAAGUUCAAGGGGUUGACUACGAUGAGACUUUCUCACCGGUAGCGAAGCUAAAGUCCGUCCGAAUCAUGUUAGAAAUUGCCGCAUUCUACGAUUAUGAGAUAUGGAAAAUGCACGUCAAAACGGCAUUCCUUAAUGGUUUCCUUAAGGAAGAAUUGUAUAUGAUGCAGCCGGAAGGUUUUGUCGAUCCUAAGAAUGCUGACAAGGUGUGCAAGCUCCAACGCUCAAUUUAUGGGCUGGUGCAAGCAUCUCGGAGUUGGAACAUUCGCUUUGAUGAGAUGAUCAAAGCGUUUGGGUUUACGCAGACUUAUGGAGAAGUCUGCGUUUACAAGAAAGUGAGUGGGAGCUCUGUAGCAUUUCUCAUAUUAUAUGUAGAUGACAUACUAUUGAUGGGAAAUGAUAUAGAACUCUUGGACAGCAUCAAGGCCUACUUGAAUAAGAGUUUUUCAAUGAAGGACCUUGGAGAAGUUGCUUAUAUAUUAGGCAUCAAAAUCUAUAGAGAUAGAUCGAGACGCCUCAUAGGUCUUUCACAAAGCACAUACCUUGAUAAGAUAUUGAAGAAUUCAAUAUGGAUCAAUCUAAGAAGGGGUUCUUGCCUGUGUUACAAGGUAUGAAAUUGAGCUCAGCUCAAUGUCCGACCACGGCAGAAGAUAUAGAAGAGAUGAGCGUCAUCCCCUAUGCAUCAGCCAUAGGUUCUAUUAUGUAUGCCAUGCUGUGUACCAGACCUAAUGUAAACCUUGCCGUAAGUUUGGUAGGAAGGUACCAAAGUAAUCCCGGCAAGGAACACUGGACAGCGGUCAAGAAUAUCCUGAAGUACCUGAAAAGGACUAAGGAAAUGUUUCUCGUUUAUGGAGGUGAUGAAGAGCUCGUCGUAAAGGGUUACGUCGACGCUAGCUUUGACACAGAUCUGGAUGACUCUAAGUCACAAACCGGAUAUGUGUAUAUUUUGAAUGGUGGGGCAGUAAGCUAGUGCAGUUGCAAGCAAAGCGUCGUGGCGGGAUCUACAUGUGAAGCGGAGUACAUGGCAGCCUCGGAGGCAGCACAUGAAGCAAUAUGGGUGAAGGAGUUCAUCACCGACCUAGGAGUCAUACCCAAUGCAUCGGGGCCAAUCAAACUUUUCUGUGACAACACUGGAGCUAUUGCACUUGCCAAGGAGCCCAGGUUUCACAAGAAGACAAGGCACAUCAAGCGUCGCUUCAACUCCAUUCGUGAAAAUGUUCAAGAUGGAGACAUAGAUAUUUGUAAAGUACAUACGGACCUGAAUGUAGCAGAUCCAUUGACUAAACCUCUCCCUAGAGCAAAACAUGAUCAACACCAGAAUUCCAUGGGUGUUCGAUUCAUCACAAUGUAACUAGAUUAUUGACUCUAGUGCAAGUGGGAGACUGUUGGAAAUAUGCCCUAGAGGCAAUAAUAAAAGCAUUAUUAUUAUAUUUCCUUAUUCAUGAUAAUUGUCUUUAUUCAUGCUAUAAUUGUGUUAUCCGGAAAUCGUAAUACAUGUGUGAAUAACAGACACCAACAUGUCCCUAGUAAGCCUCUAGUUGACUAGCUCAUUGAUCAACAUAUAGUCAUGGUUUCCUGACUAUGGACAUUGGAUGUCAUUGAUAACGAGAUCACAUCAUUAGGAGAAUGAUGUGAUGGACAAGACCCAAUCCUAAACAUAGCACAAGAUCGUAUAGUUUGUUUGCUAGAGUUUUUCCAAUGUCAAGUAUCUUUUCCUUAGACCAUGAGAUCGUGUAACUCCCGGAUACCGUAGGAGUGCUUUGGGUAUACCAAACGUCACAACGUAACUGGGUGACUAUAAAGGUAGACUACGGGUAUCUCCGAAAGUGUCUGUUGGGUUGACAUGGAUCAAGACUGGGAUUUGUCACUCCGUAUGAUGGAGAGGUAUCACUGGGCCCACUCGGCAAUGCAUCAUCAUAAUGAGCUCAAAGUGACCAAGUGUCUGGUCACCGGAUCAUGCAUUAUGGUACGAGUAAAGUGACUUGCCGGUAACGAGAUUGAACGAGGUAUUGGGAUACCGACGAUCGAAUCUCGGGCAAGUAACAUAUCGAUUGACAAAGAGAAUUGCAUACGGGGUUGAUUGAAUCCUCGACAUCGUGGUUCAUCCGAUGAGAUCAUCAUGGAGCAUGUGGGAGCCAACAUGGGUAUCCAGAUCCCGCUGUUGGUUAUUGACCGGAGAGUCGUCUCGGUCAUGUCUGCUUGUCUCCCGAACCCGUAGGGUCUACACACUUAAGGUUCGGUGAUGCUAGGGUUGUGAAGAUAUGUAUAUGCAGUAACCCGAAUGUUGUUCGGAGUCCCGGAUGAGAUCCCGGACGCCACGAGGAGUUCCGGAAUGGUCUGGAGGUAAAGAAUUAUAUAUAGGAAGUGCUGUUUCGGCCAUCGGGACAAGUUUCGGGGUCACCGGUAUUGUACGGGGACCACCGGAAGGGUCUCGGGGGUCCACCGGGUGGGGCCACCUAUCCCGGGGGGCCCCAUGGGCUGAAGUGGGAGGGAACCCAGCCCAAAGUGGGCUGGGGCGCCACUCCCCUAGGGCCCAUGCGGCUAGGGUUGAGGGGAAACCCUAAAGGGGGCGCCCCCUUGCUUGGGGGGCAAGCCCCCCACCCUUGGCCGCCGCCCCCCUAGGAGAUUCCAUCUCCUAGGGCCGCCGCCCCCCCUAGCACCCCUAUAUAUAGUGGGGGAGAGGAGGGACUUCAUACACCAGCCCCUGGCGCCUCCCUCUCUCCCCUUUACGUCUCUCUCUCGUAGUAUAGGCGAAGCCCUGCUACUGUGGCGCCCUGCAUUCACCACGACACCGUCGUGCUGCUGGAUCUUCAUCAACCUCUCCUUCCCCCUUGCUGGAUCAAGAAGGAGGAGACGUCUCCCGUCCUGUACGUGUGUUGAACGUGAAGGUGUCGUCCGUUCGGCGCUUGGUCAUCAGUGGUUUGGAUCACGUCGUGUUCGACUACAUCAUCACCGUUCUUUGAACGCUUCCGCACGCGAUCUACAAAGGUAUGUAGAUGCAUCCGAUGACUCGUUGCUAGAUGAACUCCUAGAUGGAUCUUGGUGAAACGAGUAGGAAAUUUUUUGUUUUCUGCAACGUUCCCCAACAUCUGAAAUAGCUAAGUAAGGGGAAAACAGGUUUCACAAGUUGGCAUUACAAAUUUGGAUCUAUCACGGGUCGGAAAAUGAAAAUAUAUUAAGACCUAAACAUGGAAACCGAAGCAGUGGAUUAAGGUUCAGAUUGAAGUUUUUGCUUAAACGCGAUGCGCUGAUGAAAAAAGGACUAUGGCCAUUGCUGUGUAGGCUGAAUAUGGAGGUUUCAAUCGAAGGAACUACAUCGCUGAUAUGAGCACCGACGAACAUCGACGAACACCGAGGAAUGUUCAAACCCUAAAACUGAAUCUACGGUGGGGGAAAGAGAAGCUUACUGGUGCAGAAGGAACAGCGGAGAGGCGCCGCGAUUCUUUGGUACGUUCAGGGUGAUGCAGCAGCCAAGGUUGAGGCAGAGGCGAAGUUCGAUGGCGCUAACGGAGCUUGAGGUGCUGGGGCGAUGCGAGGAAGACGAUGAGGCUGAGAGGCAUGAGGGGAAAAGUGAAAAUGAUCCCCGACCCUAUUUAUAAGGUGAAGGGAUAAGCGGCAGACACAUGAAUCGAGGAGGUCGCAAAACGGAUCUAUAGACAUGCAGACGCCUCGAUUUUUGGAAAUUCAUUAAAGAAGAUACAUUUAAAGAUUUGGGAUCUGCACAAAGCUAAUGGCAGAUGACGUCACGAUGGAUUAUUAUGCUCUCGGAGAUGACGUCACAGCGGUUUACAAGGUUUUUCAGCUGGUGUUGAAGAAGGAAUUUUUCUAAGUACUGAAAAUUGACAUGAACCAGUUCAAAUCAAUUUGGGGCCUAAUGUUGGGGAUAUAACUAUUAAGUAUAAACCGCCCAGGAGGGGCCAGAUUAUACUUAUAGUAAGCUAUUCCUAUUUCAAGCCCACGAAGGCAAGGCGCUUUAUGAAGGAUGUUUAACAAGAAGGCCCAAGGCCCAAAGGCGGAUUAGGGACCGUAGAUGUAAACUGCCAUAAGAUGUAUAACUUGUAUUGUAAGAUAAGAAAGGGUAGAAACCGAGCCGGACACGAAUAUGAGCCGGCCGGGAUUCUGUAAACCGCCGGGCGUCAACCUGUGUAUAUAAAGGGACGACCCGGAGGCGGUUUAAGGACAAGAAAACAACAGAUCGAGAGCCAGGCAAAGCGGAUUCGCUCCCUGGUCAUCGAAACCCUAGCAAUUCCAUCACAACUGGAUUAGGCUUUUACCUUCACCGUAAGGGGCCGAACCAGUAUAAACUCCUUGCGUCCUUUGUCCCGCUUUAACCCCUUUAAGCUAACUACGUUGCAAUGGCUCAACGACUAAGCCCUCACACUAGGACAUCUGCCGUGACAAAACCACGACAAUAUGUGUAGGAUAAAAUUUGUUUGUUGCCUUCUCUAGAUCUUCUAACGAGAAAAUCUUUGUAUUCUCAUUAGCAGUUUCAUCAAAUGAUAUCAACAUUUCUAGGAGAAGACCUUAUUUCUUUUGGAAAUAGUUCUUCUAUAGUUGCUUUUGAAUAUUUAUUUUCCAUCUAUGAUGGAUAAAUACUACGCUAAACCUCAGAAGAAGAGUGUCGGAACCACAUGCCAACCCAAUAAUUAUACAUGCAUGCAUUAAUUAAGCUCUUUUAAGUUUUGCUCUAUUUUUUCUAUCAUAAAUGUAACAAGAAUAUGGUCUUACCUAACUUUAGAGGUUCUUGAUUAUCUUGGUAUAGUGCAUUUUUAUUGGAUUAUACUUAGUCUUGUGAGGACAUUCAGUACAACUAAAGCUUCAUAUGGUAUUAUGGCAGAUCCCUUUACAAAGCUCCAUAAAAAACAACCCAGGGAAAAACAAAGUGGUGUUCAUCGGUGGCGGAAGGAGAAAUGAACUUAUACUUUUCUCUUUGUGAAUUCAUGGUGCAAUUUUUGUGUUUGCAUCUUUUCCAAGCAGCCCAACUGGUAUUUUUUAGAAAAGUUUGUUGAGGUAACUUGUCUUGAAGUGUUGGCAUGCUAUCAUGUGAGAAAAUGUAAUUUGGACAGAUGGCCGCCUUUGAGAUAUCACAGGUCCAUCAAAGUGGACAUUAAGGAUGAGAAACAUAGUAGUAAUUUCCCAAAUAUGAUAUUUUAGUCAACACAUACAAAUUAAAUUAAGUUAGAAAAACUACGAAAUGGAUUUUAGAAUUAAUGAUAGUUUGACAAAGAUAAGUUUAAAAUGAAGGAAAAUCAUUGGAAAUCGAUGAAUUUUAUUUUUUUGGUCGUUCUUGAUAGCUUUCGAUUUUUUCCCUUUUCAUAAAAAAAUUCUUGUUUUUUAUUAUAUAUUGAAAUUUUCUAUUAUAAACAAGAUCCAUUUUGGAAUCUAGGGAAAUGAAAAUAAAAUCAUGUUUUAUUUUCUAAUUUAUAUUGUUGUUAUUAAUAUAUAUUCAGGCUUUUAAGUGUCAUUCGUCUUCCACUUUUUAAUGAAUAUAGUGUGGGUGGUUUUGCCAUGAGUUGGAAACCACCACCAUGUUGUCGGUCAAACCACUCAGAGUUGGGUGAGGGGUCAAAGUUAUCUGGUUUUUGGUGUUAAGGAUGCUAAUGGCCACUCCCUCUAUUAUAAAAUAUUUGAAGUCCUAGGUUUAUCUUAAAUAACAUUUCAUUAAGUUUGACCAACUUUAUGAGAAAACUUACUAAUAAACACAACAUCAAAUGUAUAUAGUAUGACCAUAUAUUUUAGGACCCUGAUAACCACAAAAUGUGUGGUGGUUAAGCUUAAACACCUCCAUCCUCCCCAUUUGUUACAUGCAUGCAUGCAUUAGAAUGAUCCUCUGCUCCUCCCACAUGCAUUUCUCUCUCUAAUUAUAAUUUGAAAAUUCAAAAUGUUUUGUAGCACAAACUGUCAAUUCGAUUCAAAAUUGUUUUCACAUAAAGAAUUCAUCAUGAUGAGACCUUUGAUACUAUAUCUCAUGUUGAUAUGUUCCGACAACUUUUUUGGGGGGCUCAAAAGGUAUCAUGCAUGGGCUACAUAAUUUACAACACAUAUGAUAUGUAAUUUUAUCGUGCUAUUUCCAGAUAAGUUGUUGGGGUAUGUUUGUCAACAACUUUUCCCCCUUGGUCAAUGUUAUCGUGGUGUUUGCACGUAAGUCAACUGGUAUGUGGUUCGUAUAUUAACAUAUUAUUUUCACAUAAGUUGUUGGGGUACAUUUUUCAACAAUCCCCCCUUGUCAAUCUUACCACGGUGUUUGUAUGUAAGUUAUCACAUAUUCGGUUCAUAUAUUACCAUGCUAUUUUCACAUAAUUUACCAGCGGUAUGUUUCUCAACAACCUUUUCCCCUUGGUCAAUGUCAUCACGAUGUUUGUACGUAAGUUAUCAGGUAGGCGGUUCCUCAGCGUUAGUUCAAGCCACGGUAACCAACUCGAAAAGUUCUUUUUUGUGCAAACCUGCUUCCCUUUCCACUUCUCGUAAGGUAAACGUAAUGCUAAAAAUAAAAGCAGUGCGUUCCUAGUUUUUUUUUCUCUUUGGUCGAUUUUUCUUCAUUUUUUUCAUUUCUCUUUCUAAUUUCUUUCUUUUCUAUCUUUUAUUAAUUCACAAAUAUUGUCCAAAUCCAUGUUUUGUUUUUACAAUUUGUGAGUUUUUUUUGAUUAUGUGAACUUUUUUCAAAUCCAUUUUUGGUCAAAUUCAUGAACUAUUUUCAAAUUCUUUUUCCUUUUCUUUUACAAACGCGCAAACUAUUUUCAAAUGAAAAACAUUCUUAAAAUUCGUGAACUUUUGUUUCAAAAUCGAUGAAUUUUUUUCCAAAUCUAUGGUUAUUUUCUUUGAAAUCCAUUAAGUUUUUUUCAACUUCGCGAACUUUUUUCAUACUUCCAAAAUCAACGGUUUUCUUUUCAAAAUCAAUGUUUUUUUAAAUCCAUGAACUAUUUUUGAACCCUUGAACUUUUACAAGUUUGCGAACUUUUUGCCAAAUACAUGAUUUUUUGAGUUUGUUAACUUGUUUCAAACCCACGAACAAUUUUCAAAAUCAUGAUUGAAAUUCGUGAACUUUUUUCAAAUUCACAAUUUUUUUGAACCCUUUAACUUUUUGAAGUUUGUGAACUCUUUUUAAAAUCCAUGAACUUUUUCUAAAUCCUGCAUACUUUUUUGAACUUGUGAAGUUUUAAGAGUUCAUGAACUUGUUUUCACAUCCGUGAACUUUUCUCAAGCCCAUGACAUUGUUUUAAAAUUUAUGAUCUUUUUCAAUCUGGUGAACUUUUUUCAAAGUCUCAACUUUUAAAAUUUUAAAAUUCUUGAUUUUCCAAAUUUCAUGAAUAUUUUUAAAAUUCAACAACUUUUUUAAAAUUCAUGACAUUUUUAAGAUCCACAAUCAUGAACAUUUAUUCAAAUCCACAAUCAUGAACUUUUUAAAAUCCACUAAUUGAGGAACAUUUAUUCAAUUCUGUGAACUUUUUUAAAAUUCACAAAAUUUUCUCUAUAUUUUUGAUUUGUUUUCAAAUCUUUCGACAUUUUUCAUCUUACAAUUAUUUUGAAAGUACUACAAAAAAACCGAAAGGAAUUUUUCGACCAACUACCGAAAAAAAAUCAGAAGAAAACUACUUGCUCCAUCCCAUAAUAUAACAUUGUUUGGUAAGCCGUCUUUGGUUGCAAAACGAUCUUAUAUUAUGGGAUGGAGGGAGUAGCUUCUUUUAAAUAGACAAACAAAGAGAAAACCUAGCUGGUGAAAGCAAGCGAGCGGGUGAGCCAGGUGGCUCAAUAUUGGGCCGCCGCCCACUAGCAUCAAGCUUAAGGUACACACAUGUGGGCUAGCCCAUUUAGAGUACUUUUAAAAUUUUAAAAUUCAUGAAUUUUCCAAAUUUCAUGAAUAUUUUUAAAAUUCAAAAACUUUUUUAAAAUUCAUGACAUUUUUAAGAUCCACAAUCAUGAACAUUUAUUCAAAUCCACGAACUUUUUUCAAAUGCUUGAACUUUUUAAAAUCCACUAAUUGAGGAACAUUUAUUCAAUUCUGUGAACUUUUUUUAAAUUCACAAACUUUUCUCUAUAUUUUUGAUUUGUUUUCAAAUCUUUCGACAUUUUUCAUCUUACAAUUAUUUUGAAAGUACUAUAAAAAAACCGAAAGGAAUUUUUCGACCAACUACCGAAAAUAAAUCAGAAGAAAACUACUUGCUCCAUCCCAUAAUAUAACAUUGUUUGGCAAGCCGUCUUUGGUUGCAAAACGAUCUUAUAUUAUGGGAUGGAGGGAGUAGCUUCUUUUAGAUAGACAAACAAAGAGAAAACCUAGCUGGUGAAAGCAAGCGAGCGGGUGAGUCAGGUGGCUCAAUAUUGGGCCGCCGCCCACUAGCAUCAAGCUUAAGGUACACACAUGUGGGCUAGCCCAUUUAGAGGUUAAGUACUCAAGCACGUAAAAAAAUGGCCUAAAAGACCCGAGCCAGCGAGAGAUCGAACUCGUGACGCUCCGCUCGUGAAGUGAAGAACCUGACCAAUCAAGCUGGCAAAAUCUAGUGAUUUGUAUGCAGUGCAAGAGUUUAAAGUAUCGAACAUCUUUCAAGUUUUCACGAAUAAUUCAAUAAAAUAAAUGGAAAAUUCUGCACAAAAAUUGACAGACGUAAAUACAUUUUUAAAACCAUGAACAUUUUUUUCCAAAAAAUGUGAACACAUUUUGAAAUUCGAACAAACUUUUGAAACUUGAGCAAUUAUUGAAAAGAUGAACAAAAUUUUUGAAAUUCCUAAAAAAUAUUUUUUUGAAAAUAUACAUCGAACAUUUUGUAAUACAUGCAAAACAAUUUUUAAAUACAUAUAAUAUACGCACAACGAUUUUGAACUCCACAGUGAAUAUUUUUGUGAUAUACCCAGAACAAAAUUUUAAUAUAUGUUGAAUUUUUUUGUAAUAUACUCUGAACAAUUUUUAACUACACAUUGAACAUUUUUGUGAUAUACGUUGAACAUUAUUUCAAUACACAAUGAACAUUUGUGUGAUAUAGGCCGAAUUUGUUUGAGUUGUGAACAAAAUUUAAAAACCUUGACUUUUUCUAAAAUCACUACCAAAAUUUGGAAUUUUAAACAUUUUUUGAAAACAAAGGAUAUAAAAUAAAAACAAAAUGAUAAAAUAAAAAUAUAAGAAAAAAAAUGAAACUGAAUCAGAAUCAGAAAAGAAACCGAAACAAAAAAAGCAAACAGAAAAAAAUUUGGAAAUUUGGUUAAAAAAUACCGUUUAAAGGAACCUGCUAGAAGGUGAAGUCGGCCGGCCCGUCGCGUGGCAGACGACGUGCAUCAGGAGGCGAGCAGAUAGAGUUUUGAUCAUGCCAUGUCACACUUUCUGGCCCCAAAACCGCCUAAAAUUGAUGCAAAACCACCUAAGGGGGAGAUUUACCCGGUUUUAAGGAAUUGGGGGUUAAGAUCAUACCAAAUUUGAGUUCAGGGGGGUAUUUGUCCCUCAGGCUACAUUUGAAGGUGAAAAAUAGACUUCUUUCAGAAAAAAGGGACAUCAACGAAACGGCCCGCUUCGUUCGCUUGUGCGUGCGACUGAGUUCCUGGCCCAAUGAGCCGCCCCUUCUAGUUUAUUGCCCUUCUAGCGUCUGUGGCCCAAUGAGACGGUAUAAUAUUGAGUCUGUCGCCCUUCCUUCCUCCCCCUCCACUAGUUCCUCCACCAAAAACUAGGGUUAGGGUUAGGGCGGCGGCGGCGGCUUUAUUUCCGAUCGCGAUCGCCAUGGCCACCGGAGGCGCCCCAAAGCCGGAGGAGGAGACCGUCGUCUUCCCCGAUUGGGUGAUGCUGGAACGCAUCUUCCGCAAACGGUGCCACGACGACCUAGACGCUGCUGGUGAGGCCGUCAACAAGAACAAGACCGCCGCUCCAGUCAAGAUUGACAGCGGCCACUCCUGCUUCGUCUCCUUCACCCUCGCAGCUCCUCCAGGGUCCUCCUACUUCAACCUCCAUUGGCCGGAGAGACAAGGCUCAGAAGAACUCCUUGCCUUCGUCCGGGCAGUCGACAAGAACCUUGUCCUCUUCGACAUCUCGAUCCCCGACCGGAUUCGCUACUUCGACGCUCCGCCAGAUCUGUUCGUCUACACGGCCUCUGCUCCUCCCCCCCCGGUGCAGCAGCUUCCUCGGCGCAGCACAAAGCAGUUCCUGGCUCAUCAGUUCACCACCGGCAUUCUGCAGCUCAAAGCGGAGCACUGCUACAUCGUUGCCGACCUCAAUGUCCACCUCAAGAAAGAGGGCGCUAGUGCUGAACUCUGUGUCUUCAACUCCGGCGCCACCGAUUGGAGAAUCAUCACCGAGGUGCUUGCUGAUAAGCUCCCUGACCUCUGGUUUACCGAUGAUGUGUUUGCUUUCGAUGGCCGUUUCCUUUGCUGGGUGGACUACUUCAGCGGCGUUGUGCUAUGCGACUUCUCCAAAAAUGUGGACUCCCAGGUGCUCCACUUCGUGCCUUUUCCUGGAGGAAUCAAAUACCCUGAUGACGCACGGUUCCCGAGGUACUUCCCAGGGAGGUUCCGAAGUGUGUCCAUCAGCCAAGGCAUGAUGCGCUAUGUCCAUAUUGACAAUGACUUUCAUCAGACAGUCCACAGUGGCUGGCGAGGGAUUGCUCCUAAGAGAAGCAACCGGCGGCAGAAGCAGCUAACCCACAAAAUCACCAUUUGGACGUUGAACUCCAAUUUCGAGUGGGAGGUGCAUUGUGAGAUCAACCUGGAUUGUCUCUGGGCACAACCUAGUUACCAAGGUCUGGGCUUACCUCGGCGUCUUCCUGAGUUCCCAGUCAUCAGCAUGGAUGACCCGGGUGUUCUGUGCUGCGUGCUGAGGGCGAAGGAAUUUGCUGGCAAGGAGUGGAUGAUCAUGGUUGACAUGAACCAUGCGGAUCUGCAGUCAUGUACUGAUGUGAAUGUAGAAGACAAGUUCUCUAAUACCACCCAACUUUCAACUGUCUUCUCCAAAUACCUUCAAAAGGCGAACAGGUAACUGGCUACAAGAAGCUCCCUUAAUAUUCAAAUGACAUCUUUCACGUACGUUCUUACAUAUUAUAUAACAUGGUUGCCUUUGCUUAGCUUUCUGUUGGAUACGGUACUGGUAAACACUGGUGUUUUUCCUUACUUAUCGUACCUAUGGUGCAAUAGACAUGCUGCCUGGUUUUUCAUUCCAUGUAGGAUUCUCAAAGAACUUCUUUCUUAAUUGAUGUCAUUCACGCACAUUCUUACAUACAUACAACCUCCGUCCCAAAUUAAUUGUCUUAGAUUGAUUGGACAAAUCUAAGACAAGUAAUUUGGGAUGGAGGGAGUAUUAUAUAACAUGGUUGCCUUUGCUUAGCUUUCUGUUGGAUAUUGUAGUGGUAAACACUGGUGUUUUUCCUUAUUCAUCGUACCUAUGGUGCAAUAGACAUGCUGCCCGGUUGCAUUCGGUGUAGGAUUCUCAAAGAACUUUGGCUUUGGUGCACGCUUUAUAGCUUACUGCAUGUUGUCUGCUCCCUGUAUGAAUCACUUUGAAGUGUCCCCUUCUUUCAUUGUCAACUCUCUGCACAGUGACUGACCCAUACCAUCCUACUAAUCAGGGUUGUUUUCCCUAUGUUAUUCUCUGUUGCUUUACUCCUGCCCCAAAGUUUCUAUUUUGCUGCCUUCUGCCGUUGCAUGUCCUCUAGUGUUGCUGUGUUAUAGUAAUAUAUAUAUAUAUAUAUAUUGAAGCAUUUAAUAUGUUGUUGCCUUGAAUCUUCUGUUGGGCUGUUCCAGUGUUUGAGUUGUAGCUGCUUCAGUUGUGUAGAGAUUCCAAUAUGGACUCCCUCCGUUCGUAAAUAUAAGUCCUUUUUAGAGAUUCCAAUAUGGACUACGUACAGAGCGAAAUGAGUGAGUAUAAGCUUUGGUCCUUCUGCCAUCAAGUUUUCCUUAAGAGUCUAGAGUCCUCUAUUUCUCCUUAUUGGAUCUUUUGCUCUUUACAUCGGAUUGUCCAUUAUCUGUACAAAUGGGACUGUAAUUCUUUCAGCAGCCUUCUGUCGCCACUAGCAUGGUGCUAUUUUGAAGUGAAUUCUUGGAACCACAUUAUUUUGAUUGCUGUUGUAAAGCAUAAAACUAUAUUGUCCUCUAAUUUCUGUAGGGGGGACAAGCGUCUAUGAAGCUUUAUUAGCACAUACUUCUCUGUUGGCAAAAUUUCUUUGGUUUACUUUGGGUCAAUCAGGUCACAUCUCUGGCUGUUUCUGUUAGAAUCCUUUUGUUUGAGAUAGCGUAUACCAUGGUUUUUAAGGCAGUAAAGUGUCCUAAGGCGUUCUACCCCUGCUCUGACGCCUAAGCGGGCACCUGAGCACUAAGGCAGACUAAGCGCCUAAAGCGGGCAGAUUUCCAAGGCGCUGCCAGGGCGCCUAAGCGUCCUAACGCAGACGCCUUAAAAACCAUGGCAUAUACUUUUAUAUCGUCUAACUGAGUGCUGGCCAUGGUGGAGCUUAGUGUAGACCAACAGGGCCCAUGCCCCCCUCCCCCCUUAAUUUUUCCAUCCAUCGAAGAAAAUGCUAUUAAUUUGGUUCCCUUCGAGUAAUGGCCCCCUCUUGAAUUAUGCUCAAGCUCUGCCAGUACUGGGCCAGUGAGCCAUUCUCUUUACACGGGAGUGCCAUUAGCUAAAACCCCUGUAGUAUUAGCUUUGCUGGCCUUCUCAUGUUACUGUCUUACUCUUGAUUCUGGCUACAACCCUUCUGAUUGUUUUCUCUAUCCUCUCAUGCCUCAUUUCAUUCUCUCACGCCUAAUCCGACAUUGGUACGGCUGGACUGUGGUGAGGACUCCAAUUUUUCUCGAGUAUGCUGCCCUGUCGCCGCGUUCAGCCUCUUGUUACACCUGAACACACACACACACACCAUGCCUGGCUGCAGCAUGUUUGCUACCAGUCCCUGCAUGUCAGUUGUAGUCCUUACCAGAGGCUGUGCCUGCUCAUUGAGGCCACACCGCAACGCCAUGGCUAUGUGGUGUUCUGAAUAUUAUGUCAAGCUAGGCGAUGACAUUACCAUCUGAAUCCAUGUCAAAUAUAUGAUGCAAUUGCAUUUGCAUUAAUAUUGAGUGCAGAACUAUUUUCUUUACCAAUAUACUCCACUGCAAUGCCAUUUGUCUUUCUUGUUUGUCUUUUUUUAAACUACCCUUUUCAAGUGACAAUUCAUCUUAUCUGUUUAUACUGUUCGCAAACAACAUACUCAGAUGUUCAGAUGGUGUAUAUAUCUGAGUUAUUUUUAUUUCUAUUUUUAAAGGGAUGGCAUGGGACAACAUUGAGCUAACUUCAUUGAAAUGCAAGUCUGCAAUAUGAAGACCUGUAAUCUGGUGACUGAAGGUGAACACUUUGCGGAUGCUCAAAUCAAAGAUGUUGUUUGUCAAUGACGCGGUGCAAGCAGAACAGUUUGAUGAUGUACUGAUGAAUAUCUAUUGGAGUAACGCUACAUGUUCUGGAUCAUUUAAUCAUAUGUUUUAGCGUUAAAAGUAUGAGAUUGAAUAUCUUUUCUUUCAUGAAAAUUGAAUUGAGGGCAAGCACAAGGAAAAAAAAUAGUGCUAGACAUUAUUUUUGGUUUUCUUAUCGAGGCCAAAAUGUCAUAAUUACAGAGAUCUUCCAAUAUUUUUCUAUUGGGGGUUCUUCCAUUCCUUUUUUUUGAGGAAUUAUGACAGUGAGGGAAGCUCCCCACUGACCUUUAUAU
RNAcentral lists this long non-coding RNA (96639 nucleotides) under Triticum aestivum (bread wheat). Its description in RNAcentral is "long non-coding RNA (TAES_LNC006309)". Lineage: Eukaryota; Viridiplantae; Streptophyta; Magnoliopsida; Poales; Poaceae. The record is from RNAcentral.